Molecule: long non-coding RNA, 105210 nt
Filed under: Lactuca sativa (garden lettuce)
Lineage: Eukaryota; Viridiplantae; Streptophyta; Magnoliopsida; Asterales; Asteraceae
Description: long non-coding RNA (LSAT_LNC007522)
Source: RNAcentral
GAGGUUGUGGUAGUAGAUAUAGGUGUUGAUGAUGUGGUAGGGGGUGUCGGUGUUGAUGACGGCUUAGAUGAUAUAGGUGUUGAAGUUUUGGUUAUUGAUGUAAGUAUUAAGGAUUGUAUUGUUCCAGUUACUAAAGUUUUAGAUGUAUUUUCUAAGGGCGAAGUGGAAGUUGUAAGUGAUGUCGAGUAAGUGGUAGUCAUUGUUUAUGUUAAUGAUAUAGGUUUAGGGCUUUUGAUGGUAGAUGUUAUAGGUGCUUUGGAUGUGGUUGUUGGUAUUGGGAAGUCGAUUUCUUCAUCUUGUAAUUGUCUGUUUACAGAUUUUGCAGCUGAUAUCCUGUUGUGUUUCAUAACCUGUGGUGCAAUGAAUUUAGUUGGCUUCACACCGGAUGCUCCUUUUGCUUUCGAGUUCAACAUCUUUCUUGCUUAAAAAUUAACAAAAAACUGUAGUCAACGUAGAAGUGGCUUAUGGUGUCCAUGGAUGACAUAUGGGCCAUUGGUCAACCGGUAAACAUGGAAGUGGCUUAUGGUGUCCAUGGAUGACAUAUGGGUCAUUGGUCAACAUGGUAGUGUCUUAUGGUGUCUAUGGCUGACAUAUGGGUCAUUGGUCAACAUGGUAGUGGCUUAUGGUGUAUAUGGAUGACAUAUGGGACAUUAGUCAACAUGGUAGAGGCUUAUCGUGUAUAUGGAUGACAUAUGGGCCAUUGGUCAACAUGGUAGUGGCUUUAUGGUGUCCAUGGAUGACAUAUGGGAUAUUGGUCAACAUGGUAGUGGCUUAUGGUGUAUAUGGAUGACAUAUGGGUCAUUGGUCAACAUGGUAGUGGCUUAUGGUGUAUAUGGAUGACAUAUUGGUCAUUGGUCAUUGGUCAUCAUAGUAGUAGCUUAUGGUGUAUAUGGAUGACAUAUGGGCCAUUGGUCAACAUGGUAGUGGCUUAUGGUGUCCAUGGAUGACAUAUGGAUGACAUAUGAGCCAUUGGUCAACAUGGUAGUGCCUUAUGGUGUAUAUGAAUGACAUAUAGAUCAUUGGUCAACAUAGUAGUGGCUUGUGGUGUAUAUGGAUGAUAUAUGGGUCAUUGGUCAACAUGGUAGUGGCUUAUGGUGUCCAUGGAUGAUAGAUGGGCCAUUGGUGAACAUGGUAGUGUCUUAUGGUGUUCAUGGAUGACACUUGGGUCAUUGGUCAACAUAGUAGUGGCUUAUGGUGUAUAUGGAUGACAUAUGGGUCAUUGGUCACCGUGGUAGUGGCUUAUGGUGUAUAUGUAUGACAUAUGGGCCAUUGGUCAACAUGGUAGUGGCUUAUGGUGUCCAUCGAUGACAUAUGGGCCAUUGGUCAACAUUGUAGUGGCUAAUGGUGUAUAUGGAUGACAUAUGGGUCAUUGGUCAACAUGGUAGUGGCUUAUGGUGUAUAUGGAUGACAUAUGGGUCAUUGGUGAACAUGGUAUUGGCUUAUGAUAUAUAUGGAUGACAUAUGGGCCAUUAGUCAACAUGGCAGUGGCUUAUGGUGUCCAUGGAUGACAUUUAGGUUAUUGGUCAACAUGUUAGUGUCUUAUGGUGUAUAUGGAUGACAUAUGGGCCAUUGGUCAACAUGGUAGUGGCUUAUGGUGUCCAUGGAUGACAUUUGGGUCAUUGGUCAACAUGGUAGUGGCUUAUGGUGUAUAUGGAUGACAUAUCGGUCAUUGGUCAACAUGGUAGCGGCUUAUGGUGUAUAUGGAUGACAUAUGGUCCAUUGAUCAACAUGGCAGUGGCUUAUGGUGUCCAUGGAUGACAUAUGGAUGACAUUUGGGACAUUGGUCAACAUGGUAGUGGCUUAUGGUGUAUAUGGAUGACAUAUGGGUCAUUAGUCACCAUGGUAGUAGCUUAUGGUGUAUAUGGAUGACAGAUGGGCCAUUGGUCAACAUGGUAGUGGCGUAUGGUGUCCAUGUAUGACAUAUGGGCCAUUGGUCAACAUGGUAGUGGCUUAUGGUGUCCAUGGAUGACAUAUGGGUCAUUGGUCAACAUAGUAGUGGCUUAUGGUGUCCAUGGAUAACAUAUGGGUUGCAAUAUUAAUGAGCAUAAUAUUAUGGUUUUUUAAUUAGAAGAAACAGAAGUUAAUUUAGUUUAGCUCGCACACACGUCUUACUUCCUACCUGAAGUAGCAGGUUCAAAUCCUACUUAUGUCAGUAAUUUUAUUUAAAUUCGUCCCUCUAAAUUUAAUCAAUAAUUUUAUUUAGCUUCAUCUUUUUAAAUUUAAAAUGUCAAUUUAUUUACAAAAAUGCCAGUAGGUAUUGACAAAAAUACCCUAACCAUUUACGUAGUAACCUUUGUAUGUUAAAGGGCAAUUAUGUCAAUUCAUAGUCUAAACACUUAGGCACCAUAAUUUUUAGUCAGACUUAUCCCGUCAUUUAAGUUUAUCGGCAAUUGAUCAUCUACAUUCCAUUCCCAACAAUCAAAAUUCUGGCACGUUGAUCAAUAAACCCUAAAAUCGUUGUUGUUAUAUAAUUUGAAUUACACUAGACGCAUUUCAACAUAAUGGCAGCGAGAUGUUCAUCAGAAAGAAUGCAAACAAGACAACAAUGAAAAAGAAUUACUGCUUUGUUGUCGUACUUGAUCGAAAAAAUAGUAACUACGGUUGGAGGAAAUUCACCAAUCGAUGCUUUUAAGUGCCAGUUAGUGUAAGUAUGAUGUGCAUUACUUAUAUUAUACUUAUAUACAUAUUUAAUUUAGUGUUUAAUAGAUUAAUUUUGUUGAUUUGUGAAUUAUAGUUGCAAACUCUUUAGGGAUUCUAUAACAUCAGACGCAAUAUAUAAAAUCAUAGACACAAAUCGAUUAAGGUUUCGUCCAUUAAGUAUUCAACAAUAUGAAGUCAUAAGCAAAUGCAAAAAGUUGAACAACCCACACAUACUCUUCAACGAUGGAAUGGUACUCUUCUUUUAAGCAAUCGGAUAAUUAAGAAUUCAAUUAGUUUUUUAUAUUUGUAUUUUUAUAAUUGUAUGAUUAAUUAUUGUAUGUCAGGCGAAGUAUUUUACGGUAGGGGAAGAACUAGCAGGGAAACAGUUGCUUCAAGAUGCAGUUGAUCAUGGGCAGUUGGAUGCUAUCUUCAUUCUGGGAAUGAUGUUGAUGGCCGAAGGUAUUGAAAGGAAGCAAGAAGCUCUGAUCGUGUUAAAUAAUGCCUACGUUAAUACUAGAAGAAGUUGGAAUCUAAGGCAUACCUGUAACAAGGUUCAAAACCACUUGGCAAGGAGAUCAAAGCAGAUAAAAUUCCAUGGCUUACAUAGAAGCUGUGCAAAGCAUCCUUAUGUGAGCAGUUAUGAUUCAGCUUUUAUGUAUCAAUGCAGUUGGUUGUUUGUGGGAUGGAUGUUUUGGUAAGUGUGCUAGGAUGUUUGACAUUAGUUUGGAGUAGUUACAUAUAUGAUUGUUGUUUGAUUCACACAAUUAGUGAUGCAUAUUUUAUGUUUAUUUUGGUGUAAUGGGAAUACAUAUUUUUAACUUUAUUAAAUGUUAAUAUAUAUAUAUAUAUAUAUAUAUAUAUNNNNNNNNNNNNNNNNNNNNNNNNNNNNNNNNNNNNNNNNNNNNNNNNNNNNNNNNNNNNNNNNNNNNNNNNNNNNNNNNNNNNNNNNNNNNNNAAUCAACAUAUAUAGGUUUAGAUAUUACACAUUGAUACCCUCUAUUCUAUAAUAUAUUGAUUUGUGUCUAAUAUAUAUAUAUAUAUAUAUAUAUAUAUAUAUAUAUAUAUGUUAGUUUUUAUAUGUAUGUUAUUUUUGUCUUUUUCAUUUUACUAACUAAAAGUUCAUUGUGACCUAGUUUUGAUAUAGAUUUCAAGGGCACUUUGGUCUAUUUGCAAUCUCUAAAGUGAAGGGGCCAUUUUUGCUAUGGAAAAAAAAAAAAAUUUAAUCAAGUCGUUAUUAAAAGGAAAAUAUUGUAUAUAUAGAAUUUAUAUUAUAAGUAGAUCUAUAUCUAUAUUUAUUAUGAAUGUUAUUUAAAUUUAUAAUUACCCGUAUACUACAUGGGUUUUAACCUGGUACUGAAUAAUAUCGACCCACUAAUAUGACCUAGUAUCCAUCCAACACAUUGAAAUCAAGGGUUGUCGAAGGUUCUUUAAUCGAUACACACUUUGUUUGAAUAUGUGUUCUGCAAGUGUCGAUCUCAAUUAAACCAUUCUACUAAUUUUCUAAGACUUUAUCCAAUAAUAAAAGUUAUUCAACCAUUCAAAUUAGAAAACUUUGAGGAUUUGUUCAGCAUUUGGUCAUUAGCUUUGUGAAACAAGUCGUUGUUAAGGUACCUUUGCGAUGUUUGUAUGGUAACUAUAUAUUUACUUCAAAUGUCAUAUAUGAAUUCAAAUCAACAUUAAUGAACAUAAAAUUAAUAUUGUGUUAUUGAAAUUUAUACUUUACAAAUUUAAGACAAAGAACAAUUCAAGUAGAAAAUGGAUGUAUGAAAGAAAAGAUAAUAGUAGUUGUAUAUCGCUUGUUUUCAUACAAGGAGUGAAAAUAUUUAUAGAUUUUGCUACCACUCAACAUAGGUUCAUGGAUGAAGAUAAAUCAAAUGCCCAUGCAUAAAAUGUCGUAACAUACCAUAUACAUAAGUUGAUAUUGUUAAACAUCAUUUGUACAAGUUUGGUUUUGUUGACGAAUAUUGGUUUUGGGAUAAACAUGGCGAAACAUCAAUUGAUGAUGACAAUACGUUUUUAGGGGUUGAUGAUUCAAACACAAAUUUUAGAGAAGGUGCAUGUUCUUAUAGAGAAAUGGUCAUAGAUACAAUGGCUACUGAUUUAAAUAAUAUUGAUCCUGAAGAGGAGCCAAAUGCACUAGAUAAAAAAAAUUCUUUAAUAUGCUAGAUGCAGCCGAUAAAGAAUUAUGGCCUGGAUGUAAAAAAAAGUGACACAACUAUCUGCUGUAGCUAGACUAUUGAAUUUAAAAUCAGAGUAUCUCAUACCUGAGCAUAGUUAUGACACUAUCUUCCAGUUGAUAAAUGAUGUGUUACCAGAGGAGAAUAAUAUGGUAGGUAGUUUAUACGAGAGCAAAAAGUUAAUACAAGCACUAGGUUUGCUCAUGGAGAUGAUUGACUGAUGCAGGUCUGGAUGUAUGAUAUAUUGGAGUCAAGACAAAGAUCUUUGUCGGUGCAAAUUCUGCAAUGCAGAUAGGUACAAACGGUCAAAAAAUUUGGCUAGAUGUUCUCGCGUAUCCUUCAAGAAAAUCUAUUACUUUCCUUUGACUCCAAGGUUGAAGAGACUAUAUGCUUCAGAAGCCACAGCCACUUCCAUGCGAUGGCACUCUGAGAAUCAUAGACAUGAUGCUGGAGUAAUGUGUCAUCCAUCCGGUUCAAAAGCUUAGAAGCACUUUGACAAAAGUCAUCCUUCAUUUGCAGCAGAAGUACGUAAUGUAAGAUCAAGCCUAAGUACAGAUGGGUUUGCACCACAAGGAGCAUUUGGAAAGCAAUAUUCAUCUUAGCAUAUUAUUAUAACACCUUAUAACUUGCCAACUUCUAUAUGCAUGAAAGAGCCUUACAUGUUUUUGACUGCCCUUGUGACAGGACCGUCAAACCCUAAGCAUAAAAUAGAUGUAUUUUUGCAACCAAUUGUUGCAGAGUUAGAGCAAUUAUGGGAAGAAGGCGUAGUAACAUAUGAUAUAUCCUUAAAACAAAAUUUCCAUCUAAGAGCAGCUUUGAUAUGGAAAAUAAGUGAUUUUCUAGCAUAUGCAAUGUUGUCCGGAUGGCUACAGUAGGUAAGCUAGCAUGUCCUCAUUGUGGGAAACAUACACAAGCAUUCAGACUAGAGAAUGGUAAUAAGAUGUCAUGGUUUGACUGCCAUAGAAGAUUUCUACAGGUGAAUCACCCAUAUAGAAAGGAUAAAAAUAAGUUCAAGAAGAAUCGUGAAAUGAUAGAAGGUCCUCCUCCAAGUAAGAAUGGUGAACAAAAUUUAAGGAAGAUUGAACAAUUAUGUUUGGUAAAAGUGGCUGAACUAAAUGUUGAUGAUGUAAACAUAAUAUGUGGCGCUCAUGGUUGGAAAAAGAAAAGCAUAUUUUGGGAUUUACCAUAUUGGAAAAAAAUCUCAUUAGACAUAAUUUUGAUGUUACGCAUAUUGUGAAAAUUUUAUUUGAAACUUUUUUUACACUAUAAUGGAUGUCAAAGGGAAGAUGAAGAACAAUGUAGCAGCCAGAAGAGAUCUGAAGCUCUAUUGUAGGAAGAGAAAAGGAGUCGAAGAUAAUGAAAGAGCAUACUACACUCUGGAGCAAAAUCAAAAGAAGGCCAUAUGCCAAUGGGUGGAGAAAUUGUGUUUCCCCGAUGGUUAUGUUUCUAAUUUGGGGAGGUGUGUUGCUUUAACAGGGUGUAGACUAUUCCGAAUGAAAAGCCACGAUUGUCAUGUUUUUAUGCAAAGAUUGAUGCCAAUUGCAUUCCGUGAGAUGUUGCCAAAACAAGUGUGGGAAGCAUUAACAGAGUUGAGUAUUUUCUUCAAAACAUUAACAGCAACAACAAUCACAGCAAAAGACAUGGAAAUGAUUGAAACCGAGAUCCCAAUAAUACUAUGUAAAUUAGAGACCAUCUUUGUCCCGGUAUUUUUUUACUCCAUGAAACAUUUACCAGUACAUUUUCCAUACGAAGCAAAGAUAGUCGGUCAUGUCUAAUAUCGGUGGAUGUAUCCAUUUGAAAGGUUUGUAUCGUACAUCAUAAUGUAUGUUGCUAUUUUGUACGCUGAUUUAAAUAAUCUUCACCAUAGGUAUCUAAAUCAAUUGAAAAAUGAUGUGAAAAAUAAAGCUCGAGUGGAAUGGUCCGUUGUUAACGCAUACUUGCUACGUGAAGCAUCAAUAUUUUGCUCUCAUUAUUUCAAUACUGGUGUCCCCACAUGUAAUAGAAAGUUGCCUCGAAAUGAUAAUGGAGGAGGAGAUGAGAAAGCGGAUGCUAACCACGACAAGUUAGAUAUAUUUUCAUAUCAUGGGCGUCAUUAUGGAAGAUUCACGAAUAGAAUGAUGUCUGAUGAGGAAGUACAUGCUGCCCAAACUUACAUACACCUUAACGAAGAUAAAAUCAAGCAUUACAUUAGGUACGUAACAUUUGCAUCAAUUUUAAUUAUAAUAAUCAUUUGUUGUGUAAUUUCUAUGAAUUAAUAACAUUAACACGCAUGAUUUUGUUUAUUACAUUCAUAGUAACUUCAAAAUGUUAUUCAAAUUGUGAUACAAAAUAUUUGAAGAAAAUUUGAAUGAACUUAUAAGGGAUAUAAAGGAAUAGGUCCUUGCAGCUGAAGUUGAGAAGAACUUUGCAGUAUGGUUUCAAAACUAUGUGGGUUUUAUUCUUGUAUUUUUUAAAAAAAUCAUUAUUUUUUGUUAUGGUUAUAAUUAACUCUAAUUAAGUGUUUUACCAUUUUUCAUAUAGGCACGUAAGAUCCCGAUAAACAACAAGUAUAUAUCUGACCUUUCCAAAAUGCCAUUCAAAAAAGUGAAAUUAUAUAGUGUAUACUUUGCCAAUGGUUACAAGUUUCACACAGAAACUCAUAGUCUGAACAAAUCAACAACCAAUAGCGGAUUGUGUGUUAGUAGCUAAGGAGGUGAUUAUUAUGGUAAGGUAGAGGAAAUUUUAGAAGUCGAGUACCCUGGUUACCCAAUUAAAACCGCAGUUUUGUUUAAAUGUCAUUGGUACGAUCCAACACCUAACAUAGGAGUUAAGGUUCACAAACAAUAUAACUUGGUCGAGAUAAAUGUCAAAAGAAAAUACAACAAGUUCGAACUAUUUGUUUUAGCCAUGCAAGCCACUCAAGGGUGUUACAUUCCUUACCCAAUUUUGAAAACAAACAACUCGGACUGGUGGGAUGUAUUUAAAGUUAAACCUCGUGGUUAGACCGAUGAAAAUCAUCAUCAGAAAGACGUUGCAUUCCAAGAAGAUGAAGUUGAAUCAAAUGAAAUCAUCAUACCAAGUGUAGCCAAUAUAAACAAUUAUGAUGAUCACGAAAUGUCAAGCAACGGUUUAGAUAAUGAAAAUAAUAUUGAUGAAGAAGGUGAAAUUCAUGAGGACGACAAUGAUGGUAUUUCUGACAGCGUAGGUAGUUGUGAGUAUAGUACAUCGAGCAAUGAAGAACAAGAGGAGGAAGAAGAAGAGGAGGAAGAAGAUAAUGACAAGAUGCUUUCGUGUUUAAUGUUUUUUUUUCAAAUGAAGUUAAUUUGUCAUUUGGUUUAAUAUCAUUACAUAAAUGAAAACUAGGAAGAAAGCCCAGGAUUUGCCCCGGGAUGUUUUUUGUGUUUUUUAUGUCAAAAUGUAAAACUAUUGACUGUAAAGCCGAAGAGUAUGAAAGUGGCUAUAAUUUUAUUUUUGUUUUGUGUUUACAUCAUUUUUUUAAAAGGGCAUUUUAGUCAUUUUUGAUUGCUAUGUUGUUUGAGUAGGAUGAAGUAUACGUAAAACCCAUGUUAUUUUUUGUGAUGAAGUAUAGUUAAUGUAAUUAAAAAUAAGUUUGAAAUGAAUUCGUUGUUAAUUAUUUUUUAUAUACUAUGUUUUCAUGAAAUUAUACACAACUUGAUUAGCACAACUGGCUUAACCGCGCCCUUUUCUAGCAUAAGCAUAUGUUCGAGUCCGCUUGCCAACAAUAUCUACUUUAUAAUUCAUUUUUACAUUUUUUAGCCAUUAGUUUAUGACACAUAUUAACAAUUCAAAAACAUUUCAUUCAAACCAUAUCUUACAAAUUCCAUUGAUCAUAAUAAUAAUUCAUCCAUAGUAUAAGAAGAUUAAUUAGGCAUACAACAUCCAAACAAAUGCCGUCACAAAUUAGCUACGUGUUUUGUUCGAUGCCAAAACAAGCAAACGAAAUCAUAUUCCAUAGCAGAAUUCCCUAGCAAAUACCUACGGAUGGUACUUCCAUAGCAAUUCAACUAUGAAAUUGGUUUCCGUCACAAACUUCAUUGCAUAGUAACCACGAUAAUGAAUUCCAUAGCAGCAAUACAACGGAAAGUGAUUUGGUAACAAAUGUCGUUGGAAAGUUGCUACAAAUUUUUCUUCCAUAGAACUCUCGGUAGCAUAAUACCAACGUAUAUGGAGUCAGUAGCAUUUUCCCUAGCAAGUCCCAUUCUCGCUACCAGAAAUGAAAUUUGUAGACAAUGAGGUAGCAACAUUGCUAUGGAACGACAUUUCACAUCACGAUCCAUUGCAGAUUAACAACGAAAAUACAUUCCAUAGGGACCUUCCUAGCAAAAUCACUUUUUUCUUGUAGUGUCAUAAAUAAGUGCGUGUCAUGGUUCGCAUGUCAUUAAAGGGUUGUUUUCUAGUAGUGGUAUUACUUUUUUAUCUUUUAGUACAACUUACACCUAAAGUUACCGAGAAGUCUUUCAUUAUAGCAACUCCGUAAUAGGAGCCCUUUCCUUUGUCUUCAUAGCGACAAUGUGGUUGAAAGAAAGAUCAGGCUCCUCAACUCUCAAUAUCCCAGGUGGAAAAUAAUAGCCCAAUCUUCUGCCACCUAAACUUAAUCUUUGUUAACCACAUCUCUCUAUAGGCCUUCCUUCUUUCCAAGUAUCUAGAAACCAAUUGAAGCUUUACAUGGAUUCAACUUCUGUAGCAUGAUUGCCUUGGAAAACAUGUCUACUAGAUUCUUAGUACCAAGGAUCUUCUUCGGGUUCCAAGUCCAAUGGCUUAUUGAUUGUUUGAUAAACCGUUACUUCAUCUACACAUAUUUUGUUCUAUCAUGAAUGAUUAGAUUCUUUGAAAGGUGAAAUGCACUAUGGUUUUAAUAAAGUAGGACACAAUCUUUUUUUUGCCCAAAUAUAUGAAUAUUUUCAAGCAAAUAAGUUCUAAGGAUAAUUUUUUCAAUUUCCAUUCAUUAUGCUUCUAUGGUUAAUAGAUGAAUACUCUUUCCAAAGUGUGGAUAUCCAACUGAUGGUUAUACCUGCAAUGGUAUACAAAAACCCUGUUAUGGUUUUCCCUAAAUAUCUAGAACAUNAAGUAGGACACAGUCUUUUUUGUGCCCAAAUCUAAGAUGAAAAUUUUCAACCAGAUAAGUUCUAAGUACAAUUUUUUCAAUUUCCAUUCAGUAAGCUUCUAUGGUUAAUAGAUGGAUACUCUUUCCAAAGUUUGGAUAUCCAACUGAUGGUUAUACCCACAAUGGUAUACAAAAACACUAUUAUGGUAAGGUAACCACAUAAGUUUCUUUCUUCUAAAGGUAAGGUAACCACAUAAGUGCUUUUCAAGUAGCAUAACAGACGCUUCAUCCCUUCCUAAUUACUUUUCUUGUAUUUGACAUAAACCUGCUACUGCCUCCCACUACAUUACAAUUUAAGAUCUAGUGCAUAACGUAUCAUAAAUGAAGUUACAGUUAACUAAGGCAUACGAGACUUUAGCCAUUUCUUCCACAUACAAUGUNCUACAUUACAAUUAAUGGUCUAGUGCAUAGCGUACCAUACAUAAAGUUACAAUUAACUGAGGCAUAAGGGACUUUAGCCAUUUCUUCCUUGUUUCUACAUGUCUUCACAAAGAUAACUUUCUAUUGCUUUCCAAGAAUUCAUUUAUUUCAAAAGUCAAUAAUCACACUUUUCAAAUUCGGAAUUCUUCGAUUCAAAGUUAACAUCUUCAUCUAUCACUCAGUCGUAUGCCCAUGUCUUUGUACCAUAAAGUAAAUGUAUGUGUUUCUUUAAUAAACACAUUUCCCCUGUUGCACAAAUAUCAACCAUAUACACUGUUUCCUAUCGAAAACAAUGAUAGACCACGAGGAUCAUUUUUUGUUGUUAAUUCUACACAUAACGAAAUUUUUUGUUUUCAAUUCUACAAUGUUUUAGAAAUUAUAAUGUUUUUACUAAUGACUUUUGAUUUUGACCAACUAAACUAUAUAAUUAGAUAUGAACGAAAAAGAUAUUUCAAUUAUUGUAGUGUGCUGUUAGACAAUGCGUUUUUAAAGUGUAAAUGGAAUCUUAUACUUGUGUAUUUAUUUGUAAUUUCAAUUUGAAUGUUUACAAUGAAUCAAAGAAUAAAUAAUCAUGAAGAUCAGAAAUCGAUCAAUAAAGAAUAAAAAAUAUGGAUAUCAAGUUAGUAAACAGGCUUAAAGGAAUCUAGAGGUCUUGCAUUCCGCUGAAAUACCAUUGGGAAACCGUUUGUGGUCGUUGCAGUAGUUGUAGAUCAUGUGCUUGGUUUGCACCCAUCGGAUCCUAUUUCGGCCAGCUGCAUCAAGUCCUUGGGUACUCCAUGACUGGUUAUCAUUUAUUGAGCUUGUAGAUACUGAAUUGGGACCAACUUUUUUGGCAUUGGCAUUGAAUUUCCUGUAUAACGCGGUGAAAGGCGCAUUAGUCCAGUCGGUCUUCACACGCCCACCUUGGGUUGCCCAGUCAUCCGCGUUCCACAGGCUGGCAUAAACCCUCAUGGGUUGGCUCUUGGGAAAUGGGACUCCAGCAGCAUCAUUGUUAUUGAACACCCUUACUGGUAUGUUAUCUAUUAAGAAACUGCAGAGACAAAGAGCUUUAUAUAGGAACAGCAGAAAAACAUGAGAAAGGAAGAGAACCAAUUAAUGUUUAUGUUGGAUGCGUGACUUACAUAAUUCUUAGACUGUUCCAUACGAUGGUAUAGGUGUGGAAGGCUGCGGUAGGGUCAAACCAAAGGUGGAACUGCUGUUCUUUGUUUCCUUUCCCUUGUGAAUACACAUUGGUGUGAAUUGUGUAAGGGUUUCCCGUGGAGUUGCCCAAGAACUCGAAGUCGAUCUCAUCGUGACCCGCACCUUGUGAUGACAACUAAUGUGAUUUAAUACAAAGACAUGGUUAUUAUCAGCCUUUAAAAGAUUAAUACAAAUGAGUGAUCACAAUAUAUAUAUAAUUCAGAUAUGAAAUUCAAGAUUGGAACCGAUCGAUGGUACUCACGUAGAAUGUGGUGACGGUGCCAGCAGAAUUGCCUGGUACUAGUUUGAGUUGCAUGUCGAACCUUCCAAACAGGUACUCGUGCUUCGACUGGAAACCCGAUCCAGAGUAUUGGUCGAGUGAAAGUGAAAGAUCCUGACCUCCAUUCAGAAUUUUAGCACGUUCACCCCCAAAACUGAUGUCCAUGUCAUCGUAAAAACUCCCUGCUGAUGCUGCUACUAUUAGAAUUGAUAUUAAAAGAACAACUGCACAAAGAUUAGAGUUCGACUUUGCCAUUAUUGUUUGUAUGGAGAGAGAGAGAGAGAGAGAGAGAGAGAGAGAGAGAGAGAUGUUAUGUUUGUGGGAAGUAGUACUGAUAUCGUUUAUAUAUGUAGGUGUGGCUACGUUGACAAUUUUCAACAGGAACCAUCCUUGUUACUGAAGGAUGUCAUGAUGGCUAAUGGAUGCACCAAUAUCUAUUGACGCGUGACAACUCACAUUAUUCUUCUGGUUCUGGACAUGGGCAGGAGCGGUGGGGUUUUUUCUUUAUUUUUUUCUAAACGUCUGCCAACUCAAAUUUUGCAAAUUUGUCAUAUUUGGACCGGUGGUUGACAUCAUAGGUAAAAUACACUUGUUUUAAUUGUUAAUAAGUUGGGAAAAUCAAAUCUUUAAAAACGCAUUUACAACAUUUACAAUCACAUUUCACACUAUUAAAAAACUAAUUAUAAAUCCCUCUGUAAAAGGAACCAUCUUAUUGAUGAUAAAACCGUAGGCAAAUUCCCCAAACAUCUACCUUUUCAUUUAAGUUGGUUACCAAAUUCCUCCAUUUUAUCUAAAAUUUUGGUUUCCCUCGGUUUCCACAUUAAAUGAAAGCACCACUUGUAAGGAAUAAAAGAUUUAUAAGAAUUGGAUCAAACUCAACUCUAUGUACAUUGAAUAAAGAAAUAUGGGAAGGAAACCUACAAUCUGUUCUUUGUGAUGAUUUAUUCUUGGUUCAUUCGGAACUCUAUCUAUUAUUAUAUUAUGCACAAUUAUAUUUCUUAAUUGUCACAUUCUUAAAACUAAUUAAAAGUCAUCAUAUAUUGAUUUCUUUGGAAAUGUUAGGAUCUUGAUUGAGUUCUUGAAAUUUGGCAAUGAAAGUAAAUUCGUCAUAGGCUUUAACAAGUACAUAGAUGUUGUGACUGCAAUAUUUACUGUAGGUGUGAAAUUGAAGAUGAUGUUUGAGGACGAGGACACUCCUUGAAGAGGGUAACUAAGAAAUUUACCGUUAUUUGUCUUUUUGAGUUUUUAAAUGUGUUGUAAUCUAAACAGCAAUUUUAUAGGGAAAAUAAUAGCAGCUAAAUUUUUUUGCCUUAGUCAUAACUUUUUGAUGGUGAUAGUUGAAUAUUUAUAUAUGUUGUAGUUUUCUUCUUUAAAUUUAACAGAUUCAUUGAAAGAAACCAAGAAAAAAAUGGUAUCUUGCAUGUGAUGAACAUGUAUCUACCAUGUGAACAUAAUGGAUAUUCACAGAAGACCAGUUCUUUUAUCUCAACUCUAUAAAUACGUACAAAUAUAUUCUUAGAAAAGUAAAAACUCAAGAACUUCCCGACAUGGACAAUUUAUUCACCAUAAACCAGUUCGUUUGUACAACAAUACUUACAAAGGAAAUCAUCACUACAUAGCUCACACUCUAACGUAUACACAAAAUGAUUUUACUGUAAUCGGAAAUACAAACCCUUGAUAAUACAGAAAACCCUAAUCGAGAGUUAGAGAGAAAAGAUAUAGCAAUCUACAGAAUGCAUCAUAUGAUUGAGACGAGCCAGCUGACCAACAAGCAUAUAUACCCGGAUCAUGAAAAGUGACCUGGUGGAUCGACAAACUCGCAUUUGCAAUAAGAAACUUACACAACAACCCAUGCAUAAUAACGUCAAUACAAAAAUUGACCAAACUAUCCCGAAAUUACAAAAUGUUGUGCUUAAAUAAAUAAAUAUAUAUAUAUAUAUAUAUAUAUAUAUAUAUAACAUAACCCCUUCUCAAACUUAACAUUUUAAUCAUUUAUCAUAAAAAUGUCAAUAAGACCCAAUCUUUUUGAAAAUAUUCAUGUUGAAACGAAACUAAAGAUUUUGUAAGAAUGUGAGCAUUGUAAUCAUAAGAGUCAACCUUAACAACUUCAACAAUACCAUUAUCAGUUCUUUUUCCUAACAAAAUGAACAUCUACUUCAAAAUGCUUCAAUUUUUCAUGAAAAACUAGUUUAACAGCUAAUUGGAUUGUAGACUCAUUAUCACAAAAAAAAUUAACUGGAGUUAAAUUUUUAAAACCAAGAUCAAAUAAAAAUUUUAAUACCCACAAAAUUUCACAAAUAGCAGACCCCAAAGCAUGGUAUUUAGAUUCAGUGGAAGAUCUGGACACCAUACUUUGUUUCUUACUUUUCUAGGAAAUAAGAGAAACUCUCCGAUAAACUAAGUACCCUAUUAUUAGUCUUCUAGCGGUACGCACUUGGCCCAGUCAACAUCAAAAUAUCCAACAAGAUCAAAACAUUAUAUUUAUGAAUAAAAACAUUUUUUUCUUGGAUUAGACUUUAAAUACCUCGACAACCGAAAGCAUUGUUCAAAUGGGACUUAUGAGGUUUAUGCAUAUGUUGACUAAGAAUUUGAACAUCAUAAGCAAUAUUUAGUCUAGCAACAGUUAAAUAAAUGAGCUUACCUAUUAUAAGUUUCUGAAAUUCAGAAAUAUUAACAAAACUGUGAGAACUAUAUAUCACAAUGCUUUGGAAUAACUAGAUUUUUCUUGAUUUAAACAGAUACCACCAUUAACAGACAUGACCUCUAUGCCUAGAAAAUAUUUUAAUUCUCCAAAGUCUUUAAUUAAAACCUGAGACUUAAGAAAAUCCUUCACACAAUUGAUUUCACAAAUACAAUUGCUUGUUAAAAUGAUAUUAUCCACAUAUACAAGUAAUAUAACAAAAGUAUCACCUUUUGACCAAACAAACAAAGAGUAAUCAUUUAUGCUUUGAAUAAAACUAAAACUUGAAAGAGAAGAACACAUCUCAUUCCAUUUUCUAGGUGCAUGUUUAAGCCUAUAUAAAGGUUUGACAAGUUUGCAAAAUUUAUUAUCAUUAAUUGAGUGAUAUCCAUUAGGCAAACUCAUAUAAACAUCUUCAAUUAAAUCACCAUAAAGAAAAGCAUUAUCAAUGUCAAGUUGAUAAAGACGCAAAGAUUUAUUAACAACUAAAUUAAUAACAAUCCUAACAGUAACAGUCUUUUCAACUUGAGAAAAUGUCUCAUCAUAGUCUAUACCCUCUCGUUGACUAUACCCUUUUGCAACAAGCCUAGCUUUGUAUCUCUUAAUUUCUCUAUUUGAUUUAUAUUUAAUUUUAUAUAUCCACCUACAUCCAAUUGGCUUUCUAUGUUUAGGAAGAUCAAUUAUUUCCCAUGUAAGAUUUCUAUACGAAGCCUCCAUUUCUUCAUUCAUUGCUUUGACCCAAUUUAGCUCAGAAACAACCUCUUUAUAUGUUUUUGGUUCACAUGUUUCAUGUCAAACCCCCAAACCGAGAACGGCAGAAACGUUCGGGGGUGGAGGACGUCAUGUACAGUAUCAUAACAAUGCAUAAUAGUAAAACAAGCAACAACAUCUAAUGCAUUAAUAAUAUAGUUUAUACAUGUGUGUUCUGUGUAUAGUUGUAAGACACCAAAAAUAUAUCAAAAUAAAAGACGAGUCUUGAACAUGCUCCGUCUUCUCAAAACCUUGUCUAGUGUACCUGUCUACUUGUGACUUGAGAAUACAGGUUAUUUUGAAACAGAGAAUCAACAUUUAAGUUGGUGAGUUCAUAAGUAUUUUAGUGUCAAAAGUUCGCAUUUGUUUUAUGAAAAAGUUUGCAAUUGUUUGAUGAAAAUGUUUGAAUACUUCCUACAAAAAUCCUAUAUUUCCUUUUAAUAGUGAUAACUGAACUGUUAUAGUUUUUCCUUAAGUUUAACGGAUUCAUUGUAAGAAACCAAGAAAAAAUGGUAUCUUGAAUGGGAUGAACAUGUGUCUACCAUGUGAACAUAAUGGAUAUCUACAAGAGAGAUUGAAACUAUCGUAACAAAACAUAAGAUUAGUCUAAAAACAACAUGAUAUUCAAUGUCGAACUGACAUCUAAUGGUUACGUAUGUCUCAAAUGUAUAAAUAUGUACAAUCAUAUAUUGGCUAUGUAUCCAUCCGUAAAGGGAACCAUCAACCUUGGACUUCUAGUUGAUUAAGGAUUUAGUACAGAUCAUCGACAAACAGAUGUGAAAUCUUCCUAAUUUAGCAUAUCUUUAUCCAUUUUGGUGUUAAAACUUAUAUGUUGAAGUCUAUUUGAGCCCAAUAUGCAAUUAUUGUAUUUUUAUUAAGUUUUCAUUUGUGCGUGCAUCUUCUGUAACAAAGUUAAAAUUGCAGACCUUAAUUUUUAGAUAAAUACCUAGUAGAAAAAUAUCAUUUAAUGACACGCAUUGUGUGUCAUAAAAGGGUACAGAUGACACGCAGAUGUGUGUCAAAGAAGGCCCUGUCAUCAAGGAAAACGACACACAUUUAUGUUUCGUAACCAUACGACGCACAUUUUACGACACGCAAUGCGUAUCAUUAAAGCCCCUGUCAUAAAGAAAGACGACACACAUUUUUAUUUGUCAUAAUUUUAAAUAUUUAAAAAAUAUAUAUUUUGCUAUACAUAUUUAAUAAUUUUCAAAUUGGAUUACAGUUAAUGUCUCAAAAUAUAAAAUAGCAUAUCAUAUAAAAAAAGACAAUCCAUUUAAAAAUGUAUAGUAUGUCAAAUAACAAUAAUUAUUCCAAUGCUUAAAUAAAUGUAAUACAAAAACUAUUUCAAUAUAUAUCUUAUGAAUUCCCCUAACAAUACACCAUCUCCAAUUAAGACAUGUAUUCAGACCAAUUUACCUACUAAAAAUGCAACAAUUGAAACAUGAGACCCAACCGAUACUUCAUAUAGUCCGUUUGGUCCUUUAUCAUUCCAUAUUGGCCAAGUGACCUCCAAGAUUCAGAUGUGUUUCUUCAAUCCAUUUUUUGGUUGACUCUAUGACACCAAAGUAUGUUACACCUAUUGCAAGAGAUCCAGUUACCCUAGGUGUCACCUCUUUAUAAAAAACAAUACUCAAAAACUAAUAGCAAGUGAUAUAAUAUUAAAUGAAUAAAUGUUGCUCCUAGAUUAUUUUCCGCUUUCAUUUGAUUUACCUAAAAUCCAAAUCGUUGCAAAUUAAAUAAAACAAGAUUAUUAAAAAAAGCUUUCUUAUUUCUUUAAUGGGUUAAAUAGAAGUCACAAUUUUAGCUUUCAUGGAUUCAUCUUCCAAAUUAUCACAACUGUUUUUAAUACAAAUAACAUGUAUAACAACCUACAAGGUUUUAUCUUCUAUUUCAGGAUGGUAAUAAAAUGGAGAAUCGAUUUGCUAAAUGGAUAGUAAUACCAUACAUUUACAAACUCCCCUACAGCAAAUUUAGCAAGCAAAAGCUACUACAUGAAAAUAAACUAUCUAUAGUCUUUUUCGUAAUAAAAAGCACAAACCUAAUGGAAAAUUAAGAACGUUAACACUAAAACACCAAAAAAAAACAUCAAACUAAUUAAAAAGUAACAAUCGGAUUUUGUAACAAAAGAAAACAAUUUCCAAUUGCCAAUUUCUAAUUUCCAAUCAUAAUCAAUAUUUCAAACCUAAAAAGUUAAAAAAAAUAUAUAAUAUAAUUAACAAGCGAAUUAGUUAUUACCAAGUUAUUGAGGCUCACUCAGGCUUAUGCGACAUCAAUGCUCACUCUGGUCUCUAGUAACAACCUUUACUUCGGAAAAGACAAUUGCACAGUGGAGGGAAGAUUUUAGGCGGCCAGGUCAGAGGAGUCAUGAGGGAACGAGGGUUAAUGAAGAAGAAAGAGAGAAUAAGAUAUGAUGUAUGUAAACAACGAGAUUUAAUGAACCCUAAAAACCUAAACACGAAUAUGUAUUGUGUUCAUAGGAAGGUUGGAGUUGAUACCAUGGUUGCAGAGCUGCAAUAAGAUGAAAGGGAGAUCCACAACCACGAAAUGCCAUUAGGUUUCUUUGGUAGAUGAUUUUACAGAAGAAGGAGGAGACGCAUCAUAGACAUAAAAAUGACGAAUGGAAGAUGAUUAGAGAAUAAGGCGAUGGGGUUUUUAAUUUUUUGGGGAUUUCAUCCCCCCCACCCCUCUUAGUUAUUUAAGGAUGGGAAACGUGUGUUUUUCUACAUGAAAAAUUAUAAAAUGACAUGCUUAUAUGGCAUGCUUGUUUUGAUAGGUACCCUCCAUGUAUUUUUUUUUUGUUACACUAAUAUUACAGCACGCAAAAAUGCGUGUCCUAAAUGCUUCAAGUUUUGGGAGAGCUGACAUUAUUUUUAGGGCAUACAAUUUUACAUAUCAUAAAUCAGUGUGUGUCAUGGUUUGCAUGCAAUUAAAGGACUGUUUUCUAGCAGCGAUAGUACUUUCUUAUCUUUUUAUACAACUUACACCAAAAGUUAUCGGGAAGUCUUUCCUUGUAGCAACUCCGUAACUAGAGCCCUUUCCUUUAUCUUCAUAGCGACAAUGUCGUUGAAAGAAAGAUCAGGCUCCUCAACUCACAAUAUCCUAGUUAGGAAAUGAUCAACCAAUCUUCCGCCACCUAAACUUAAUCUUUGUUAACCACAUCUCUCUAUAGGCCUUCCUUCUUUCCAAUUAUCUUUCCAACUAUCUAGUAGCCAAUUGAAGCUUUACAUAGAUUCAACUUUUGUAACAUGAUUGCCUUGGAAAACAUGUCUACUAGAUUCUUAGUACCAAGGAUCUUCUUCAGGUUCUGAGUCCAAUGGCUUAUUGAUUGUUUGAUAAAGUGGUAGUUCAUCUACACAUAUUUUGUUCUUUCAUGAAUGAUUAGAUUCUUUGAAAUGUGAAAUACACUAUGGUUCUAAUAAAGUAGGACAUAGUCCUUUUUUUUUGUCCAAAUCUAAUAUGAAAAACUUCAACCAAUAAGUUCUAAGGACAAUUUUUUCAAUUUCCAUUCAUUAUGCUUCUUUAGUUAAUAGAUGAAUACUCUUUCCAAAGUAUGGAUAUCCAACUGAUGGUUAUACCCACAAUGGUAUACAAAAACCCUAUUAUGGUUUUCCCUAAAUAUCUAGAACCUCCCUUAUCUACAUCACUGAAGCCUUUUAAGACUAGUUUCUUUCUUCUAAAAGCAAAAGGAAACCACAUAAGUGCUUUUCAAAUAGCAUAACGACCACUUCAUCCCUUCCCAAUUUUUUUUCUUUUAUUUGACAUAAAACUGCUAAUGCCUCCCACUACAUUACAAUAUAAGGUCUAGUGCAUAACAUAUCAUAGAUGAAGUUACAAUUAACUGCGGCAUAUGUGAAUUUAGCCAUCUCUUGCUUGUUUCUACCCGUCUUCACAAAUGCAACUUUCUAUUGCUUUCCAAGAAUACAUUUAUUACAAAUGUCAAAAAUCACACUUUUCAAAUUCGGAAUUCUUCAUUUCAAAGUUAACAUCUUCAUCUAUCACUCACUCACAUGCCUAUGUCUUUGUGUCAAAAAGUAAAUGUCUGUGUUUCUUCAAUAAACACAUUUCCACCAUUGCACAAAUUUCAACCAUAUACAACGUUUCCAAUCGAAAACAAUGAUAGACCACGAGCAUCAUUUUUUGUUGUUAAUUCUACACGUAACGAAAUUUGUAUGCAGUGUCGAAGGAAAAAGGGUUUUAGAAAUUAUAAUGUUUUUAUUAAUGACUUCUAAUUUUGAGCAACUAAACUAUAUAAUUAGAAAUGAACAAAAAUGACAUUUCAAUUAUUGUAGUGUGUGUUAUAGAAUGUAUUUUUUAAAGUGAAAUUGGAAUCUUAUACUUGUGUAUUUAUUUGUAAUUUCAAUUUGAAUGUUUACAAUGAAUCAAAGAAUAAAUAAUCAUCAAGAUCAGAAAUUGAUCAAUAAAAAAUAAAAAAUAUGGAUAUCAAGUUAGAAAGCAGGCUUAAAGGAAUCUAGAGGUCUUGCAUUCUGCUGAAAUACCAUUGAGAAACCGUUUGCGGUCGUUGCUGUAGUUGUAGAUCAUGUGCUUGGUUUGCACCCAUCGGAUCCUGUUUCGGCCGGCUGCAUCAAGUCCUUGGGUACUCCAUGACUGGUUAUCAUUUAUGGAGCUUGUAGAUACUGAAUUGGGACCAACUUUUUUGGCAUUGGCAUUGAAUUUCCUGUAUGACGCGGUGAAAGGCGCAUUAGUCCAGUCGGUCUUCACACGCCCACCUUGGGUUGCCCAGUCAUCCGCGUUCCAUAGGCUGGCAUACACCCUCAUGGGUUGGCUCUUGGGAAAUGGGACUCCAGCAGCAUCAUUGUUAUUGAACACCCUUACUGGUAUGUUAUCUAUCAAGAAACUGCAGAGACAAAGAGCUUUAUAUAGGAACAGCAGAAAAACAUGAGAAAGGAAGAGAACCAAUUAAUGUUUAUGUUGGAUGCGUGACUUACAUAAUUCUUAGACUGUUCCAUACGAUGGUAUAGGUGUGGAAGGCUGCGGUAGGGUCAAACCAAAGGUGGAACUGCUGUUCUUUGUUUCCUUUCCCUUGUGAAUACACAUUGGUGUGAAUUGUGUAAGGGUUUCCCGUGGAGUUGCCCAAGAACUCGAAGUCGAUCUCAUCGUGACCCGCACCUUGUGAUGACAACUAAUGUGAUUUAAUACAAAGACAUGGUUAUUAUCAGCCUUUAAAAGAUUAAUACAAAUGAGUGAUCACAAUAUAUAUAUAAUUCAGAUAUGAAAUUCAAGAUUGGAACCGAUCGAUGGUACUCACGUAGAAUGUGGUGACGGUGCCAGCAGAAUUGCCUGGUACUAGUUUGAGUUGCAUGUCGAACCUUCCAAACAGGUACUCGUGCUUCGACUGGAAACCCGAUCCAGAGUAUUGGUCGAGUGAAAGUGAAAGAUCCUGACCUCCAUUCAGAAUUUUAGCACGUUCACCCCCAAAACUGAUGUCCAUGUCAUCGUAAAAACUCCCUGCUGAUGCUGCUACUAUUAGAAUUGAUAUUAAAAGAACAACUGCACAAAGAUUAGAGUUCGACUUUGCCAUUAUUGUUUGUAUGGAGAGAGAGAGANUCGACUUUGCCAUUAUUGUUUGUAAGGAGAGAGAGAGAGAGAGAGAGAGAGAGAGAGAGAGAGAGAGAUGUUAUGUUUGUGAGAAGUAGUACUGAUAUCGUUUAUAUAUGUAGGUGUGGCUACGUUGACAAUUUUCAACAGGAACCAUCCUUCUUACUGAAGGAUGUCAUGGUGGCUAAUGGAUGCAUCAACAUCUAUUAACGCGUGCCAACUCACAUUAUUCUUCUGGACAUGGGCAGGAGCGGUGGGUUUUUUUUUCUAUACGCCUGGCAACUCAAAAUAUGCAAAUUUGUCAUAUUUGGACCGGUGGUUGACAUCAUACGUAAAAUAAAAUUGUUUUAAUAAUUUGUAAGCUGGGAAAAUCAAAUCUUUAAAAACGCAUUUAAAACAUUUAUCAAUCGCAUUUAACACUAUUAAAAAAAACUAAUUAUAUAUAUGUCGGUAAAGGGAACCAUCCGCAGCAACGGACUACCAAUUGAUUAACCAUUUAAUACAUUUCGUCGACAAACACAUAUGAAAUCUUGCUAAAUUAUCAACAUUUUAUCCAUUUCGGUGUUAACACUUAUUGAUGAUAAAUCCGUACGCAAAUUCCCCAAAAAUUUUCCUUUUCAUUUAGUUUUAUUACAAAAUUCGUCCAUUUUAUCCAAAAUUUCGGUUUCCUUCUCCCUCCUCGGCUUCCCCUUUAAAUGAAAGCAUCACUUGUACGGAAUGGGAGAUUUAUAAGAAAUUGGUCAAACUCAACUUCAUUUACAUUGAAAAAAGAAACAUGGUAAGGAAAGCUACAAUAUGUUCUUUGAGAUUAUUAAUUUAUUCUUAGUCCAUUCAACACUCUCUAUUAUUAUAUUAUGUACAAUUAUAUUUCUUAAGUAUCACAUUCUUAAACUUUAUUAAAUGUCGUCAUAUAUUGAUUUCUUUAGAAAGGUUGAGAUCUUGGUUGAGUUCUUCAAUUUUUAGAAGGAAUGUAAAUUCGUGAUAAGCUUGAACAAGUACAUAGAUGUUAUAAUUUACUGUAGGUGUGAAACCGAAGAUGACAUUUGAGGUCGACCACACUCCUUAAAGAGGGAAACUUAGAAAUUUACAAUUAUUGGUUUUUUUGAGUUCUCAAAUGUGUUGCAAUCUAAAAUGCAUGUUUAUAGGGAAAUAAUAGCAGUUAAAAAAAUUUGUCUUAGUCAUAACCUUGUAAUGUUGAUAAUUGAAUAUUUAUAUAUUUUAUAGAUUUUUUUUUCUUAAAUUUCAUGGAUUCAUUGAAAGAAAUCAAGAAAAAAAAAAAGGUAUCAUGAAUGGGAUGAACAUUUAUCUACCAUGCGAACAUAAUGGAUAUCUACACGAGGAUUGAAAUUAUCGUAACAAAACAUUACAUUAGUCUGAAAACAACAUGAUAUUUAGUGUCAAACCGACAUCUAGUAAUUACAUAUGUCUGGUAUCUAUAAAUAUAUACCUAUAUAUCCAUCGGUGAAGGGAACCAAUAAUGAUAGACUUCUAAUUGAUCAACGAUUUAGUAAAGAUCGUAAACAAAGAUAUAUAAAAUCUCACUAAUAUAGCAAAUUUGUACCUGUUUAGGUGUUAACACUUAUAUGUUGAUGUCUAUUUGAGCCCAAUAUGCAAUUAUUGUAUUUUGUUUUAGUUUUCAUAUUUGCUCGCAUCUUCUGUAACAAAGUUAAAAUUCUGGACUAAAGUUUUAACACAAAUAGUACUUGUUUAGCAUUUUAGUACAACUUACACCUAAAGUUAUUGUGAAGUUUUUCCUUGUAGCCACUCCGCAACAGGAGUCCAUACUUUGUCUCUAUAACGACCAUGAAGUCGAAAUGAACACCAGACACCUCAAGUAACAAUCUCAUCGACAAACACAUAUGAAAUCUAUGUAAAUUUCCAACUUUUUUACCUAUUUCGGUGGUAACACUUAAUGAUGGUAAAACCGGAUGCAAAUUUCCCCAAACAUCUUCUUUUUCAUUAAGUUUCAUUACUAAAUUGAACCAAUUAAUCUAAAAUUGUGAUUUCCCUCUCCUUCCUCGGUUUUCCCUUUAAAUGAAAGCAUCACUUGUACGAAUAAGAGAUUUAUAAGAAAUGGAUCAAACGCAACUCUACUUGUAUUGAAGAAAGAAAUAUAGGAAGGAAACCUACAAUUUGUUUUUGGAGAUUAUUUAUUCUUAAUUCAUUAUACUUUAUCCAUUAUUAUAUUAUGGACAAUUAUAUUUUUAGCAAUCACAUUCUUAAUGUUAAUUAAAGGUUAUCAUAAAAAGAAAAGGUUGGGAUCUUGAUUGAGCUCUUGAAAUUUGGAAGGGAAAGUAAAUUCCUCAUAGGAUUGAUGUUGUGACUGCAACUUACUGUAGGUGUGAAAUUGAAGAUGUUGUUUGAGGACGAGGAACCUCUUUAAAGAGGCUACAUAAAAAAAUUACCAUUUAAUGGUGAUAACUAAAUAUUUAUAUUUGUUAUAGUUUUUUUCUUAUUUAACGGAUUUAUUGAAAGAAACCAAGAAAAAGAAUGGUAUCAUGAAUUGGAUGAACAUGUAUCUACCAUGUGAACAUAAUGGAUAUUUACUGGAGAGAUUGAAACUAUAGUAACAAAACAUUAGAUUAGUCUGAAAACAACAUGAUAUUUAGUUUCAAACUGACAUCUAAUAGUUAUGCAUGUCUCAAAUGUAUAAAUACAUACAAGCAUUAUUAGCUAUUCAACGUUGGCUUCCAGUUCAUUAAGGAUUUAAUACAAAUCAUCGACAAAUAUAUAUGAAAUCUUCCUGAUUUAGCACAUUUUUACCCAUUUUGGUGUUAAAACUUAUAUGUUGCAGUCUAUUUGAGCCUAAUAUGCAAUUAUUGUAUUUUUAUUAAGUUUUCAUUUGUGCUUGCAUCUUUUGUAACAAAGUUAAAAUUUCGGACCUUAAUUUUUAGAUAAAUACACUAAUAGAAAAAUAUCCUUUAAUGACAAGAAUUGCAUGUCAUAGAAGGAUACAUAUGACACGCAAAUGCGUGUAAAUGAAGGGCCUAUCAUAAAGGAAGACGACACGCAUUUAUGUGCCCUAACCAUACGACACGCAUUUACGACAUGCAAUGUGUAUCAUUAAUGACAAGAAUUGCAUGUCAUAGAAGGAUACAUAUGACACGCAAACGCGUGUCAAUGAAGGGCCUAUCAUAAAGGAAGACGACACGCAUUUAUGUGUCGUAACCAUACGACGUGCAUUUACGACAUGCAAUGUGUAUCAUUAAAGCCCCUGUCAUAAAGAAAGAUAAUUUUAAAGGUUUUAAAAAAAUAUUCUUUUGAAUGGAUUUAAUAAUUUUCAAAUUAGAUGACACCUAAUGUCUCAUAACAUAAAAUAGCAUAUCAUUAAAAAAAAAAGACAAUCCAUUUAAAAAUAUAUAGUAUGUCAAAUAAUAAUAAUCAUUCCAAUGCUUAAAUAAUGUAAUACAAAAACUAUUUCAUCAUAUCUUAUCAACUCCCCUAAGAAUACACCAUCUCCAAUUAAGACAUGUAUUCAGACCAAUUUACCUACCACAAAUGCAACAAUUGAAACAUGAGACCCAACCGAUCCUUUAUAUAGUCCCUUUGGUCCUUUAUCUUUCCAUAUUAGCCCAAUGACCUCUAAGAUUCAGAUGUGUUUCUUCAAUCCAUUUUUUGGUCGAUUCUAUGACACCAAAGUAUGCUACACCUAUUGCAAGACAUCCAGUUACCCCAGGUGCCUCGUCUCUAUAAAAACAAUACUAAAAAACUAAUAGCAAGUGAUAUAAUAUUAAAUGACUAAAUGUUUGAUUCGACUAGAGAUUCCAUCAAUGACAGUCACGUUUGUUUCUCCUUCAUUGCUCCAAGAUUCUUUUCCACUUUCAUUUAAUUUACCAAGAAUCCAAAUGGUUGCAAAUUAAGUAAAACAAGAUUAUUAAAAAAAAGGUUUCUUAUUUCUUUAAUGGGUUACAUAAAAGUCACCAUUUUAGAUUUCAUGGAUUCAUCUUCUAAGUUAUCACAACUGUUAUUAAUACAAAUAACAUGUAUAACAACCUACAUAGUUUUAUCUUCUAUUUCAAGAUGGUAAUAAAAUGGAGAAUCGAUUUGCUAAAUGCAUAGUAAUACCAUACAUUUACAAACUCCCCUAUAGAAAAUUUAGCAAGCAAAAGUAAACAUUCCAUGAAAAUAAACUGUCUAUAGUCUUUUUCGUAUUAGAAAGCACAAACCUAAUGGAAAAUUAAGAACGUUACCACUAAAACAUCAAAAAAAAAAAAAAAAAAAAAAAAAAAAAAAAAAACCUCGUCAAACUAAUUAAAAAGUAACAAUCGGAUUUUGUAACAAAUGAAAACAAUUUCCAAUCAUAAUCAAUAUUUCAAACCUAAAAAGUAUUUAAAAAAAUAAUAUAAUUAUAAAGCGAAUAAGUUAUUACCAUGUUAGAGAGAGAGAGAUCAGGUACAUUGUAGACUCGCUCAGGCGACAUCAAUGCUCACUCUAGUCUCCAGUAACGACAUGUACUCCGGCAAAGACAACUGCACAAUGGAGGGAAGAUUUUAGGCGGCCAAUUAAGUCAGAGGAGUCAUGAGAGAACGAGUGUUAAUGAAUAAGAAAGAGAGAAUAAGAAAUGAUGUGUGUAAACGACGAGAUUUAAUGAACCCUAGAAACCUAAGCACGAAUAUGUAUUGUGUUAAUAGGAAGGUUGGAGUGGAUACCAUGGCUGCAGAGCUGCAAAAAGAUGAAAGGGAGAUGCACAACUGCGAAAUGCCAUUAGGUUUUCUUCAGUAGAUGAUUUUAUAGAAGAAGGAGGAGACGCAUCAUAGACAUCCAAAUGACGAAUGGGAGAUGAUUAGAGAACAAGGCGCCGAGGUUUUUUAAUAUUUUGGGGAUUUCAUNNNNNNNNCCCCCCCCCCCCCCCCCCCCCCGCUAGUUAUUAAAGGAUUGGAAACGUGUGUCAUUCCUCAUGAAAACUUACAAAAUGACAUGCUUAUACGACAUGAUUUUCUUGAUAGGUACCCUCAAUUUUUUUUGUGACAUUAAUUUUAGGGCAUGCAACACUCUCUAUUAUUAUAUUAUGUACAAUUAUAUUUCUUAAGUAUCACAUUCUUAAACUUUAUUAAAAGUCGUCAUAUAUUGAUUUCUUUAGAAAGGUUGAGAUCUUGGUUGACUUCUUCAAUUUUUAGAAGGAAAGUAAAUUCGUGAUAAGCUUGAACAGGUACAUAGAUGUUAUAAUUUACUGUAGGUGUGAAACCGAAGAUGACAUUUGAGGUCGACCACACUUCUUAAAGAGGGUAACUAAGAAAUUUACCAUUAUUUGUUUUUUUGAGUUCUCAAAUGUGUUGCAAUCUAAAAUACAUGUUUACAGGGAAAUAAGAGCAGUUAAAACAAUUUGUCUUAGUCAUAACCUUGUAAUGUUGAUAAUUGAAUAUUUAUAUAUUUUAUUGAUUUUUUUUUCUUAAAUUUAAUGGAUUCAUUGAAAGAAAUCAAGAAAAAAAUGGUAUCAUGAAUGGGAUGAACAUUUAUCUACCAUGCGAACAUAAUGGAUAUCUACACGAGGAUUGAAAUUAUCGUAACAAAACAUUACAUUAGUCUGAAAACAGCAUGAUAUUUAGUGUCAAACCGACAUCUAGUAGUUACAUAUGUCUGGUAUCUAUAAAUAUAUACCUAUAUAUCCAUCGGUGAAGGGAACCAAUAAUGAUAGACUCCUAAUUGAUCAACGAUUUAGUAAAGAUCGUAAACAAAGAUAUAUAAAAUCUCGCUAAUAUAGCAAAUUUGUACCUGUUUAGGUGUUAACACUUAUAUGUUGAUGUCUAUUUGAGCCCAAUAUGCAAUUAUUGUAUUUUGUUUUAGUGUUCAUAUUUGCUCGCAUCUUCUGUAACAAAGUUAAAAUUCUAGACUAUAGUUUUAACACAAAUAGUACUUGUUUAGCUUUUUAGUACAACUUACACCUAAAGUUAGUGUGAAGUUUUUCCUUGUAGCCACUCCGCAACACGAGUCCAUGCUUUGUCUCUAUAGCGACCAUGAAGUCGAAAGGAACACCAGACACCUCAAGUAACAAUCUCAUCGACAAACACAUAUGAAAUCUCAGUAAAUUUCCAACUUUUUUACCUAUUUCGGUGGUAACACUUAAUGAUGAUAAAACCAUAUGCAAAUUUCCCCAAACAUCUUCUUUUUCAUUAAGUUUCAUUACUAAAUUCAACCAAUUAAUCUAAAAUUGUGAUUUCCCUCUCCUUCCUCGGUUUUCCCUUUAAAUGAAAGCAUCACUUGUACGAAUAAGAGAUUUAUAAGAAAUGGAUCAAACGCAACUCUACUUGUAUUGAAGAAAGAAAUAUAGGAAGGAAACCUACAAUUUGUUUUUCGAGAUUAUUUAUUCUAAAUUCAUUAUACUUUAUCCAUUAUUAUAUUAUGUACAAUUAUAUUUUUAGCAAUCACAUUCUUAAUGUUAAUUAAAGGUUAUCAUAAAAAGAAAAUGUUGGGAUCUUGAUUGAGCUCUUGAAAUUUGGAAGGGAAAGUAAAUUCCUCAUAGGAUUGAUGUUGUGACUGCAAUUUACUGUAGGUGUGAAAUUGAAGAUGUUGUUUGAGGACGAGGAACCUCUUCAAAGAGGCCACAUAAAAAAUUACCAUUUAAUGGUGAUAACUGAAUAUUUAUAUUUGUUAUAGUUUUUUUCUUAUUUAACGGAUUUAUUGAAAGAAACCAAGAAAAAAAAAUGGUAUCAUGAAUGGGAUGAACAUGUAUCUACCAUGUGAACAUAAUGGAUAUUUACUAGAGAGAUUGAAACUAUGGUAACAAAACAUUAGAUUAGUCUAAAAACAACAUGAUAUUUUGUUUCAAACUGACAUCUAAUAGUUAUGCAUGUCUCAAAUGUAUAAAUACAUACAAGCAUAUAUUAGCUAUUCAACGUUGGCUUCCGGUUCAUUAAGGAUUUAAUACAAAUCAUCGACAAAUAUAUAUGAAAUCUUCUUGAUUUAGCACAUUUUUAUCCAUUUUGGUGUUAAAACUUAUAUGUUGCAGUCUAUUUGAGCCUAAUAUGCAAUUAUUGUAUUUUUAUUAAGUUUUCAUUUGUGCUUGCAUCUUUUGUAACAAAGUUAAAAUUCCAGACCUUAAUUUUUAGAUAAAUACACUAACAGAAAAAUAUCCUUUAAUGACAAGAAUUGCAUGUCAUAGAAGGAUACAUAUGACACGCAAAUGCGUGUCAAUGAAGGGCCUAUCAUGAAGGAAGACGACACGCAUUUAUGUGUCGUAACCUUACGACGCACAUUUACGACAUGCAAACCCGACCCGAUACCUGAAUUUAAUUUGGGUCGGGUAACGGGUAUUUUUUUUAACAUGAAAAACCUGAAUUACCCGACCCAAAUUACCCGAAGCCCGAAAAAAUUACCCGAUCAACACCCCUAGACAAAAUAACCAUGGACUUUAUCCAGGGGUUACUCAAGUUCGAUGGAUAUGAUACCAUUUGGGUUGUGGUUGACCGACUUGGUAAGUAUACUCAUUUUAUUCCCCUCAAGCAUCCUUUCUCAGCAUCCACAGUUGCCAAAAGCUUCAUCAAGGAAAUCGCCCACCUCUACGGUUUUCCUCUAUAUAUAAUCAAUGAUUGAGAUCGUAAUUUUUUGUCACUGUUAAGUGGAGCUGUUUAAAUCACAUAGAGUGCAUCUCAAAAGAAGCACGACCUAUCACACACAAACAGAUGGUUAGAAGUGGUGAACCGACGUAUUUUUUAUGAAGAAACCAAAAAAAUGGGCUCGCUGACUUUUUUGGGCAGAAUUUUGGUAUAAUUCAUCCUUACAUACGGCCACCAAAUGCACCCCGCUUUGAGCCUUUUACGGUAGGAUUCACCCCCAUCAUCCGUUACGAAGGGCAAUAUCCUCGGUGGACGCAAUUGAUCAAUUGCUAUAAGACAUGGAUGCUAUUUUGGAUUGAGUUGUGCAUUUGUUGUGGACCCAACAAAAAAAUGCAAAACCAAGCUUAAAAGAAGACAAGGUAAGUGGAGUAUCAAGAAAGGGACUUGGUUUAGGUGAAAUUGAAACCGUAUCGACAACAAAGCUUGGGACGAAGAAAAUAUGAGAAAUUAGUCGCCCGUUACUAUGGCCCCUAUAGGAUUAGCAAGAGGGUUGGAAAGGUAGCUUACACCCUUGAAUUACCCCCGACAACUCUCAUCCACGCUUGAAAUAAAUAAUUUAUUAAUGUAUUAUGAGGUUACUAUAUUAAUUAUAAAUAGUAUUAUUUAAUUAAUAAUUAAUCAAAAAUUAAUUGGAAUUAAUUUUGGGAUUAAUUUGAUUAAUUAAAAGUAUAGGGAUUAAAUGUGACAAUAUUCAAAAGUUGUGCAUUGAAUAAUUCCAGAACCUUCCCAAAGAGGGGAUGGUUUUGGAGGAGGUUCCUUGGGCUUCUUGGAAGCCUUAGGAAGCCUUAGCGAGCAAAAAAAGGAUAAGGGUUAUCCAAGGAAAUCUGUCUUAUUCUGACUCCUUACUCGCACAUAUAAACCCCUCAUGGGAUUCAUAUUUUCGGCACUCCAUCUCUAAGAGCCUUAGAGCCAAAAUUGAUGCCCCUCUCCUUUCUCCUCUAAAGUCUUCUAUUGGUUUGGGUACAUACCAUUUGAGGCACAAUAUUUCUGGGGCUGGUUUUCUGAAGUUUGUUAAAGAAGGAAUUGUUGAUUAUUUCUUAGGUAUGUAAACCCUAAAACUCUUUAUGAAUUUUGAAAAGAGUAGAUCACUCCUAGGGUUCUUGAUGUUCAAUUGUUUGUUGCAAAUCAAUAGUGAAAACAUAGAUCAAUUAGGUUACUUGUGAACUUAGGGCUAAGUUUUUUCUGCCACAUCUUUUUUUUUUUUGUAACCUAUAAAAGGUAACAAAGAUAAGAUAGCUUCUCCCCCAAAAUUUAAGAGGUAAACUAGAUUGAAAGAUCAAGGAUCUAUGUAACAGCCCGGAAUUUCAGGUAUUGUUAUAUUUGUGAUUUUGGGUGUUUUAAGAGGGGACUCGGCGAGUUGGAGCCCAGACUCGCCGAGUAGGAUCGCGGAUCUGGUCGCAGGUUCGCGACUGGACUCGACGAGUCCGGAUAUGGACUCGGCGAGUCUGCGCUGUUUAGCGAAAACCCUAACCGUUCAGGUUUGGGACGUAUAUGAGGGACCUUAUGGCCGUCAUUGUUCACCCUAGUCCUCUGAGAGAAACCCUAAUUCGAUUGUGAGCAUCUGGAGCAAGGUAGAAGACCAUUGUUGAUUUUGGAAGUGUUGUUUUGCAAGGAAGAGGAGGCUUGGUUAAGGGAACAACAAGGGAAGCCACGUUCUGAGGAUUGGGGACACAGAGAGCACGUUAUUCAGGUAAUAUUUCGAGUUGCAUUCUUCUAUGUUGAUGUGUAUAUGGAUUUAGGGUUUAUUGAACCCUUUUGUGGCUAGAUUGAGUGUUACCUUAGUCCCCCAAACGAUUGGAACCCUGUAUUGGGAUCUUUGGAAGUCCAGAAUGUCCCAUGCCUGAGCAUUUCGUGAAUCAAUGGAGGUUUUGGAUUGGAAUCCUUAUGCCUUAGGUCAAAAUGUAAAUUAUGAGUCAUGGGGUGUAUUAUGAGCACCGAAAUGAGGACCUUACGUGAUGAAUCAGUCUAGGAAGGCCAGACCUAUGAAUGGUCGGAGCAGUUCUGACCUUAGAAAGCAGUUUGAGCGGUUGCAUGGCAUGGACUCGCCGAGUCCGAUGAACAGACUCGGCGAGUAGCUUGAAGAUUAACUGGGACUCGUCGAGUUGUUCUUCAGACUCGGCGAGUUGAGUCGGGGUGGCCCCGCGAUUCUUCCAGGAGAAACUCGUCGAGUCAAGGAGGAUACUCGACGAGUAGAAAGGGAAUCUUAGAGAAUUGGUGAGGACGUCUAGACUCGCCGAGUCGCCCUAGCACUCGCCGAGUCCGGUCAAGUUGACCGUUGACCGUUGACCGGUGUUGACCUAUGUCUGACUUCUUAGGGAUAGUCAAACUUAGAAGAUAAAAGUGUUAAUAAGAGAUGUAUGAUGUUAUAGGGAGAUUGUAGCUCGGCGGAUCGAGUACGAGUGACUUCGGGAUUUGCUAGCUUUCGACAUUCACGAGGUGAGUCUUCUCACUAUACUGUACCCGGAAGGGUUUGACUGUGUGACCGGAAGGUCGGAUAUGAUAUGAGAUAUAUGUGCUAUAUGUGAUAAGUUAAUUGUUAUACGUGCUAUGUAUGUUAUGUGGGCCGGAAGGCAUUAUGUUAUGGGCCGGAAGGCGAUUAUGUUAUGGGCCGGAAGGCGUUGUGUUGUGGACCGGAAGGUCGGCGUGGGUAGGACCGGAAGGUUUACCCAGCAGGGACGGAAGUCCCCUGAGACACAUGGACCGGAAGGUCAGGGCCUGGAAAGGCGUAUGUGCGUAAGUUGUAUAUUGGGGAACUCACUAAGCAUUUAUGCUUACAGUUGUUAUGUAUGUGUUUCAGGUACUAGCGAGGACCGUGGGAAGGCGCCGGCGUGAUCUGUACACACUGAAAGAUGUUUUGUGAUCUUGGGAUUUAGAUGAUUUGUAUUUUGACAUGACACUUGAAAUGUUUAUGCCUUGUUUUGAAUGAAAAUACUAUAAUUUGAAAUGAAAAUUUUGUUUGAAAAUUUACGGUGUUACAAUCUAGCAACAUUUAAAAUAUGCCUAUGUUUUCUAUCCACAACACCAUUCCAUUGUGAAGUGUGAACACAGGAUGUUUGAUGAAGAAUUUCUUUAGUUUCAAACAAAGAUCUCAUUUUAUUAUUUAAAAAUUAUGUCCUAUUAUCAGAUCUUACCGUUUUAAUUUUUACUUCAAAUUGAUUAAAAAGAAUAUUAAAGAAGACACAAAUACAAUCAUAAAUUUCAUCCUUAGACUUUAACACAUAAACCCAAGUAGCCCUUGUUAAGUCAUCCACAAUAGGCAAAAAAAAUAUCUAAAUCCUUCUCACAUAGUAACUCUAUAAGGACUCCAUACAUCACGGUGGAUUAACUAACCAAGUUUAGUAGUGACAUGUUGACUGGUGGGAAAUGACUCCCUAGUUUGUUUGGCUUUGUGACAUAUGUCACGAUGAAGAACAUCAUUCCCAAACUUAAGUUUGUUUAUUGAAGAAAUUAAAGCUUGAUCACAGGGAUGACCAAGCCUAUUAUGUCAGGUAAGUUUAGAGACACAACAAACAGAAAAAUUGGACACUUUAGAAUUGUUACCUAGAGGUACAUUAUCCAUAUAAUAGGGACCUCCAGACUAUCUACCAGUCCCUACCAUAUCCUUGGACUGUAAAUCCUAAAUUUUACAUGUAUGUUCAUUAUGGACAUAUAACAAGUUGACAUUAAAAUCAGGAACAUCGAAGACAUUAAAUAAGGUCAAGGAAUUAGAUACUUUCAAAUAUCCAAUUUUUUCAAUUUUAGUAGAAGUUCUAUUAGGAUGACUAACAAGAAGAUCUAGUUUAGAUACAUCCACAGUAUCAUGAAGAAGAGAUUCAGAGGAAUUAAAAGCCUUAACUAAGCAAGUAUUAUAUUAGCACUAGCAUAUGCUUCCUCAUUAGUUUGUUUAUCAUUAAUAAGUUGCAAAAAUCUAACAUACUAAUCCUUAGUGAGAUGAUGAUAUUCAAAAUCUCUAGAGACACAGGCAAACUAGAAGAACCAGACAUUCAAAAGAGGUAGUAGAAGAAUUCACAGAAUAAUUUCUAUUUGAAUUGUUAUUAGAUUCAUGUCUUGGUUUAAAAUCCUUAGGAUAUACAAUUAUUUUAUACCAAUUUUCAAUUGGAUGUCCUUUAAGACCACAAUUUUUACAUUGACCAACUUGAUUCUUACUCUUAUUAGAAUUAGUGGAAUUAAACUUAUUAUUAAAUCUGCUAGUAAAAGAAGAAGAUUGAGAUUUACACAAAGACUAAGAAGAUUGAGGAGUAGAUAAAGAACCAUUCUUUUGAAGAGACUUUUCCCUAGAUACUAUAGAUAAGGCGGUUUUCACAUUGGGUAAAGGAUCCAUAAGAAGAAUAUGACUCUUAACUUAACUAUAAGACUCAUCAAGACCACUUAGAUUUAUUAUAAGUUUCAAAAAGGUUUUUCCAAAUGUCCUCAGCCAUUAGAUUUAUUAUAAGUUUGAGUGAAUUAAUUUGCUGAUGAAUGUUGAAAACAACAGACCCAUUAGAUUUAUUAUAAGUUUCAAAAAGGUUUUUCCAAAUGUCCUCAGCCACUUCUGAAUAAACAUGACUAGCAUAGACGGAAUCAUAAAUGGGGGAAAGAAGCCAAGAACAUACAACAACAUUAGCCCUUUCCCAUUUUAAUUGUCUAGGUUGUUCAACGUUACCUUUUUUAAGAGUUUCAUCAACAAAUCCUAACUUAUUCCUAGCCUUAAGAGCUCUAGACAUAGACCUUCUCCACAACCUAAAGUUCUCAUUUCCAGUCAACUUUAUUGUAACAAUAGUUGUGACAAUAUUAGUCAACUUUAAUGUAACAAUAGUUAUGACAAUAUUAUCUGAAGGAUGAAUGUAGAGAGGAUUAUCAAAAUUAGUUGAAAUAUCCUUUCCAUUUCCUCCAUGAGUAUAAGUAGGGUCAUCCAUAGAAAUAGAUAAGACACAAACAACAAACACAUACAACUAUGACAACCAAAGUCCAGAAGGUCACCACGGUAUGUUAGGGCCCAAGAUAGUUGUCACAAUCAAAACAAGAACAAACGAUAGCAAGAAGGCAAACAUAUAACAAGAAGAGAUUGCAAUUAAUUGGUGUAUUCAAGACAACCAUAAACUCCUACAACCAAACUCAGAAAAAGAAUAAAAGAGAACAAGAAAACCUCAUAGAGGUCCAGAAGUUACUUUUGAUGUGCAGAGAUGACAAAUCGCCUCUCCUAAGGUUUCAUCCCAAUAGAGUUAUUUCAUAUACAAGGUCGAUAUGUUCUCAACAAUGAGUUAAUCAAAACCUAGAUCCGUUCUCUUAGAGGAUUAAUCAACAUCUAAUAAGAGAUUGAGCGAUUUUUGGAUAUAAAGAAGAUACGACGAGAACACUAGGAUGUGAAGGAUCUGCACCGAUCUGCAAAUCAAAACACAAAAAAAUCAUAGUACCAAAGAACUGGAAACGAAACCAAACUUAACAAGAAGUGAUCUCGUGAAAACCGAUCGACACAAAAGGAUGAUCAACAGAGAUCAACAGCGAAACCCAAGAUCUGACACUACAAGUGUCAAAUCUAUAAGGAAUGGAUAAAUAAGAAGCGAAAACAAGACAAGAACACGAACACAAACUUGAAACGAAACUCUUCGUAGGUCGUUGUAGACUUUAAUCGGAGCAACAAUUAAUCUAAUACCAUCUAAGAAAAGUAAAAACUCAAGAACUUCCCAACAUGAAUAGUUUAUUUAGUUCGUUUGUACAUCAAUACUUACAAAAGAAAUCCUCGCUACAUAACACUCACACUCUAAUGUAUACACAAAAUGAUUUUACUAUAAAGGGAAACGGCAGAACAAACCCUAGAUAAUACAGAAAACCCUAAUCAAGAGUUAGAGAGAAAAGAGAGAGCAAUCUACAAAAUGUAUCUAAUGAUUGAGACGAAGACCAACAAGCAUAUAUACCCGGGUCAUGAAAAUGACUCGAUCGAUGAACCCACAUUUGCAAUAAGAAAUUUACACAACCCCUGCACAAUAACAUCAAUAUAAAAAUAGACCAAACUAACCAGAAAUUAUAUAUAAAAAUGUUAAGUUUGAUAUAUAUAUAUAUAUAUAUAUAUAUANNNNNNNNNNNNNNNNNNNNNNNNNNNNCUACGUAUCCAUCGGUAAAGGGAACCAUCAACAAUGGCCUACCAAUUGAUUAACGAUUUAAUACAGAUCAUUAACAAACAUGUAUGAAAUCUUGCUAAAUUAGCAACUUCUUACCUAUUUCGGUGUUAACACUUAUAUGUUGAAGUGUAUUUGAGCCCAAUAUGCAAUUAUUAUAUUUUGUUUAUGUUUUCAUUUUUGCUUGCAUCUUCCGUAACAAACUUAAAAUUCCAAACUUUAAUUUUAACAUAAAUAGUACUUUUUUAUAUUUUUAGUACAACUUACACCUGAAGUUAUCGUGAAGUCUUUCCUUGUAGCCACUCUGCAACAAGGAGCUCAUGCUUUGUCUCUAUAGCGACAAUGAGGUCAAAAGGAAAGACUCCUCAACUAACAAUCUCGUCAACAAACAUAUAUGAAAUCUCGCUAAAUUAACAACUUUUUACCCAUUUUGGUGUUAUAUUGAUGAUAAAACUAAAUGCAAAUACCCCAAACAUCUUCCUUUUCAUUUAGUUUCAUUACCAAAUUCGUCCAUUUUAUCUAAAUUUUUGGUUUCCCUCUCCCUCCAUGGUUUCCCCUUUAAAUGAAAGCAUCACUUGUACGGAAUAGGAGAUUUAUAAGAAAUGGAUCAAACUCAACUCUAUGUACAUUGAAGAAAGAAAUAUGGGAAGAAGACCUAUAAUCUAUUUUUCGAGAUUAUUUAUUCUUGGUUCAUUACUCUAUCCAGUAUUAUAUUAUGUACAAUUAUAUUUCUUAACAAUCACAUUCUUAACGUUAAUUAAAAGUUGUCAUAUAAAGAAAAAGUUGGGAUCUUGAUUGAGUUCUUGAAAUUUGGCAGGGCAAGUAAAUUCAUCAUAGGCUUGAACAAGUACAUAGAUGUUGUGAAUACAAUUUACUGUAGGUGUGAAAUUGAAGAUGACGUUUGAGGACGAAGACGCUCCUUAAAGAGGGUAACUAAGAAAUUUACUGUUAUCAUCAGUCUUUUUGAGUUUGCAAAUAUGUUACAAUCCCAAAAGGAAUUUUAUAGGGAUAAUUGAAAUAUUUAUAUAUCCGUUAUAGUUUUUUUUUUUUUCUUAAAUUUAACGGAUUUGUUAAAAGAUACCAAGAAAAAAAAUGGUAUCUUGAACGGGAUGAAUAUGUAUCUACCAUGUGAGUGUAAUGGAUAUCUAUAGGGGAGAUUGAAACUAUCGUAACAAAAUAUUAGAUUAGUCUGAAAAAACAACAUGAUAUUUAGUGUCAAACCGACAUUUAAUAGUUAUGCAUGUCUCAAAUCUAUAAAUACGUACAAAUAGAUAUUGGCUAGGGUUCCGAACUGGAGCACCAAUUCAAAAUCAUCAUGGGGGUAAUUCGUUGCCUACUUCUGAUGUUAUGCCAUUUCCAAUGAAAUCGAAUCUCGCCUUCCAGCGAAAGACGAGCGUUGAUCGUUGAUUGACUGAAGCACAAAUAGCAGAAAAGAAAACUCGAGGUCUUUGCUUCAAAUGUUAUGAAAAUGGCAACCAGGUCAUCACUGUAAAACACAAGUCAAUGUGAUUUUUGUUAAUAAAGAGGAGAUGAAACUUUGUGAGGAGCAGAAGCAAGACUUUACACCCAAUGAAGGAGUUACAUUGGAAACUUUAGAAAUUGACCACCCAAUUGAGGUAUCUCUAAACUCUGUAGCAGGGCUCCCGUCCCUACAAACGAUGAAACUGCAAGAAAACAUCGUGAAUCAACUAGUGGUGGCCAUGAUUGAUCUCGAGGCCACCCAUAAUUUUAUUGCUAGAAGUUUGGUAUGGGGUUCGAAUGGGUAAUGGGGACAAUAAAGCAAGGAGGGGAGUAUGUAAGGGGGUGUUAUUGUAAAUAAAACAAAUCGACAUUAUCGAAGAGUUCUUACCCCUCCGAUUCGGAAGAUCCAACAUAAUCAGGGACGAACGGGACCUUAGGUACCACUCAAACCAAUUGGAAGGAUCAGACAAUGGAGUUCGACAUUGGAGGAAGGCGAGUCAAAUUGAAAGGAGACUCGUUUUGAAAGGAGACCCGACUUUGGGCAAGUCCCUGGUAUCCUUAAAAAAACUUGGAGAGAGAAUUACAUCAAAUAUGGGUUAAGGCGGAAGACAUACCCAAUACGACUUUUUGAUAUUACGAGUUCAAGGUGAUUCCCUUUGGCCCUACCAACGCCCCUGCUACUUUCCAAGCCUUAUUCAAUGAAAUAUUUCGGCCAUAUUUGCGGGAGCUCGUCCUUGUUUUCUUUGAUGACAUAUUGGUCUAUGAUGCUAGUAAAGAAAUGCAUCAAAGACAUCUCACAAUGGCGUAAGAAUGGUUACCAUAAAAUCAACCCUAUCUCAAAUUAAAGAAGUGUGAAUUUGGACAAUCAUGUCUAUCAUACCUUCGUCAUGAGAUUUCAAAUAAUGGGGUCUCGACGGAGACCAUCAAGAUUCAAGCCGUGUUAGAUUGGCCCGUACCACGAAACAUCAAGAGCUUAUGAGGUUUUUUUGGGACUAACGGGGUACCAUCAGAUGUUAUGCUAGCAUAGCCACACCUCUCACGGAGCAACUUAAAAAAAUACAAAUUUGGAUGGAACAAGGUUGUCGAAAAAGUCUUCAGCAACCGAAGACAACAUGACAAUCAUGUUGUUUUUAGCAAUGUCGGAGACGGAGAAACCCUUCGUGGUUGAAACCGACACGUCGAGGUACGAACUUGGGGCGGUUCUAAUCCAAUAUAAUAGGUCAAUAGCUUAUUAUAGUUGCACUUUGGGAACCAUAGGCCGAUCAAAACCUAUUUAUGAAAAAGAGUUUAUAGCCAUUGUUAAAGCCGUAUUGAAGUGGAGGCAUUACAUAAUGGGAAGAAGAUUCAUCGUUCGAACGGAUCAACUUAGUCUCAAGUACACGUGUUAUAGGUCACAAUUAUCAAAAAUGGGUGUGUUGAAGCUAAUAGGGUUUACUUUUGAAAUUUAAUAUUGAUCCGGAGCUACUAGGGGUGUUCGUUUGCAUGGAUCGGUUCAAUCCGAUUCAAUCAAGUGAAUCCAAAUUAAUUUCGGUUUUUAAAACAUAGAUCCAAAUAGUCCAAACUAAAUUCAAAUUCAAUCUGAUCCAAUCGAAUUACAAUUCGAUUGGAUCGAUUUUUAUAAUUCGGUUUUCAAAAUUUGGAAUAAUUUUUUUAAAAGCACAUAUAAUUAGAAUACUACCCAACUUUAUAAAAGAAAAAAAAAACAAAUAUCUUAUUUGUGGUUUAAAGUUACGAACAACUACUAAAAAUAUAUUAAAGCUUAAUAUUUUAUAAAUAAAAACUAUUUUUAGAAAAUACAUAUUAAGAUUUUUUAUUAAGUGAAAUUUCUUGAAAAAAAAGUAAAAAAAAUAAUAAAUAAUUAUAGAUAUAUAUUCAAAAUAAAUAAAUAACAAAUUUUUAUUUGGUUUUUUUGGAGUAUUCGGUUCUUAUUUUAUAAACCAAAAUCAAUCUGAAAUCCAAAAUAAUAAUUCGGUUUUGUUGAAACUCAAUCAAAAAAUCUGAAUAUCCGAACCAAAGAGUCUAAUCCAAAUUAUCAAAUUGGAAAAUUCGGUUUUAUCCAAAUAAUCCACAAUUCUCUGAUCAUACGGGCAAGAAAAAGACUUACCAAAUAACAGCGGUAUGGGUUUCUUGGCCAAGAAUGCAAGUCGACAUCAUCGAAUAUAUCAGAAACGUGUCAGAGAAACAAAACCCUCGCAUCGACUCCAAUCGGGUUACUUUAAGCAAUACCUCUUUCGGCCCAAACAUUGGACAAAAUUAGCCCUGUCGAAAAUACUCGAUACUCGAAUUACCCGCUUGAUUUUUUCGGAUAAUCGAGUAACCCGAUUUUUUCAAGUCAGGUAAAGGGUACGUUUGUUGGGUUUCGGGUAUACCCGAAUUAUUUUAAAAUUUCUUUUUUUUCAUAGAGCUUGUACUCUGUAGCAGGUAUUUAAUCACGCUUAAACUAACUAUCAUUAUUGUAAAACAUGAAUCUCUUUUAUUAUGACAAUAUGACACUAGCAAUAUUAAAAGUAAUUGUUUACAUAUAAUCAUGUUCUUUAAAACUUAACAAUUUUCUAGAUUAUAGUUUUUUAUUGCAACUAACAAACUCAUUAUCUUGACGAAACUUCAGAACAUGGCAAAAAUUAUGGCUACAAUUAUUUUAAACAUUUUAAACUUUUAAAUUAAAAUCUUUAAGUAUUUGUUUUUUAACAUUUUAUUAGAUUAGAUUAAGUUGUUAAAAAAUUACUUGAUAUCUCAGGUAAUAUUGACUAAAAAAUCUCAAUAUUCAAAGCUUGAGUAACUUCAUUUAUGGCUCGUUUAUUUAUAUAAACAAGACUAGUAAAGCACGACAUAUUUAUUUCAUUAAAUUUAUUUUCAGGUGAAAUUCAAAAAAAAACAUUAUAUAUUUCGGAUAAUACCCGAAUUUAAUUUGGGUCAGGUUACGAGUAUUUUUUAACAUGAAAAACCUGAAUUACCCGACCCAAAUUACCCGAAACCCGAAAAAAUUACCCGAUCAACACCCCUAGACAAAAUAACCAUGGACUUUAUCAAGGGGUUACUCAAGUUCGAUGGAUAGGAUACCAUUUGGGUUGUGGUUGACCAACUUGGUAAGUAUACUCAUUUUAGUCUGGAGUUGCCAACAGCUUCAUCAAGGAAAUCGCCCGCCUCUACGGUUUUCCUCUAUAUAUAAUCAAUGAUUGAGAUCGUAAUUUUUUGUCACUUUUAAGUGGAGCUGUUUAAAUCACAUAGAGUGCAUCUCAAAAGAAGCACGACCUAUCACACACAAACAGAUGGUUAGAAGUGGUGAACCGACGUAUUUUUUAUGAAGAAACCAAAAAAUGGGCUCGCUGACUUUUUUGGGCAGAAUUUUGGUAUAAUUCAUCCUUACAUACGGCCACCAAAUGCACCCCGCUUUGAGCCUUUUACGGUAGGAUUCACCCCCAUCAUCCUUUACGAAGGGCAAUAUCCUCGGUGGACGCAAUUGAUCAAUUGCUAUAAGACAUGGAUGCUAUUUUGGAUUGAGUUGUGCAUUUGUUGUGGACCCAACAAAAAAUGCAAAACCAAGCUUAAAAGAAGACAAGGGAAGUAGAGUAUCAAGAAAGGGACUUUGUUUAGGUGAAAUUGAAACCGUAUCGACAACAAAGCUUGGGACGAAGAAAAUAUGAGAAAUUAGCCGCCCGUUACUACGGCCCCUAUAGGAUUAGCAAGAGGGUUGGAAAGGUAGCUUACACCCUUGAAUUACCCCCGACAACUCUCAUCCACCCUACAUUUCACGUGUCACAAUUGCAAACCGCAUAUAGGUCCCAGUAAACCCACGUAUCUUCCUCCUCAACUAAAUAUAGACCUUGAAUUACUUGUCCAACGAACGGCUCUACAAGGAGUAAGACCAAAGAAUGGGAGCAACUUCGGUGAAAAAGAAGUAUCGAUGCGUUGGCAAGGACUAACAGAAGCUGAUGGAAAGAAUGAAAUUGCAAUUCCCGACUUUUCACCUUGAGGAAAAGGUGAAAGUUUGGGUCGCCGGUAAUGAUAAACCCCCCGUUAUUCAUGUCUACAAGAGGAAGUUUGGAAGGCCCAAGAAAGACCCAACAAAGUAAUUAUUUCCGAGCCCAUCUCUCUUUUUGCUGAUUGGACCAGAUUGCCCCUAUGAAUAACUUGGUUUGUCGUGUGUGAUUGGUAAAAACCCUUACGGUUGUGCUCCUCCCAUUUUUAGGUGUGUAGCAGGAAACACACUUUUUGGUAUGGUCUGCUGAGUUGGCAUAAAAGUUGAGUAUCCAAAGGAUUGAAAUGAUUAAUCUUUAAGCUGCCUUUUGUGUUCAUUCUACUAUUCCAUUACUUUGAGAUUGACCGAGUGUAAGCAAGUCCAUAUCAACAAGUUGUAAUCUUUCUUAUGCUUUCAUAUAAUUGCAAUUUGCUCUAUUUAUUAUCAUUCAUGCUAGAUAUGACUAUCAUAAUUAUAAUGCACUCAGGCAUGGAAUGUGUAUGGGGUUCUAAAAUUCUUGCAAGCAUUGAUCGAGAAAUCUUCAAUCAUUCAGAUAUUAGAGCAGGAAAAAGGAGUUGAACAGCUUACAAGUUACAACUACAGAUGGAUAUGAUGAUAAUGGUGGAAGUAGUGUCCUAAAAGUAGUACGGGGUUACUUCAACAUGGUUGAGUUGAAUUCUGAUUUCCCAAAAUUUCCUGAAGUGAUGCUCAAACCUUUUACUGAGUGGUACAUUAGAGAAGCUAGUGUGAUGAUUCUUGAAAGAAACCUUGCACAUGUAGUAUUUUGAUUAUCAAACAUUGAAAUGUGAGUUAUAGAAUUGAAAGCUUCAUAGUAUUUCACCUGAAUCUAGCAAAGGUUAUCACAUAAAUGAUCAUAACAAACAAAAGCCCGAUGCUAAAUCAUAAUAAUAGAAGAAUAAGGCACAAACUACUGAUGCAUACCUUUUUUUCUGAGCAGAUGCACAUGCAGCAAAAGAUGGUCAAAAUAUGAUCUUUCUGGCCCAUUCUUGUAGACAAAAUAAGAGGACUUCUCCAUUGCACAACUUUUUUUUUCAAAUACAACAUCAUAUUCAACUUUUGUCCCUGGUCAUAUUCCAUUCAACAUCAGAAUCAUCACUAGGUUCAGAGAUUCCUGUAAAGAUAUCAUCAGUAAUAUCAUCUAUGUAGAUUCGUGGCCCCAAAUCCUUCUUCACAAAAGUAUUCUUCUUUGGGGCUUCCCUACUAUUAAAAUGGUUCUGAACAUUACUUGAGGCGUCAUGGAGAGGUGAAAAAGGUGUCCACUUUGAGUUCGUUCUAGCUGUUUUUGGCAGAUGUGAGAUUGAAACCCCUAAAGGGUAGUAUCCCCAACAAUAGAAAUAGUCUUCCUGGCCUUCUGCCAUUAAUGGUGGGGAGGAAAUACCUACAGCCUGAAAUGCCCUUUUACAGUUGUCACAACGGAUGGUGCACUCUGCAUAGAUCCUUUGAUACUCAUACAUGUAGAAACAGUAAGGACAUGCAGUCCAAAAUGUAGGCGACUCAUCCAUAUUCACAGCUUCUGUUUCUGUUUCCUUCUUCUUUACACCAUUGUCACUAUUAACCUGAUUAGGAGAGUGAACAGGACCAGCAUUUUGUUCUACCCAUGCUUCUUGUUGUUGGGGCUGCAAUGGAGGUUGCUGUUUCUGGUGUGGCUGCUGUGGCUGUGACAGAGAUGGUGCUUGUGGCCAAGAUAACGGAGGUUGUGGUGGUGCUGCAGGAGGCGGAGUUAUGGAUUGCAUAGAUGGCUGCGGCUGAGGAGAUUGUGGUGGAUUUUGUUGAUACGGUGUAGACAUGACUUCUAAAGGUUCAACCUGUGGCUGAAACAAUUGCUCCUGCUCAUGAUGCUGAAACAAUUGCUCAUCCUCCUCGUGAACAGGUGCAGAUUGAUUUCGUGACAGAAAAUUAUGCUGCUGCGAUUCCUGCUGUUGAUGAGUGCGUUGUACCCUAGUUUGAAACGUCUGCUCUUGCUCCGGCGAUUUCUGCUGAUGAUCCGACCCCAUAUAGUCAAUCGAAAAAAAAUUGUGUUGUUCUUGCUGCUGCUGCUGCUGUUCCUCGAGGUUAAACCCUAUAGUGUUCAUCUGCAGUUGCGGCGGAAAAUCAAGCUCCGAAUCAUACAUAGAUUUCCUCAUAGGGUUCGACAACACGGACCAAGCUUCGUUAACAAUCUGAAACGCUUGAUCGGAGAAAGGGAACCGAUUUUGAUGAGGGUUGAGGAUGAAGGCGAGCCGUUGGUACUGGGAGGCGAUGUGGUCCGUGUCCUGAACAAACCGGACCAGUUGAAGGAUCCCGUAAAAAUCCGGCUGCUGCACGCCAUUAUUUCCGACGACCUGUUUCUCGGCAGCGAUGAGCGUAUCAACAACUGCUAGGAUCUGAUCAGCAGCUUCAAGUCUGGGGUCAGACUCUCGUGCUCGGAUCGCAAAUGUCUUGGAGCCGACUAGGUCGUGGCUCAUAAGCAGUUUCUCGGCGAUACCGAGCCACCGUUGCGCCUCCGCCCGUGCUAUGAAGAUAUGGGGAUCCAUAGUUUCUACCCGGAUCAAAGUGCUUGUCUAUCUAAAAAUCAAACCACACUCUGAAAGUGCUCAUUUAGGCCGUUGGUGGGGGGUAAGACAAAAGUUGUAAAGGGUGGCCUCAAAUGGGUGGGGGUAGCAUCUUUUUAUAGAGAUCUUUUUAUAGAAGAAGAUGUGAUGGUUUGAUUAAAACAAAAUGUUAAGUACGAACGAUUAAAUAAAAAAUUUAUUUGAAUUUGAAAUUGAAAUAAGUGAAAAUUAUCAGAAAAAAAAACAUGUAAAAAAUAAAUAAAUUAAAAUUAUGUGUUUAGUGUGUACUAAACGGGUUAAUUAUAAAAAAAUGUUAAACUUAAAGGUUUAAACUGUAAAUUUAUUUGAAAUUGAAUUUGAAAUUUAAAAUUUGAAAUUAAUAGUCAUUAUGGUAGGUUUAAUUUAUGGAAACUAAAUUAAUGAUAUAUUGAAAAUGAAAAUUAAAGUAAUGACAAGUGGAAAAUAAAUAUAUCUCAAAUUAUGACAAAAUGAUAUGUGGCUAAUUUUAUGAGAGAAUGACAUGUGGCAAAGUCAUUUUCAUUUAUUAUGGUAGAUAUGAUAUAUGAUAUUUCAUUUAAGAAAUUGGUUGCAAUUAUUAUAUUAUGAAAUUUUCAUAAAAGUACUUAAAUUUAAUAGACUAAAUUACUGAAAUGGUCCCUAUGGUUUGGUCAAAAUUACACGUUUGGUCCCUAACUUUUUUUUUGCACUCGGAUCGUCCCUGUGGUUUGAUUUUGUUGCGUUUUUCGUCCUUAUGGUUUGGUCAAAAUUGCACGUUUUGGUCCCUAACUUUAUGUAUGUAAGGGACGAAAAACGCAACAAAACCAAACCACAGAGACGAUCCGAGUGCAAAAAAAAGUUAGGGACCAAACGUGUAAUUUUGACCAAACCAUAGGGACCAUUUCAGUAAUUUACUCAAUUUAAUAAAAGUUAAUGUUUAAGUUUUACUUUUUUAUUAAUAUAAAAACUCAAGAAAUCAGUUAAUUUUUUCAUUUUAGUCGAUUAUGACAUUUUCAACAUGUUGAUUGCGGAGGUGGAUUGUCAAGCUUUGGGGAGUGGCUCGCGCUACCCAGAUCGCCAAGGCACACUAGAGGAACUAAACACCGCCCUCUGGCUUGGCUUGUGCAAGGGAGCUCAUCGGAAUGAACUCGUCAGGCCGAGAGAGAGAGAGAGAGAGAGAGAGAGAGCUUUUGUUUGGUGGUUGGCAUUUGACUAGGAAUAAACACAAUUUUGACCAACUUUAUUAUUAUUAAUAAUAAUAAUAAUAAUAAUAAUAAUAAUAAUAAUAAUCAACAAUUUUGUAUUAGAAAAAAAAAAAAGAGCCGUUGUUUUUUCAAAAUUUCAAAUUUUGAGCAUCUCUUCCAACCACUAUAAAUGGACACUUAAACCUCAACAUUUCACCACACACAAUACCAUUCUUUUCUGUCAAAAAAACUUCUCAAUUUACCAAAAUCAAUGUCUUGACCUAGCCAAACCAAAACGCCAAGGAGAAACAAUAAAUAAAUAAUCAACCCUAACAACACAUCUUCACCAAAUUUUUCAUCACCGACUUGUUAUCAACAUUCACUCAAUCAAACCAUCCACUACCCGCUAGUUAUUAUUAUUCGAUUAUCGCUUCACGGUUGUAUCCAUUCCAUUCAUACUCUUCUCGAUUCCAAUCUCAACCCAUACCAUUUUUCCAAUCCCAGCCCCAAACAAAUUUUCAAUCCCAACCCUUACCCGAUCCAAAUCUAGAACUUGAUAUGUUUGAUUCGGUACAAAAAAAAAAACCCAAUUCGUUUCCCAACCCUUACCCCACACAAAUUUCCAAUCUGAACCCCACCGCCUAGUCGAUGAGUCUACCGAUUGUCUCGAUGGAUUGUCUCGAUGGAGGAGAUUUUCAACAUGUUCAAGAAACCGAAGUUGACCCAAAGGAAAAAUAAAUAAAUAAAUAAAUAAAAACAAGGACAAAAUGCCAAGGAUAGACAGAUAAAGAAAAGAAGGCAUUGGCACAAGCAUGACUAGAUGUAAGGGAGGAUCCCGCGACGGGAGACUACCAAAGUGGCCCAACUUUUAAAUUUAGAGUUUGGAAAGGGUUUUGUACCCAAAUGAAUAAGGAGGACCGCUCCACUAGUCAAAAUAUACUCGAAAUAGAGAACCCCGAAUAGAAAUUCAAUGGAGUUCAGUGUCAUCUACAUGAACGCGACUCGCAACUUGCAAAGCGGUGCAAAUGAGGUGAUGUCAUAGCAAAAUCUCGUCACAUUUAUUAGGUUAAAGUUGGUAUAGCUUUUGCAAAUGAGGAUUUUUGGGAAGUUGUGAAGAACAAACCAAAUCGUUUGCUCUAAAAAGUGUUGAUGAUUUUAUGGGUAUGUCCAAACAAAUCAAAACUUCCGAGUCAACCCAUAGUCAAUCUUCUGAUACACAUAUUGAGAUUGACCUCAACAACGACGAUCCAUAUGAAGUGCCAACUCGUCCUAUGGGACGAGAUAAAUCCAAAAGGAAGUUAAAAGGUGCUCAAAAUUCAUCGAAUGAAGUGGAGGAGAUGAGCAACGAGAUCCAUGGGUUGGACAGUAUGUAACAUCCCAACCGUCAUGUAUCAUUAUCACUCCAUUUAAAUUUUAUGUUCUAAAGUCUACUCGACAAGUUGACGCUGUGACUCGUCGAGUAACAGUGGGACGGGACACGUUAAUUAAUGAGUGACUCACCGAGUCGGCAUGGGGGACUCGACGAGUAGGAGCUGGCAGUGGAAAACCUAAUUUUCAGGGUUUUUGCACCAUAUAUAUUGGACCAUUAGCGCCUCCCACUGCCCUCCAUCACCCCUUGAGACCCAUAAACCCUAAUUUCCAUGAGUGAGAGCAUGGAGAGUGUCUUGGGGCUUUGAGAAGUGACUUUUGGGAAGGAAAUUUGUAGAUCAAGAGGCUAGCAUCAAGACUUCUAUGUUGAUCCAGAUUCUACUUCAGUGUGGGCGCAUUUUGGAGGUAACCAGCUGUUACCUUAACCUCUUUUCUUCUAGAAUCAUUCAUAUGUGGAAUCUAGGGGUUUCUUUAGUUAUUCAUGAAGGGAUUUUUGGUAUAGGAGCUAGAUCUGAAGUUGAAACUUCAGAUCUGAACCUCUUUUGAGUCCUAAGUCCAUAAAGUUUCCAGCUCUUGCAAGGAUGAGACUCUCCCAAGGUGUAAAGCUCCAUUAGAAGCUUAGAUUGGUCAUUUAGAGCCUUUAGGGCCUUGCAUGUGCGUAAAUUUUGCAACUUUACGUGAUAAACAUGCCUUAGAAGCUUGGAUCUGUAAUCUGGAACCUUGGCAUGGCUUAAAAAGUGUCUGCAUGGAUGAAGGUCUGCAAAGGACUCAGCGAGUUACAUAGUCAACUCGGCGAGUCAUAUGACGAUGGUCAUGAACUCGCCGAGUUGAUGAACAAACUCGACGAGUCCGUUGAAUAUUGCCUUGAACUCGUCGAGUCGUUCGAAGACUCGGCGAGUCGGCUAGGUUUUCUCCCAAAUUCUUGGACACGUAUGAACUCGGCGAGUUAAAGGGGAACUCGACGAGCCAAUCAAGGAUUUCACGACUUCUCGAGUUUAGGAAGGACCCGACGAGUCGGUGAACUACACUCGACGAGUCGAGUCAACAUGGACUGUUGACUUUAACUGUGGACUUUGACUUUGACCAAGAGUUGACCAGUUGACUUAUGAGGGUAUUCUGGUAAUUUGGAGAUUUAUGAAAAAGGGUUUUAUGGUAACUAUAGGUGGUGGAGUUCGUGUUGGCAAUCUGGAAGUUGAGCUUUCUAGUUUCAGACGUCAUUAGCGAGGUGAGUUUUCCUCACUAUACUCAAGGGUCUAAGGUACCAAGGCCGACCCUUUGAUUGUUAUAUGGUUAUGUUAUGCUAGUAUGAUUUGUUAGAUUGGUAUCCUAGAGGGUAGGAUAAUAUUGUAUGAUGUGUGGUAUGAUCUGUUAGAUCAAGUAUUGUCUAUAGACUGUAUGUGAUUACCUGUUAUAUGUGCACGUGUGUGUUUAGCGGUUGAGGCUUAUCUGCUCUGUGCGAAGGCCAAUAGACCUGGGCAUUCCAACCUGUAGGUCGUGGGCCGUGAGCAUUCCAUCCCGAGGAUGAUUGGACUCAUAGUGUGUGCGUAUUCCAACCUGUUGGUUAUGGGCUUGUGGUAUUCCAUCCCGAGGAUGAUUGGACCCAUAGUGCGUUGGCAUUCCAAUCGGAUGGUUGAGGGCCUAGGUUAUUCCAACCUGAUGGUUGACCGGACCCAUAGUAUAUUGUUUAUGAUUAUAUGUGUAUGGAUGUGGGUAUGGGUAUUUUGGGAGGACUCACUAAGCUCUCGGGAUUACAGUUUCAAGUUUAUUGUUUCAGGUACAUCAGGGGAUCGCGGUAAGGCGAAGGCAUGAUCGUACAGCUCCUCAUGUUUUGUCUAUGUUUCUGGGAAAAACUCUGAUAUUAUACAUUUUGAAAACAAAGUUGUAAUGAUUUUUAAUGGUUUGAAAUGUUUUUAAAAGUUUAAAUUAGUUUGAAUUUUGGGUGUUACACAGUAAGCUCGAAAAAUAUUUUGAACUGGGAAAGAAAAGAGAAAGCCACUGUGUGCUAAAGCUUUUUUUCAAAAAUGAAGAAAAAUUGUCUGAAAAGGAUCAUUGGAUUGUUGCAAAUGUAAAGGCGGAGAUUGCAAAAUAAUAUAAUUGGGAUAAGUAGUAUGAUUUAUGUCUUUAAUCUAAAUUUAAAUUAUGUUUUAGUAUUGAGUCGUGUUUUAAUUUUUAGGUAUUAAGUCAUGCUUUUUAGAUAUUAAGUCAUGUUUUUAGGUAUUAAGUCGUGUUUUUAGGUAUUAAAUUGUGUUUUAAUUUAUGAAGUCAUCUUUUAAUUUUUAUUCUAUUGUAACCUUUUUAUUUAAUAUUAAAUGUUUGUUUUUUUAUAAAAACAUAAUGUUACAUCCUCUAAUUUUCAGAACCAAAAAGAACUCUUUUUACGCUUUAAAAAUCAUAAUAAUUUAUUUAUGGGAAAUCUCAGUAUUUUAAAAACUUUUUUCAGUACAAUUAUUGUCUCAAAUAAAAUCCUAAGGAUGUCAUAAAUCGAUACAUUACAUAUGUUACAGCGUAAAGACCCAAUGGUCCUGAACAAUAUUGCAGGUCCUUUAUUCAAUCAUGCAGUAUCCUAUUUAAGUCUUCAGCAGUCUAAACAUCGCUACCUAUGAUGCAUAUAUAAUGAGUGGGUAGCCUUGGAUGGAUUUCUAUGGUUCUAGAGGAUCUAGAAUAUCCAAAAUUAUCCUUAGAGGAUAAUUACGAAACCAGAUAAAUACCAAAAGUAAGAUAAUGUUAUUUUAUUGUUUUGGGAGUUAUCUAGGGUUUUUCGGUAAAUUAUAUAAAGACCCUUAAGCCUCAUAUUUUCGUCCAAGAAUUCUUAGAGAAGCUAGGGCCAAAAUUCUACCUCUCUCCUCUCUCUCUUCAAGCUCCUUGGUCGCUAGGGUUUGGGUGUGAACCAUUAGAGGCACGAAAUUUUUGGUUCUUUGUAACACCCCGAAUUCAGAAAACCAAGAAAGGAAGGGAAAACCCUAAGUCAAGUAGUCUACUCAUCGAGUCCAAGGAAGAAGUCGACGAGUGGGAGCGAGUUCCGUGUCGCGAAUUAAGUGGCCAACUCGACGAGUCGGGGGACUGACUCGGCGAGUCUAGUCUGGUUGGGAAACCCUAAUUUCGGGACUUGGUGCCCUAUUUAAGCAUCUCAUUCCCAUUUCCUCAGCCUCCUGAAUGCUCUCUCAAGACCAGAACGAAACCCUAGAGCCUCCCUUGAGUUUGUGAGUCAUUUUGUGAGAUUUUGAGCAUUCUUGAAGCUUGGAAGAACAAGAAGAAGGUUGGAGGUUCAAGAAGGAAGGAGUAGAUCCAGAAGAUACACCCCAUUUGCUGCACUUAAUGGUAAUCAAGUCUUCAUCUUGACUUCUAGUUUGUUUGAUCUCUUUAUAGCCCUUUUUAUGAAGUUUUUGGACCAAGAAUGAUUACUUGUGGGAUUUGGACGUCCCAAGCAUAGAUCCUUUCAGAUCUGAGAGCAUUUAGAGUGGUUAAGGCAUAAAGGUGGAAGCUUUAUGCCAUUAUAACUCCCCAUGAAAAGUUAGGCAAGGCCUUAGAUCAGAGUACAGUUAAAGUAUGUCUAUGUAUGUUAUUUGAUUGUAUGUAUGCAUGUAGCGGGCGAGGCCCGGAGACAAGAGGGGCCUAAAGGAGACAGAUCUGUAUACCGAGCGGGGCUCGAUGCCAGGUGGGACUUGAUGUCAGGCGGGGCUUGAUGCUGGGCGGGGCCUAGUACGUGGUUAUAUGUAUGUAGUUAUGUGUAUGUGGUAUGUGGUAGGUUGGGGAAAUCACUAAGCUUCGUGCUUACAGUUUUCAGUUUUAGUUUCAGGUACUUUCGGUAGCGGAGGGAGGAGCUCAAGGUGAUCACAUGGCACACACCAUUAUUUGUUUAGCCUGGGAUGUUUUACUCUGGUAUAAAAAGAAUAUGUUUUGUGAUUAUACUUUGAUUGGAUAUAACAGUUUUGCUUAUAAAUGAAAUGUUUUAUAAUUAUGGAUUUUAUUAAUGUUUUAAAAAGAAAUUUUUGGUCAUGAUUUUUGGGAUGUUACAAGUUGGUAUCAGAUCCUUGGUUUGAGGGAUUCAGAUACACUCUCGGGUGUGUCUGAACUCAAACUGAGGACGUGGUAUGAAAGUUUUCAAAAGGAAAUCAUUUUUAUAAAAGAACUUUGAAAAAGGGAAAAGAAUUUUGAAAAAGAGAAAAUGACUUGGAAAAGAGAAAAGAAUUUGAAAAGACAAAAGAACUUUCAGAAAGAGAAAAGGGUGUGGUACAUGUAAUUAGCCGAGCUCAAGUAAGUACCCCAAAGUACCCAUACAAGUUUGAUAUGAUAUGUUAUGAUAUGCUUAUGAUAUUUGCAUGCUAGAUUAAGAUUAAGGAUCUAGGGAGGAUGCCUUAUGUGCCUGCUAUAUGUGUUUCAGCUUUAUGAGAACUGCAUGCUAGUACAGAUUAGUCAGGAUGAUAGCCUGCGUAGUAUAUGCUUGAUUAUGUGUACUCGACAUGCGAAUGUUGCUUGCUUGGUGCUUUUAGGAGUUCUAGUUUUCUUUCACUAACUAGUAAACGAAUAUGUUAAGUUACAUAUUGCAAGGACUAAAUAAUUUCAGAAGGUUAGGUCUAGCUCUGUUUUCACAGCUCUCAUCUGAGUCCAACUGUUGUAGGGCAGGAUCUCUCAUUCGAAGAAUUAUCUGGUCUGAGUAAUAUGUAAUAGUAUUCACGAGCUAGUUAGGGGAAGAAAGCAGGUACUUCUUAUGCAGCUGAUGGCGGAGAGUGGGAUGGUGAUUACCCUAGGGUAAGCCUAGGAUGAGAGUAGCAGAGAGCAGUAGCAGUAGAAGGGACUUGGUGGAGUCGAGGCAGCUCUUGAGGAAAGUACGGAUAGAUGUGGAAGGUAGUAUGGGCAUGUACUACUAGAAGCAGAGGAUCCGUACUCGAUUCAAGAGGGGCUAAGAUAAAACCAUGGAACUUGUAGUGCGUGUGUGACCCCUCGUUGGUGAUGAGUAUUCGGAUGGUGGUUAUGAUAUAUUUUCAGCAUGGUGACGUUGUGUGAGAGACCAGUGGGCGGAUCAGGCGACAGAGAGGGAUCAGGCUCGGGUUCGGGAGUCGACCAGCUCGAGGAGCGGAUGAGGGAGUUUAUAUCAGCUGAGAUUGCGCGCAAUGUCUAGACCAGAAUCCUGUGAUCUUCGGUACGGUCAAGGAGGGGAUACAGGAGAUUUUGGAUGAGAGGCUAGGAGUCUUCCGCGCUGAGGUGAUGGAUUUGGUGGGAGUGCGUACCUUGACAUUCCGAGAGUUCAGGGCUUGUGGGGCUCCCGAUUACCAUGGGGCUCGGGACCCCAUCGCUAGCAGCAUGUGGUUGGCCGAUGUUGUCAACGCUUUCCGUUUGAGCCGAUGUCCUAAGGGGGACAAGGUCCGAUUGGCCUCCUGCCUUCUGAAGGACAGAUCACGGAAUUGGUGGGAGGAGGUUGGCCAUGCCAUUGGGGAUGAUGCCACGUUGGACGUGAUGACAUGGAGUGAUUUCUCAACCAGUUUCAGGGCCGAGUUUGCACCAGUGAUUGAGGUGCAUCAACUAGCACGAGAGUUUCAGGAUUUACGCCAGACGACCGAGACUGUGGCGGAGAUCAUCGCCAAGUUCAGGGAGAGGGCUCUUCUUGUUCUGCAGUAUGUGGCGGACGAGGAAAUGAAGAAGGCCCGAUAUCACGAGAUGCUGAGGAAUGAAAUAAGGCAGUUUGUGAGCAGGUCCAGCUGCAAGACGCUGUAGGAUAUCAUUGCUCGAGCCAGGGAGAGGGAGAUCGACUUGGAGCAUAUUGGGAAGAGGAAGGCUGAGACUGAGCAGACGAUGGGGGGUUUCGGGCAAGAGGCCCAAGGGGUCAGAUUUGAGAUCGAGGGAUUAUCAGGGAUGCAGUCGUUAUGGCAAGUGUGGCAGGACGCACGAGGGUGCGUGCAGGAGUGGUACUGGUGGUGAUUCUGGCUGCUUCAAGUGCGGCCGGACUGGUCAUUUCAGCAGGGAUUGUGCUGUUGCCACCACCCAGGGAUCAGACCUGAUAUGUUUCCAUUGCAGUCAGAGGGGCCACAAGAAGGCCCAGUGUCCGAGUUUGCUUCUAGUAGGACGGGUGAUGGCACCGGCCCCUACGACCUUGAGGAUCACUGAUGGCCGUCAGGGCCGAGCGGAGGCGCCUGCGGUGAGGAGCAGGGCUUUUCAGUUAUCUAUAGUGGAGCCGCGAGCAGCACCGUAUGUUGUAGGUGCAUAUCUUUUUCUUUCCUGUCAACUUUUAUUCAUGAUUAUAUUGUUAUGGUAUUGCAUCAAUGUUAGUAAGUAUACAUUGGAGUAUUGUAUUACCUACUUUCGAUUAAGUCAUAUGUCAUCUGCAUACCUUGGAUGAUAGAGUAUUAGUUCGAAGAUGUUUCUAUUAGAGCGGGUUCUCAGGACGCAGUUGUUGUAGCAAGGAUGAUUAGAACUCAGGAAGUGUUCUAUAAUCUUCAAGAGCGGUUCGGAUUUAAUACCAGUGAGUUUUGGAUCACUAGUAGUAGUAAGCAUUGGAUUACUAGCAGAUUGGUCAUGGGAUGAUAGGAACGAUUGGGACUCCUUUCCAAGCAAGUGAACUGUAAAGUGUUAGUUGAACCAAAGUGGGGGAGAGAGUUUCCCAGAAUUCAGGAGCAGAAGGGUGCGUGGAUUUAGGAUGAGUUGCAUUCUCAUCAGGAAGAAAGACAGCCCAAGUGGAUGUGUGAGUUAAGGAGUGCGUAAGUUGGGAGUUUAGGAAACUUCGCAACGUUGAAUUCGCGUUUUCGCAAUUGAAGAUGUCUUGUCACACCCCCGAACCAGACGGCGGAAACGUCUGAGGGUUUGUGUGACUUAAAUUGAAAUAUCAUCACAAUGAAUAUUCAUGAAACAUAACAUAAACAUCACCAUGCAUUAAUACAUUACAACUGACCUUGUUCACAUCAAGUACAUUGUUUACAUGACAUAGUUCCAAAACAUGAAUCGUCUGAUGUUUAACAUUACACAAAAGAAAUUUCCUGAAACACACUUGGAGGUUCUUCAGUCUAACGAUUUCCUGAGAAUACAAGUUAUUUUGAAAACGUCAACAUAUAUAAUGUUGGUGAGUUCAUAAGCAUGUUUGAUAUAAACUAGUUUGUAUUGAUUGUAAAACCCAAAAAAAUCCGAUAUUUUCUGUACAAAAACUCUUUGCGAAAAAAGAUGUGAUGAUCCCAUAAGUGCAAAUGUAUGUGAUUUCGAAACAUGUAAAAGUGAUUGUUGUUCAAAAUUUGUAACGACCCAAUUUUCAAGACUAAAAAAUUUUCUUUUAAAACAUUACUAAACCACAUUUAUAAAAACUGUAUCAUAAGUCAUAACAUAAUUUCAUAGUAUUAAUUUCGAACAUAACUUAUUAUCAGAGUAAAACAUCCCAGGCUAACUGACUAUGGUAUGUGCACUGCAACCUCUCCGAGCUCCUCCUUUGAAAAUUGAGUACUUGAAACCAAAAACUGAAACCGUAAGCACGAAGCUUAGUGAUCUCCCCCAAACUACCACAUACCAUGCAAACAUAUAAAGCACAUACUGGGCCUUGCCCACUGCAUCGGACCGGAGUCCGGAACUGACCAGGGCCUUGCCCUCUACAUCGGACCGAAGUCCGGAACUGACUAGGACCUUGUCCCGUGCAUCGGACCAAAUUCCGGAACUACUGCAUCGGACCGAAGUCUGGAUUUGUCUAGGACCUUGUCCCCUGCAUCGGACCGAAGUCUGGAACUAACUGCAUCGGACCGAAGUCCGGAACUGAUUGAACAUAGCAUGGCAUAAACACAUCAACUAGCAUGAACACAUAUACUGCAUACUGCAUCGGGUCGUAGCCCGAAACACAUAACACAUAAAUCAUGUCGGAGCCACAAAGGCAUCAAACAUACUAAAUACUACAUCGGAUCGAAGUCCGAAAACUACUACUACUAAACGGGCCGACAUUGUGGCCUUAGACCCGUUCCUACUGGAAGGAAACUCACCUGCACUGCUGGAGUUUUUGCUGAUACCCUUCUGACUGCUAUCAGACACUCUCGAACUGCUGCUCCAAAAACUCCCCGAUCUACUAAUACCAAAUAUAACACUUAGUCUAACUGUCCUCCGAAAGUUAACUAAGUCCACUCUGCUCAAAGUCAAAGUCCUGGUCAAAGUCAACCUUCCAGGUCAACCCUACUCGUCGAGUCUGCCUACUGACUUGCCGAGUUCAUACGCUUAGAAUCCUUUCAUUCACGACUCGACUCGCCGAGUCAGCCCCUUGACUCGCCGAGUCUAUCGAUUUUCGAGUCCUGACCUGACCAACUCAUUGAGUCCCCACUCAACUCACUGAUCCGAGUCUUAACUCGAAGGGUUUGGGGUUUCGCGACUUGACUCGCCGAGUCCAAGGAAAUCUUCAACAGACUCGCCGAGUUGUUCAUCCAACUCGUCGAGUCCACUCGAAGGACUCAUCGGGUCUAUUCAAUCCUUCAUAUAUUCAGAGGCUUUUGAGUCAUGCAUGGACUCCAAAUUGUAGAUCCACUCUUCUAAAGUCUAUUCCUUACGUAAAGUGGCAAACUUUACGUGUAGCUAAGGAGAUCUAGGCUCAAAACACUAUAAACUAGGGUUUAAGACAAAAGGGGCUUAACAAUCAACCCAUAGACUGAUGCUUUAUGAUUCUCUAGGCCAAGAUACACUUAGAUCUGAAGUAGCAACUUCAGAUCUGGGCUUCUAACUCGAAAUGGUUCUUAAACUUGCCCUAAAAGCCCCAAAUCUCAUGAUAAAGGUUGAUCUAUAUGCAAAAGAGUGAAGGUAGCGACUCAUUACCUUCAAAUGCUCUGGAAAAUCCCACAAACCCUGGAUCUACUGCCAAUCCUUGAAUCCCCAAUGGUUGCCUUCUUCCUUCUUCCUUCAAAUCACCCAAAAUGGCAAGAAAUCUUGAAUGAGCAACAAUGGAGGCUUAGGGUUUCGGGUUCUGGACUAUAGGGGCCGCAAAUGAGCCCUAGGGAAGAGAAUAAGAUGCUUAAAUAGGGUACCAAGUGUCGGAAAUAGGGUUUCCCAACCCAGACCAGACUCGCCGAGUCCACUUGCCGACACGCCGAGUCGGUCACUUACUUUACACCCGGAUCUCGCUCCGACUCGCCGAGUUCCUCCCUAGACUCGACGAGUCAACCCUCUUUAACUUAGGGUUUUUCCUUUACUUUCUUGACCUUUCUGAUUUCAGGUGUUACAAAAUUGAUUCUUGUAUUAUAGUUAUUGUAUGUAGGAGUGAAUAAUGUUGUUCCCCCAGAAAACCCGAUGUUUUCCGAUAUAAAUAAUAUGAUAGUUUUGUAUUAUUGUAUCAUCUCAACAAAUGAAUGUGAUUUCCCAUGAUUACUUAGCUGGUAAUGGAUCUCUAUGUGAGUCGUUAUAACCAUGCAUAAUAAUGACUAAUUCGUCUGUCUUGGCAUUUUAUCGGAUGUCGGUUUUGAUCAAGAUUUUGUUACCCUAGACUGGUCGAGUCUAACUGUAGCGAACAACUCAGGUGUGGGGGAGUCACCCCCAUAUAGAUCUAUACACAAACUCUCGCUCUCCCUCCAGGAGACUCUGUUUAUAACUACAGUCUACGACCGACACUUAUUGGUGUCACCUGUUAUUUCUCACUAAAUCCCACUAAAAUUGAAAUAACCUUGUUAAACAACCUGAUUUAUGUUUACUUUAAUAAAAGGUAAGCCUAACAGACGAAGAGAAGAGGGCAACGGAGGCCCACUAACUUUGUAUGUUAUUACAGGCUUUCGAGUAUGCUACAAGCACGUUAUAGCCCAUUAAGCAUAUUAUGGAUGUUUAGGGUCUUAUUAGCAAUGUGAAUUGACCAUUAAGGCCCAAUAGCAUGUUAUAACUGAUAAAGGCCCAUUGGUUACGUAAUUGGGUCACCGGAAGCCCAAUAAACAUGUGUGAAUAUAUUGGGCCCAAUAAUCAUGAUAUUGGGCCACAAAGGCCCAAUAGCACGAAUAGAAGAUAUUUAAGCUCAACCAUUGAAUCAAUUAUAAAUUAUCGAUCUUAAGUUCAUAAUGUAGGUAUUUGUUGUCAACUAUAUGUUUAUUCGAAGUGUUAAAAUGCUUUGGCGUUUGAUUUAUAACGAAAAUUUGGUUAUACAUACAUACAUACAUAUAUAUAUAUAUAUAUAUANNNNNNNNNNNNNNNNNNNNNUUAAAAAAACCAUUUGUUAUAACUUUAUAUUUUUAACCCAAAAAUUUAUAUUUGUCUAUUCGCCCAAAAACAUUUAGUUUGACCAUUUCAACCAUUUAUCUAUAAAAAUGACACUUUUAGUCCAUUUUUAUGAAAAUUGACAUUUUUAGUCCUUAAACCAUUUUUCUUGACAUUUUCGACCCAAAUUUAUUUAAAUAAUAAUUUCAGCCCAAAACUAUUGUAUUUCUCAUUUCCAGCCCUUAGUUGUAAAAAUUUUACACUUUUGGCUCAAAUUCCGUAAAUUUUACAAUUUUGACCCCAAAAUCAAAAACUUUGCAUUUCUAGUCCAAUUUUUGCAUCAAAGUCAUUUUCAGCCCGUAAAUAGUUUAUUCACGUAUUAGACUCACAGUUUGUUAAGUUUUCCAUUUCAGUCCCUCAAAACUUCAUUUUUUCGCAACUUUGGGCCCAAAAACUUGUGAGGCCCAAAUUAAAGCCCAAUAAGCUAAAAUUUAAGUUUUUGACCCCUAGAAAAAUUUUAUUUUCAUAAAAGUCAGAUUUUUAUGUGAAUAAUACCAUUUUAUCCUUAUAGAACCGAAAAUGUCAUAUUUUACCCAAAUCUUUGUUAUUUUUGCAAAAAUGACACUUAUAAGGAGUUUGACUUUGUUUCCACUUCUUGAGCCUAAAGACCCUUAGAUCUUUGAAGUAAGUUGUUUAUUAUGUUAUUUGUUCAUAAAUCUUUCACAUUUUAGCUAUAAAUCUUGAAAUAUCUUAAGUAUUAACACAUUAUCGCAACAAAACCAAAGAAAUCACAUAUAACAUGCAAACACACAUAGAUCAACACAUAACUCUUGUAUUCUCCCUCCAAAAACAAGUAAAAACCGAAAACAUGGGGGUAUGGACUCACCUUGCUUAGUUGCUCACAGUUUUUGAAGAAGAAAUGGAAGAGGUUGAUGUGAUUUUCGGCCCUAGUAAGCUUCUUGAGAGGACUAUGGUUUAGAUGGAUUCUAAGGAGUAGAUCACGAAUUUUGCAUGAGUUAGGAGGAGAUUUUUGAUGUAAUAGAGAAACUAAGCCAUGGAUCUAAGUAACAACUUACCAAGGAUGAUGAUUUUUAUGGAAAAACCUUCUUGAAAUGCCCUAGAUCUUGAAAUGCCCUAGAUCUUGAAAUUUUUUAGAGGAAAUGAGUGGUUGUUGUGGUGAGUGUUUGAGAGAAAAUUCAAGUGAGGUGUGUGUGUGUGUGUGAUCCUCGGCCGAGAGGAAGAAAAAUAGGGAGGGGAAGAGAGAAGUGACCUUGCAUGGAAGUAUGAGAGUGUAUGGAUACAUGUUGUAUAAAAGCCUCAUUAUCCCUUAAACAACAAUGAGGUGUCACUUCCCUUAAUCCUCCAUAAACCCCUUUUUUAACUUGGGCCGAAAUGGGCCAAAGGAAGAAGGAAUGAAUUAGUUUGGCCCACUUCAAUCCUUGGUUCGAGAUUAUGAGUUUUAUAGGCAAAAAAUUUCGGCCCAUUGGGCCCUUAGGGUGGUUCACGGCCCAAUUAGCAUAAAAGAUUAGGUUUGUGGCCCAUUAGGGCUAAUUAGAUUAGUUAUGGCCCAACAAGGUUAAUUAGGCUAGUUAUGGCCCAAUAAGGCUUAUUGGAGUAGUUUAUUCAAUUUUAGGCCCAAUAUGGUUUGAAAUGUCAAAUCUCAUGAAGGUGGGUUGAAUUAGAGCCCAAUUAAGGGUUCUAAGUCCAAACUAGUCAAAUUGGAAACUUAUUGGUCCAUUAGGCCCAAUAAGGAAAUCCUAGUCUAUAAUGGACUUAAACCGGGCUUUUUAGGGUUUCCAAUCUUUUGUUGACUAUUUGAAGUGUUUGCAUAGGGUGUUUGAUGGAACUUUGGUGUUAUUGAAUAAACAUCAUGCAUACUUUCAAGUUUUAGUUACAAAUGUUAUCAUUGUUAAUGUUUACAAAAGCAUUAGAAUUCCUAGUUGUGACAUGUCUGGUUUGGGAAACCAAGUUGGAGGAUCGUCAGCAGGACUCGAGUGAGUCAGGAUGAAGAUUACGUGAACGUCCGGCAUGGGAUGCUUUCGGAGUAGUAGUCAGCGCUAGAGACAACAUGGAGAGUGUGGUAAGACUGCGGGAUAGCUGCGACAUUUGUUAGUAGCCAGUUAGAGAAGUGUGGGCGAAGGCCCGUACCUCCUAAUUAGCAUGAUAGAGAUCAAGAGAGAGUAAUUCGUUGAGUUUCAAGAUGGACUUAGGCCUGUAUUACCCAAGAGAGGUGAGACCUGUAGGAGAGGCCACUCUAAGAUAUAGUUUGGGUGAGACCCGUGGGCGAGGGCCGUGUGAUUAUAGCAGUGCAGGUGGGACCAGGUAGAGACCUUAGGGUCAGGUAAGGGGAUCGAGGAUCCCAGAGCAUAUAGAGUUAGAGUGGCAAGGUAGAUAGAAUAGUUUUAGAUAGCCGAAGUUUCCUUGGGAGUCAUUGGGAGCGACUGAGCGAUUGAGCUUGGGUUCAGUAGCCGGUGGGAGUUCGAUCACCAAGUUAAUGGCAGAUUAGUUGGGACCAAGGUGGUCUCGGUUUUUCCGGAAGGUGGAUAAGAGACAGCAGAAUCAUCAGUCGGGGGUAGUAAUGAUAAGGGAAGUUUGGUGUGGGGCAGCUAGUUGACCGAGAAGUGUUACGCCUCGCACAGCAGGGUUAAAUAAUCUCAGAGGGAAGGGUUGAACCCUGUUGCGCAGCUCUCGUAUGAGUCUAACCAUUGCAGAGAUUAAUCUUUUACUCGAAGGAUUAUCUGGUCCAGUCAUUGGGUUGGGUGCUCAGCACUAAGAUAUAGUAGGAGGAAGCAUCCAGUGGAUAUCACUGAAGUGACCAGCAUUAGAAGUGGCCGGGAUUGCAACUUCCAUAGAGGAUUUUUCCUUGAUGAAGUUUGGAAAGGUUUGUUCCUUAUGGCUAGUCACCUUGGGAAGGCCAGUGUCAGCACAGGGAAAAAGGGUGAACCCCUUGUAUGUCAAGUGGAAGUGCUCGGGAGGUACCGGUAGGGUUACCGGUUGAGUAAGAGUGUUGUACUUGAGGAUAGUAAUGAUCGGGUUAUUCUAAAUAUGAUAUUUUCAAGGUUUGGACCGAAUGGGCGAAGUGCGUAACUAGUGGUAAGGUUGUAAGCGGGUUGUAAGGUAGUUGACUUUGGCGGACUUCAAGGACGAAGUCCAGUUUAAGUGGGGGAGAUUUGUAACACCCCGAAUUCAGAAGACCAAGAAAGGAAGGGAAACCCUAAGUCAAGGAGUCAACUCGUCGAGUCCAAGGAAGAAGUUGACGAGUGGAAGCGAGUUUCAUGUCGCGAAUUAAGUGGCCGACUCUGCGAGUCGGCGGUCUGACUCGGUGAUUCUGGUAUGGGUUGGGAAAACCUAAUUUCGAUACAUGGUGCCCUAUUUAAGCAUCUCAUUCCUAUUUCCUCAGCCUCUUGAAUGCUCUCUCAAUACCAGAACAAAACCUUAGAGCCUCCCUUGAGUUUUUCAGCCAUUUUGUGAGAUUUUGAGCAUUCUUGAAGCUUGGAAGAACAAGAAGAAGGUUGGGGUUCAAGAAGGAAGGAGUAGAUCCAGAAGAUACCCCCAUUUGUUGCACUUAUUGGUAAUCAAGUCUUCAUCUUGGCUUCUAGUUUUUUUGGUCUCUUUAUAGCCCUUUUUAUGAAGUUUUUGGACCAAGAAUUAUUACUUAUGGGAUUUGGACGUCCCAAGCAUAGAUCCUUUAAGAUCUGAGAGCAUUUAGAGUGGUUAAGGCAUAAAGGUGGAAGCUUUAUGCCAUUAGAACUCCCCAUGCAAAGUUUAAGAGGUUGUUAUGUCCUUUUUAGCAAAAAAGGGCCAUGCACGGAUGCAAAGGUAGUAGCUUUGCGUGUUAUUCCGACCCUAGGAGUUAGAUCUGGGUCCUAGAUGCCUUGUGCUUGACUAAAAUCGUCUGAAUAGAAUUGGACAUUGAGGGACUCGACGAGUCACUUGUGGGACAUCUCGGCGAGUCAGGCCAGUUUCUAGCCCCAAAACCCUUCUGUAAAGGGUAUGAGUUAAGUUGGUUAGGGACUCAACCAACCUGGGUCCAUAGUAGACAUGAAGAUCAUCGUACUCGACGAGUUGAAGGAGGAACUCAGCGAGUCCAAGGCAAUCUCCUUAGUUUAUGAAGAUGGACUCGACGAGUUGUUCAUACAACUUGGCGAGUCAUAGAGUGGACACAUUCAUGUGUGGGAGAUGAACUUGACGAGUUCAAGGAUGAACUCGGCGAUUCGGUUAAAGAUGGUCCCGAUUGUAUGAUUGAAGUAGAACCCGUCGAGUUCUUGCUAGACUUGACGAGUAGAGUCGGGGUUGUAUUGGGUUGGAGGAGUAUGGACUCGACGAGUUGGUAGACCAACUCGGCGAGUCAAGGCAACUGGAGGUUGACUUUGACCAAGUUUGACCUGGGUGGACUUUUGGAUUAUUGUGGUCUAAAUGUUAUUUUGGGUAUUGCUAGUUCGGGAAGUCGAAGGGUCAGCAGUUCAGGAGUUGCCGGUUAGCAGUCAGAAGUGUUCAGCUAGUCUUUAGCAGUUCAAGGUGAGUCUCCUCACUGUGUGCAUGGGUCUACAACCACAAUUCUGAGCCAUUAUGUUAUGUUUAUGUUUAUGUAUAGAAGGAAGACCCAGGGGUUAGCCCUAGGCACUUAUUGUUAUAUGUUCCGGGUUACGACUUGAUGUCGGGCGAGGCCCGAGGAAUGUUAGGAUGCUAGAGGUCUUUGUGAUUCUUGCAUAUGUCGGUAUGUUAGGUUACGGACCGAGGGUCUGAUGUCGGGGCAAGCCCAAAGUAUGUUAGAUGAUAGUGUGUUUCCGGACCGGGAGUCUGAUGUCGGGUAAAUCCCGAGGAAGAUUCUUAUGUUGUAUGUUAGAUUAUACUUGUGUCUACAUGAUACUUGUAUGUGUCUGGUAGGGAGGUGGGGGUGGGUGAGGUCCCGUAUCUCAUCACUAGCUGAGUAUGGAUGGGCUUCCAUAUCUCGAUAUUAGCUGAGUAGGGGCGAGGCCCGGGAUAGGAAGGAUGUGGGUGUGGGCGAGGGCGAGGGCCCGUAUCUCACUACUAGUAGGUGUAUGGACAGGAAGUAGGGCAGAAAGCGCACAUCCAACUGCCUAUCAGAUAUUAAUUACAUAUAACCUUGAUGUAUAAACUAAGGUAUUAUAUAAUUAACCACUAAAGGUCCUUAAAGUUAUACUGGUUUAAUAAAAUGAAUUAAACCCUUUUACUGAUAAGUUACUAGUUUAGCCUACUAAAUGUUCUAUCUGAAAAGUAUUUUUUGUACUAGAAAAUGGUAUAUUGAAUUUGGAUACUAUGACCUGACCCAUACCUGGUACUCCUUAUAAUUACUUGGUGUAUACGGAAUAUAUAUAUAUAUAUAAGAUUGGANUAUAUAUAUAUAUAGCUAAGAUCGAAUAGCUAGUAGACUGGGUGAAUCUGCUCUAAGCCCACAACCAAACAAGGAACAAGAAAUGAAGCGGAAGCACACAUUCUACUGUCUACCGGACCCGAUUAAUAUACCUGAUGUAUCUACCGAGGAAUCAUAAAGUUAGCAUUAUAGCCCCCCUUUUAACUGAAUGUACUAAGAGUCGACUAUUUUGUUUGUCUUUUGUGAUGAUGUAAGUUUUCCCAAGUUUAAGACUAUCUUUACUAGAAAAUAGUUUGCAUUACCUUUUAUGUGAGAAGAUCACUAUAUGAAUGUAAUGGGAAAAUGAAAGUAUUCAGUAAUAUUGUAUAACGUAACUACUGAAGCACUAACUACCUUAAAACCAGUUUGUUAAUUAAGGUCAAGAUGUGAUGUGGUUAUAACCAUACUGAUCGACAAGUGUUUAACACGACAAUCUGCUGGUGUCGAAACUGAUGUGACAUUUGUCACCCCUUGUCCUGCCGGCCAAACUGUAGUGAACAGUCGGGAUGCGGGCUUGUCAGUCCCGUAUAGAUCUAUACACACAAUGUCCGUUCUCCCUCCAAGAGACUCUGGUUACAAAACGCGACCUAACAAGUAUAUUGCUAAGCCGUGAAGUAGUCUCACAUAAAUGUUAUCUUGUUCUUGUUAUUAUAUGUUCCUUUCUGUUUUUGUUAUCGUAUGUUCCUUUCUGUUCUUGUUAUUGUAUGUUUUGAACCCCUAAACUAUACUUAUUAUAGUUUACUAGUAUGUUUGUUUUGUAUUGUCUCUGAUUUGUAGAAAAGACUCGAUUAUCUACUGAGUUAUGAUUGUACUUUAAAAAUAGAGUUUUAUAAACAACAAAGUAUCAUAACUUUAAAAGAGUUUUUGAAAUGAUUUGAUCACUUAUUAAGAGCAUAAGAAAAUCCUUUAAUGUGAUGGUUAUCACAGAUAAAUAUUUACACAAUUAACAUUAUGUACAACUUGUAUUCCUCCUUUUAAAAGCAUUUAAAACAUUUAAAAGAUUGAUUAUAGGGGUAUGAACUCACCUUAUGUGGGUGAUUCAAUUGAAGAUUCGUGUAAGGAUGAGAAGUUCCACGAAUGAAUUCUCGAGACACAAACGAGUCCUAAAUGACAUAUAAUGGCAUAUAUAGGCAUGUAAUUAGUGUUUAAGACAACUAAUAUGCAAGGAAAUGAUCUUAGGAACUAGGAAACACUUGAAAUGAAGUGUUAGAAUCACAUGUGAUUGUAUGAAAGGGAGUUUACGGCCAAAGGAAGAUGUGUUCACGAUCAUUCAAGGGUUUACAGCCAUGCUAGGGUUUACGGCCGUAAACUCUUGAUGUUCUUGUAUUUUUGGGUCCUUGAUUCAUGCUAAAAGGGUGUUUGCUUCAUGAGGCUUCAAGAGUUUCUAGUUUAUAACAAGAAUAUGGAAGAAUUCUUACGAUUUGGAAGCUUUUGGGAGUUCACGGCCACCAAGAACAAGUGUGUGUUAUUGGUGUUCUUGGUGUUUUUGAUGAUACUUGAGAGAGAAAUGAGUGUUUUUGACUUGAAGAUGUGAGGAAUGAAGAACAAAUGAAGGAAUUCUAUACUUAUGAUGUGGGGUUCACGGCCAAACAAGAGCUUAUGACCGUAAGCUGUAGUUUACGGCCGUAAACUCCAAGUGAUGGGGUUUUCCAGCUUAAAUGCUACACAACGAACUCUAGUAGAUACUCCUAACACCCAAUCCUUGAAUGUACUAGGCUUAGAACACUCAAACAGGCCCUUAACAAUGCUAAAAGAUAGUAGAAACUAGUCUGACUUUUGAUUGAAUUGAAUGGAUUUACUAUAUAGAAAUUUUCACGCGUCACGCCUAACAGCAACGUUAUGAGACUUUUUGUAACGGCGAAGCCACGCCUCACGUCAUGACACGCCUUAGUGCGCGUCAUGACGCGCCUUUUAGAACAUUGGGUUGUGCCCUUUUGUAUGUUAUGUGGUAUUUUGAGGAACUCACUAAGCUUUGUGUCUACGAUUUGUGGUUUAAACAUUUUCAUAUACUUCCAGUUCCAAAGGGAAGAGCACGACAUGAUCACACAACAUCCCAUUGAUUUUAUUCUACAAUGUUAUUUGGAUUCACUCUGAUGUUGAGAAUAUGUGUAUACUAUAAUUGGGUUGGAACAAUUAAUUGUAUCUGUCGGGUGUUUGAAAAAUAAAAGUUUUACUACUAUUUUUGGGACGUUACAUUAAUUAUUAAUUUAUUAGAUUGAGGGUUCAAGUCUCGCUAUAGACAUAUAUGAAAUAAUUUAGAAGUAGUUUAUAGUAUAUUUACCGUUAAAAAAACUAUUAAUUGAUUUAUCUAAAUUAUCUAAUCAAUCCAUAUUAUAAUACUCAUUUAUCUUAUAAGAGUGUUGGCUUUCGACGCAUCAAUAUUUUAUUAUAUUUUCAGUUCGAUUGUUAUUUAAAUUGAUAUAUGAUCAAUGAAAGGGAAUAUGACUUAUGAAGGUAAUUAACUUUUCGGGUUGUUCACAUAUAGGUAACUAUAUUUUUUUUGUACACAUCUAGGUAACAAACGUUUUGGAACUGUUCACAUAUGACCAUUAUGACCUGCUGUAGCAGGUUACAUCCAGCUACAGCAUGUCAUAAUGGUUAUGUGUGACCACUUUCAACAAGUUCGUUACCUAGAUGUGUACAAAAAAAAUAGUUACCCAAAUAUGAACAAAACCAAAAGUAAGAGUAAAUUACACGAAUGGUCCCUAUGGUUUGGGAGAAUUUGUGUGUUUGGUCCCUAACUUAUUUUUUUAAGUCGGAUGGUCUCUACUGUUUAUUUUUGUUGCGCGCUUAGUCUUUGUCUUACCUAAAAAGACUAUUGUGGCCUUAUUAAUUUAUUUUUUUAGUUAAUUUUCUUAUUUAUGUAUUUGCUUUUAUAUGUUUAAAAAAAUUAAUAGACCCCGCAUAUCUGUAUCUCAUCACCGUAAACAUGAAACCACAUUUGAGAAAUUUAAUCUGGGUCGCAUCGGUCACCAUCCCAUAUCUCAUCAUCUGCAACUUCUAUUUUAUUUCCAUCUUUAGUGAUAUGGAAGUCUUCAACAUCCUUUUUUUGGUCCUUCAACUUUGGCGAACAAACACCAUAACACAUUGUCUCUUCACUUUAGUGGGUUGUGGUGUUGGUUCGCUGGAGUUAAAGGACCGAAAAAUAAUAAAUGGUGAAGACGUCGAUGUCAUUAAAGAUGAAAAAGAAAUAAAAGUUGAGGAUGAUGAGAGACGGGAUGGUGAGGAGAUACAGAAAUGUGAGGUCUAUUAGUUUUUUUAAGCAUAUAAAAAAUACAUAAAUAAGAAAAUUAAUUAAAUUAAAUUAAUAAGGACACGAUAGUCUUUUUAGGUAAGACAGGGACCAAACGCAACAAAAAUAAAUAGUAGGGACCAUCCGAAUUAAAAAAAAAUAAGUUAGGGACCAAAAGUACAAAUUCCCCAAACCACAUGGACCAUUUGUGUAAUUUACUCUUACUUUUGGUUUUGUUCAUAUUUGGGUAACUAUUUUUUUGUACAAAUCUAGAUAACGAAGUUGUUGAAAGUGUUAACAUGUAACCAUUAUGACCUACUAUAGUCGGAUGUAACCUGUUACAGCACAGUCCCAAAAACUUUGUUACGUAGAUGUAUAAAAAAAAGAUAGUUACCUACAUGUGAACAAACUGAAAAAUUAAUUACCUUAGUCAGUCUUAUUCCCUCAACGAAACAACCAAAAUAUUUAAUUAAAAAACACGUGCACUUAGUUUCUUCCUGGCAUGGAUUUAUUAUUCUAUGUACACAAGAUGUUCUUGCCAUAAUGAUUGAUUGCUCUCAUUGUCUCCCACAACUCUGUGGACCACAUAUGAUUUAUCGUCAACGAAUUAUUCAGUAAAAUAUAGAAAAUGUGAAUAAGAAACAAACCGCUGCAAAAAAUAAACUUACUUCGAAAUGUGAAUGAGAAUUUCGACCAAGUUGGAUAAAAAAGUAAUGUUUAUUUAUCUCUAAUAGAUUAUAAAAAUAGGAAAAUGAGAUUACGUGAUGGAUUUCCAAAUUAACCCGACUAACCCGCAACUUAAUAGGAUCUGGUUUCGGAUGAUUUCUUAAAAUUAGUAAAAACCCAACUAAACCAAAACCCAAUCGAGUUGUCACAAAUACAUUACCAACUUCGAUGGUUAAGAAAGGGUUAUCUUGAAUGAACUCACAUCCACGCUCAUAUAGCAUACGAAUAUAUGUGGGAAACACAUGUACACAUAAUGACAUAAAAGCAUUAGGGUAAAUCACAUCAAUUGUUUGUCGUGUAUAUGCCAAAAAGUACGUUUAGUCCUUAUUUUUAAAAAUUAACUUGGGCCGUUUCUUGUUUGUUUAAAACUUGCACAUGUUAUCCAUCUUUGUUUUAAAUUUACACACUUAAUCUUUUAUCAGAUUUAAAAUGACUAUACUACCCUUACUAUUUUGUUUUUUAUUUAUUUAGAAUUCAUUUUAUAUUAAAAAAAUUACAGUCAUAUACUAUCUUCCCUCUUUCCCUUUUUUCCUUUCAAAUCAGUUGAAAGGAUAAAACAUCAUCACCACCACCACCGUUAGUGACCACCGACUCAACUCUUAAGCAAAUGUCACUACUUCACCCCCGACUAUCUACUAUGUUUCUCCUUUCUCUAUCAGUGACCACCACCGAUUUGAGGUUCCUUGAUGGAAGAUGAUUUAUGGCUAGGGUUUCUUGAAGGAGUGUUGAUCUAUAACCUUCUAUUGCAGUUCCAGCAACGAUGGUUUCUCCAUCUCUCUUGCACCAAAAAAAGAUCAACAUAGGAAAUUGAUCUGAGGUUCCUCCUCGACAUGAGGUUCCUCGAAAAAGUGUGUUACGCACCAAACCAAACCAAUAUAAAAAAGAAAGCAAAAUUGGUUCCAAAAAUCAAAAUAAAAAAUGGUUCAAGAAGUUGAAGUUGAAAUCAGAAUUAUAUUGAUUGUGGUGGUGGUGGUCGUCGUUAUUCAACCUCUUUGUCGGAUAUGGACUCAGGUUUGGAGAACGUCGAGUGGUCAACGAGUUUCAAAGACCAUGGACGUCAAUCGGAGAGUAGAUCGAAAAUGUUUGUUGGUUUGAGAUGGAAGAAUCGAUCGUGAGAAGCAAUUGUAGCCGGAGAUUUCGAGGGAGAUGUAUUGAUUUCUUUGUUUAACGUCUUGAAGAGGGUUUAGACUUUAGAGUCGGUGGAUCUGAUUUCAACAACUUGAAGAGGGUUUGACUUUGGUCUCACCGAAAAAAGGUGGAGCAUCGGAGAAAGUAUGAGAAGUGUUGUUAGGUGGUUCCCAACAAUGAAAGUGAACGAGGGAGACAAAGAAGGAAGUUGGGGAAGGGGGAGGGGCGGGAUAUUAAUUUUUUCUUUUUUAAAUCUAAAAACUGAUAAAUAAAUAAAUAAAUAAAUAAGUGCAAAAUAGUUUUUUUUUAUGUCUGGAGGGACUAAGUAUACGAGAAAAAACAAACCCAGAAACGAUCCAAAUUAACUUUUAAAAAUAACGGUUAAACGUACGUUUUGACACAUACACGAGAGAUGAAUGGUGGUACUUGUCCCUUCCUUGCCCAAUGCCCAUUCCUUUAUGAAAUUGGUCAAAUUUAUACCAAUGUCAUAUGUCCUAUAGAGUUGUUUGACAUAUAGACAACUAGACCAUAACUGACAGAUGGGUGUUGCGUAGUUGGAAACUUGGAAACGGUAGCUUCUAUUUAUAUAGAAGAUUAGAAGUGUUCUUAAAAAAUAGUUGCAAGAUUUUAUACUCUUAAAGUCUUAAACUAGCCGUUAAUUCCAGUUUUGGCGUAUUGUAAUAUACUGAUUUUAAUUAAUGAUGUUAUUAAAUAUAUUUAAUUUUAUAAAUACUAAAUAUACUUAAAAAAAUAACAAAUUAGAUGAGAGCUUAAGAAAGAUAAGAGAGUAAAUUUGUUGGCCAAGGUUUUAAGUUAAUUUUUGCCGAAAACUUUUAACAUGUUUUUCCAUUUUGGAAUGUCUCGACAUAGUUUCUGAUCAAUAAUACCCAAGUUUGGUUGCUUGAUUAGUUUAUACGUUGAUCGUAAUUGGGUGAUAAGACUUAAGACAAAGCCUAAAUGCAAGAAAUAGCAACAUACUUUCAUUUAUUGAUUAAUUAUAGCAUCCUACUUUCAUUUCUUCUUAUUCUAUACUUUGAACAAUAUAUCCAAUUAUAUAACAAUGUCACCAAUAUUUCCAUGACUUGCAUAAAAAUAAAAGAUCACAAGUAGAAAUUCAAAACUAAAAAGAAAGGUGGACGAUUUCCGACUAUCAAAAUAGCAAAAAGGCUGAAAAACACAUUUUGCAAUCAGAUAUACAACACAAAAUGAGACUAACAAUAAACAAAGACAAAGCAACUACACCACUACACUACAUAGUUCAUUAUUUAAAAAAAAAACAACUACUACAACUACAAACUACAAACUACAAACUACAACAAGAAAAGGAUAAAACUUACUUGAUUUGAUCACUAAGCAGCUUUAACCUUUUCUUCAUUCACAACAGAAAGUAUUGGCAAACUGCUUAAAAACUCAUCAAGUCCUUCAAAGAAUCCAUUCCCUUCAACAUUAUUAUCCUCUCCUUGCCCAUGUCCAUGCCCUUCAUUAUUGUUGAAUUCCACAUUCAAAUCCAACUUCCCCAAUUCCUUUCCAACCCUACCCGAUUCCCUUCUUGGAUUCCCACUCUCUUCAACUCCCAUCCCAUUUCCAAGAUUCUUCAAGAUUUCAUUUUUAGCUUCCCGUGCACUAAUACCAACAUCUUGCACCCUGUUUUCGAAUUCCAAUUCCGGAUCUUUCUUCAUCUUUUUCCUGGCAUUGGAAUCAGAAUCAGAACCAGAACCAGAACCGGAAUCGGAAUCGGAAUCAGAACUUUGUUUAGAGACUUCCAUGAACACAUCAUCUGUAAUAUCAUCAAUAGCAUCAAGUUGGAUACGCGGCCCCGAACUUUUGUUAACAAAAGUAUUCUCCUUCGGGGCCGCUUUACCAUUUAAAUGGUUCUGUUUUUGGUUUUGGAUAUUAGUUGAGGGAUUAUACAUAGGUGAAAAGGGUGUCCAAGAUUUUUUGUUACUUUGGGUGUUGUUUUUAUCUAGAUGUGACAUGGAAACACCUAAUGGGAAGUAACCCCAACAACAGAAAUAUGCUUCUUGGCCUUCUGUUAUGGGUGGUGGGUGGGGGAUACGUACAGCUUGAAAUGCCCUUUGACAGUGGUCACAACGGAGGGUACAUUCGGCAUAAACUUUUGGGUAUUCAUACAUGUAGUAACAGAAAGGACAUGAAGUCCAAAAGGUGGGGGAAUUGUCUACAGUUUCAUCAGGUUCUUCUUCAGCUUCUGUUUCUAUUUCUUCUUCCAUUACACCAUUGUCACUGUUGACUUGAGAAGGAAGCUCCAUAGGAGCAGAAUUAUGUACUUGAGACUCUUGCUCUUGUUGUUGGGGUGGGGGUGGGGNNNNNNNNNNNNNNNNNNNNNNNNNNNNNNNNNNNNNNNNNNNNNNNNNNNNNNNNNNNNNNNNNNNNNNNNNNNNNNNNNNNNNNNNNNNNNNNNNNNNNNNNNNNNNNNNNNNNNNNNNNNNNNNNNNNNNNNNNNNNNNNNNNNNNNNNNNNNNNNNNNNNNNNNNNNNNNNNNNNNNNNNNNNNNNNNNNNNNNNNNNNNNNNNNNNNNNNAGGCUGAGGCUGAGGUAUAGGUUGAGGCCGUGAUUGAGGAAGGGGAGGCUGAGGUUGUGGCUGUGGCUGUGAAGGGGGAGGCUGCUGUUGCUGUGGUGGUGCUUGUGUCCAAGAAAAAGGGGGUUGUGGUGCUGCUGCAGGCGGAGGGGGACUUGGUGAUUGCAUACGUGGCUGUGGCUGUGGCUGUGGCUGAGGAGGUUGUGAUGGUUGUCGGAUUUGCUGAUGCUGAUGAGGUGAUGUAACUUGAAAAGGUUGUACCUGUGGCUGAGGAGGCUGAGGCUGUUGUGGUUGUCUAGUUUGGUGAUGUGGUGGAGAAGUAAUUUGAAAAGGUUGUACCUGCGGUUGAGGAGGUUGUUGUGGUUGUCGAGUUUGCUGGUGUGGCGGAGAUGUGACUUGAAAAGGUUGUACCUGUGGUGGAGGAGGUUGUGAUGGCUGUCGAGUUUGCUGCCGGGGUGGAGAUGCAACUUGAAAAGGUUGUACCUGUGACGGAGGAGGUUGUGAUGGUUGUCGAGUUUGCUGCCGGGGCGGAGAUGCAACUUGAAAAGGUUGUACCUGUGGCGGAGGAGGUUGUGAUGGUUGUCGAGUUUGCUGCCGGGGUGGAGAUGCAACUUGAAAAGGUUGUGCUUGAGAUUGAAACAGUUGUUCCUGCUCCCGGUGGUGAAACAGUUGCUCCUGCUCACGCUUAGGAGGUUGUAGUUGCUGUCUACUUUGCUGAUGUGGUGGAGAUGUAACUUGAAAAGGCUGUACCUGUGGCGGAGGAGGUUGUGGUUGUUGUCUAGCUUGCUGAUGCGGUGGAGAUGAAACUUGAAAAGGUUGUGCUUGAGGCUGAAACAGAUGUUCCUGUUCACGAUGCUGAAAUAGUUGCUCUUGCCUUACCGGACUCGGUUGUGACAGAAAAUUAUGCUGCUGCAAUUGCUGCUGUUGAUGACUCUGUUGAACCCUAGUUUGAAAUGUCUGUUGUGGCUCAGGCAAAUCCUGCUCAUGACUCGACCCCAUGUGAUUAAUCGAAAAAAAAUUAUGCUGCUGAUGACUCUGCUGCUGUUGCUGGUGGUGAUGUUGUUGCUGGUGGUGGUGCUGUUGUUCGAGGUUAAACCCUAUAGUGUUCAUCUGUUGUUGCGGCGGAAAAUCAAGCUCCGAAUCAUACAUAGAUUUCCGCAUAGGGUUCGAUAACACAGCCCAAGCAUCAUUCACAAGCUGAAACGCUUGAUCGGAGUAAGGAAACCUGUUUUGGUGAGGAUUUAGUGUAACGGCAAGCCGCCGGAACUGCGAGGCGAUGUGGUCUGUAUCCUGAACGAACCUGACGAGCUGCAGAAUCGCGUAGUAAUCCGGCUGCUGAGCGCCGUUGUUUCCGACGACUCGUUUUUCGGCGGCGAGAAGCGUGUCGGCAAUUGCUAGGAUCUGUUCAGCAGCUUCGAGUCUGGGAUCGGAAUCUCGUGCUCGGAUCGCAAAUGUCUUGGAGCCGACGAGGUCAUGGCCCAUGAGCAGCUUCUCGGCGAUGCCGAGCCAUCGUUGCGCUUCCGCCCGUGCUAUGAAGCUAUGGGGGUCCAUAACCGUUUCUCUUUCUCUCUACAAAUCAAACCACAAUCGGAAAGUAGCCAUGGCGGCCGUGGAGAGUGGUCGGGAGUGGUGGAGGGUUAAAAAAGGGUUGCAGAUUUUUCUUUUUGACGGAAAAGGACUCGGCUUUUAUAAGGGAAGUGCAGCAACAAGGAGUGGAUAUGCAAGGGUAUUAAUGUCUUUUAAGGAUCUAAAGAUGUAAUCUAGUGUUUCAACUCUGAUUAGUUCACACUCGUGGUCGUUUAAGUUGAAUUAUUUCGAUCUGAUAUGCAAGAUUAUGUUAUUGCCAGAAUAAUAAUGACUAUUUUCAGAGCUAAUAUGCUUUACAGUGUUUUGUACAAUAUCGAUUGAAUUUGUACCUAUUAAUUUAUACAAAUUAUUUGUAAAGUUUUCUAUUUCCAUCGUGUUGUUAAAUUAAUUCAUUGUUACAUUUUGGAUAAAUAUCAUCAAUGCCAGAUAAUUUGUUUUCUUCUCCUCCUCGGUGCUCUUUCACCAUGGCGACAAAUCAACAUAUUUUUGGGCUUGCUACUAGGGAUGCUAACGGGGCGAGUUUUGGUAAUCCCGUCCCCAUCCCUGAAUAUGAAAAUCUUUCUCAUCACCGACCCGAUUUCCAACUGGUACCCGUUUACCAAACACUAUCGGGUCUGCGGGUAUCCCAACGGGGCAACGGGCCCGUUUAACAUUCAAAUUUAGAAUAUUUUUGAUGCAAUGAGAAUACAAAACCAUUAGACUUAGUGAUGCAAGCAUAAAUUCAUAUCUAAAAUAAUUUUGAUAAUUUACAAAACCAUUAAGAGCAGACUUAUUUGUUCUGAUACAUAAGUGGUUACUAGUGUAAAAAAAACAAUAAAGACACUAGUAUUCAUAAACCAUAAUAUUACUAUUACUUUAACUACUAUGAAUAAAAAAAAUAUCAAAACACUAGCACUACAAAUAAACAGGAAGCUAUCUUAAGAAAUUAUCUUUAAAUCUUUCACAACAAAGAAGAUAUAUAAUCAUAUGAACGGUUUCAGUUAACGGGUUUCGGUUUCUGUUUUGGUUUCGGUUUCAAGUAAUCGGGACGGGUAUUUUGUUUACCAUCCUCGUAACCAAACACGCGAAAAUUUUCUAAAAGCAUACCAACCCCGAUCCCAGCCCCGAUUAACCGACCCCAAACCCGACCCUAAUAUGUCGGUUUUCGGUUUUCACCAUCAGGUUCAGUUUCUUUUGCCAUCCCUACUACCAAUUCGUCUUUUCAAAUCCCUACAAUCAGCAUAAAGCUUGAAACCUCCAACUAUUGUUUAUGGCGUACCACCAUUGUAUCAGCCCUAGAAACCUUUGAUCUUGUAUCAUUUGUUCUCGAUCCCAAACCACCGACUGAAACUCUUACGAUUGAGCAUGCAGAUGCAGCACCCACCAUUGAAGCUAACCCAGAGUACCAAUUAUGGAAGAAAUGUGAUCGUUAUGUAUUUCUAUAGCUGAAAUCCACCCUCUCUGAACGCGCCCUGGCGAUUGUCAGUCGUUCAACCUAUUCCAAUCUUUCUUGGACUACUCUCAAAUAAACUUUCCAAUCCCAAACCAAUGCUACACGUAUGGAUAUGAAGAUCCAACUUCAGAAAUUGGCAAAAAGCUCGCUACCCAUGAUUGAAUAUCUUGAAAAGAAACGUGUUAUUGUCGACUCCUUGGCUGAGAACCUUAAUCCGAUUUCUGCAAAAGACCUUAUUGGAUACAUCCUCAAUGGACUCGAUUCCUCUUAUGGCCUAUUUACUACGACGUUCAUGAUGAGAGAAUAUAAUCCUUCAGUUGAUAACCUAAUAGGAUUACUACUUCAAGAAGAAGCAAGACUCGAACAGGAGCAUCUUUGCCAAAUAAUUGCAAUUCCUUCUUCAUCCAAUACCUUCGCCCCUUAGCUCUCAAUGUGAAUCGGAAUCAACACAUGUACAACUCCAACAGUUCUGGUGUCUCAUCUACUUUAUCUUCAUGCAACUGCUCUUCUGACUCACAAAGUCGACGUCCUCAAUGCCAAUUAUGCAAAAAACCGAGUCAUAAAGCGAUAAAUUGUUGGCAAAGGUCCAAUCAAAUUGACUAUCCAUCUCGUCAGUCGAAUCUAAGAACUUCACAGGCUCCUCAAGCGCAUAUGGCUCGAUAUCACAUUCCAUCCACAGUUGCUGAUCCGUCAUGUUAUUUCAACUUCGGUGCAACAUAUCAUGUAGCUCUGGUCUUUAGAAAAUGAAUGUUGUUGAGGAACACCAUGGCACGAACAAACUUCAAGUUGGGAACGGUACAAACCUACCUAUCUCUCAUAUUGCAUCUACUUCUAUUCAUAAUAUCAAAUUGCCAAUUGUUUUAAUUGUUCCUCACAAUACCAAACGUCUUCUUAGUGUUUCUAAACUCACCAAUGACAAUAAUUGUAACACCCAAAAUUUUCAAAUAAUUUUUCACAAUUUUAAAACAUACUUUCAUUCAUAAAAUAAUAUUAAACAUAAUGUAUCCACUGUCAUCAUAGUAAAACAUAACCCAGAAUCCUAUAAAUAAAAGCUCCAUGAGUGUGUACAAAUCAUGCCGGCGCCUUCCCGCGAUCAUCAUUGGUACCUGAAACACAUACACAAAACUCUGUAAGCAUAAAUGCUUAGUGAGCUCCCCAAAAUACCACAUAACACCUAUCAUCCACUCUAGGCUGUAACUCUAAUGACCCUCUGGUCGGAUAUCUCUGUGGGACCCUCUUGGUCCCAUAACUCUGUGGACCCACUGGUCCUAACUCUGUAAACUCUGAAUCAUGCAUAUCAUAUAUCACAUAGAAAUCACAACACAUAAAUAGCAUACAAGAUACACUGUCACAUAGCUCUAAUUACCACUCUAGAUAAAGUAUAGUGAGAAGACUCACCUCGGGAAUCUUGGUAAAAUCUCGAUAUCAGAAUACUGCCCUAGCCUCUGCAUAGUCACAAUAAUAAAUUACACUAAAUAAAUGUCUCUUCAUAAUUUGGAUAUUCUCUCAUGCAAAUUCCUAGAAGGGUAAAAGACCAUUCUACCCCUCUGNCGAGAAGAAGAGCUUUCAACUCAGAAGUUCUACCUGCAUAGAGCCCGGUUCUUCGGCGAGUGCAUACGACAACUCGGCGAGUCCCCUCGUCCCCACAGACUCUUCCCUUUCUAAGCCUCACUCGACUCACUGAGUCACCCCUCAACUCACCGGGUCACCACUGGAGUCAGACCCCGGGGCAACCCCGUCUGACUCAUCGAGUCUACAUAUAGACUUUGCGAGUUUCCUCCAUGGACUUGCUCAAACAACCUCCUGAGAUCAGAUCUGCUUAACCGAAUCAUAGAUCUAACCCUUAAACACUCAAAAGUCACGUAAAGGUACGUGCAUGCAACCCAUUUCAAGGAUCAAAUGGAGAAAUAACACUAGAAAUGGCAACCUAGUCUCCAAUUUCUUAUUUGCUUGCAAAAAGCUAGAAGAUAAUGACUCUAGGGACCUCACAUGGUCCAGAUCUGAUGUCAUAAUUCCAAAGAGGACCUCAUACUCACUAGAUCUUUCAUAAAAUGAGGGUAAAAACCCUAAAAUCAAGAAAUCCAUCAAUAUAACACGAAAUGGAAAGGAUUAUAUCUCCAAAGAUGAUAUCACUAGAUGAUUAGCUCAGAUCUAGUCCCCUUCACACUCUAGAUUUGUGCUCCUUUCUUCCUUCAAGAAAAACUACACAAAAAGAUGAAGAAAUAGUCUCCUCUUGCCCUCAAACUUACUAUCUCUGCUCUCUAUGGUUUCUCUGGAACAAGGUGGCCGCAAAUGAAGGCCAUAAAGGUCUUUAAAUAGGCUCCCAAACCCGGGGAUUAGGGCUUUCCUAAUCAGCACCGACUCGGCGAAUCAGCUACCUGACUCGUCAAGUCCGGUCGCAAAACCGCGCCAACAGAUAAGACUCUACUCGACGAGUUGAGGCACCAACUCGUCGAGUUCCCCCAAAAAUAAUAAUAAUUCAAAAUAAUAAAAUUACAUACCCAAACUCCGGCUGUUACAAUAAUAUCUACAUGGAAUUAUGGCAUAAACGUUGUGUUGUUAAUUCAUUACAAGGCCAAACACUCCUCAACGAGGACGUUAAUGAUGGCCUUUAUUGUCUUCCUUCUUCACUCAAUAAAGCACCAAAUAAAUCAGCCCAUACCAUGGCUUUCACGGGUAUUCGAACUUCUCUCCAUGGCUGGCACAAACGUUUAGCUCAUCCACAUGCUCAUCUCCUUAGAAGAUUGCUUUCCUCCUUCAAGCAACCAAUAUCGUCCAAUAACUUUCCCAGUGUUUGUAACUCAUGUUAAUUGGGGAAGAGUCAUCGACUUUAUUUACCUACUUCCCAUGUAGCUUCUAGUAAACCUUUUGAUUUAAUUUAUUUAGGUGUUUGGGGCCCUUCCCUUUUUUCUAUGAAUGGAAAGAUAUGUUUCUUAUUAUUUGUUGAUGAUUGUACAAAAUUUAUUUGGAUUUACUUUUUGUCCCAUAAAUCACAAGCCUUUUCUACCUUUGUUCAAUUUCACCAAAUGAUUAAAACACAAUUUUUGACUGAAAUCAAAAGCAUUCAAUCCGACUGGGGAGGUGAAUAUCACCCUUUCUCCUCCUAUCUAACCACACAUGGAAUCACUCAUAUUGUUUCAUGCCCAUACACCCAAGAACAUAAUGGGGCUGUUGAGAGAUGCAAUCGUGACAUGGUUGAGAAAGGCCUCACACUUCUUGUUUAUUCUUCUCUACCUAAUCCCUUACGGGAACAUGCAUUCAAGACUGCAACAUACUUACACAACCGUACAAUCAAUCCUCUGCUUGCUUUUCAAUCUCUUUAUCAAAAGUUGUACUCUAAAAUUUCUGAUUAUGGGUUUCUCAAAACAUUUGGGUGUCUAUGUUUUCCGUUUCUUUGUCCUUAUAACUUACAUAAAAUUGACUUACUUCCAAACCAUGUGUGUUUAUUGGGUACAAUGCUUCUCACAAAGGAUACUUGUGCUUCCACCAGCCAUCAUCUUGUAUCUAUAUAACUCGACAUGUGGUCUUUAAUGAAGAUGUCUUCCCUUACUCCAUAUGUACAUCACCAACGCCUAAUCAUACUCCUACUCCUUGUCCUUUCCAGUAACUUCCCUCCUUCUACAACAAGCUGCUACUUUACCUAUCACAACACCACAUUCCCCAUCUCACACACCCAUACCUACACAAAAUAUAAGCAACACCCCAUCUUAAUCCUCCUCCUAUUCUCUCGGUCCCAAUCCUUAUUAUCAAAACUCUACCAUUAACUCUCGUGCUCACCAACAACCAUCUAUUUCUUCUCAUUACAGACCUGUUGUGAACAAUCACCCCCACAUUGUAACUUGAGCCCGCACAAAUUCUCUCAAGCCAAAAGUCUUUUCAUCUUCUUUAUCUUCCACUCUCACCAUUGAACCCUCGACCCUUAAACAAGUUGUUAAAUCUCCUUGUUGGAAAGAGGCAAUGAAUAAUGAAUUUGAUGCUCUUAUGAGGAAUAGAACCUAGUCACUGGUUCCAUGUCCUACUAAUGUGAAUGUUGUAGGUUGCAAAUGGAUUUAUCGGGUCAAAAGAAAGUCAGACGACUCUAUUGAACGAUACAAGGCUCGUUUAGUUAUGAAGGGAUAUAUUCAAGAGGAGGGUAUCAAUUACUUUGAGACAUUCAGUCCCGUCAUCAAACCCACAAUGAUUCGAUUGGUGUUAUCUAUUGCAAUUUCAAAUCACUGGUGUAUUCGCCAACUAGACAUCAAUAACGCAUUUCUUAAUGGUGAUUUACUAGAAGAUGUCUACAUGAGGCAACCAAGAGGAUUUGAAGACUCCACCUAUCCGUCUCAUGUUUGUUGCUUGAAUAAGGCGAUUUAUGGCCUUAAACAAGCACCACGAGCCUGGUUCAAUAAGCUCAAAAAUUAUCUGAUCCAACAAGGUUUUCGUGCUUGUCAAUCAGAUACAUCAUUGUUUGUUCACACAUCCAACAAAGCCAUUAUUUAUAUUCUUGUCUAUGUUGAUGAUUUGAUUAUCACAGGUACAAAUGUGAAUAUAAUUCAAAACUUCAUUCAUCAACUACACAAGGUUUUUUCACUAAAAGAUUUGGGGGAUUUACAUUUCUUCUGGGUAUUCAAAUUACUCGAAAAUCCUAUGUUGUGACUCUUAGUCAAGAAGGUUACAUUAGAGAUAUUUUAACUAAAACACACAUGUCAGAGGUUGCGUCUAUUUCCACCCCAAUGAUACCUAAAUGAAGUUAACAAUUGAGAGUGAUCCAUUCUCUGAUCCAAAACUCUACAGAAAGUGGUGGGCUCACUUCAGUAUGCUAUGAUCACACAUGUUGACAUCGCAUUCGUUGCCAAUCGAGUAUGUCAAUAUAUGCAUUAUCCAAAUGUUCAUCAUUGGCAAGUGUUUAAAUGGAUCCUACGAUAUCUCAAUGGCACCCUCAAUCAUUGUCUGUAUUUUUUACCAACUAAUGUCACUUCUCUACUUGCUUAUUCUGAUGUCGGUUGGAUCUCAGACAAGGAUGACAACAAAUCUCAAUAUGCGUUUGCAAUUUUUCAUGGCUGCAAUCUUAUAAGUUGGACAUCAAGAAAACAGAACGUUGUUGCUCAUUCGAGUACGGAGGCUGAGUUCAGAUCUCUUGCAUACAUAACAACUGAAUUAAUUUGGAUUAAACAACUAUUAUAUGAUCUUGUUGUCCCUAUAAAUGAUCAUACCCUGCUACUAUAUGACAAUGUUGGUGCAGUCUUCAUGACAAAUAAUCCUGUUAUCUGCACCAGGUCCAAACAUGUAACACCCGGUUCCUGGUAUGUAUUUAAAUUCAAGUAAUUUAAUGUUUUGCUCUAGGACUCGGCGAGUUGGAGGCCCAACUCGUCGAGUAGACUCGAUUUUGACCGGGAAGUUUAGUAACCUACUCGACGAGUCAGGGGACCGACUCAACGAGUAGGAGUUGUCUGGAUGAAACCCUAAUAUCAAGGGCUUACACCCUAUUUAAACGACUUAUUCCGCCUCAACCUAGCCCCCAUCGUCCCUCCCAACUCAGAGAAACCCUAAAUUGAAACCCUAACCUUGUUUGAGUGAUUCUUGAGCCAUUUUGUGCAUUUUUUUUUGGUGGUUGUGAAGGUUGAGAAGGAAGAAGGAGUUUGGGAGUUCAUGUUGAAGCUUGUAGAUCUAGAGGUUGUGUUCCAUUUCCAACUCAUUUGAGGUAAAAGCUUCAACCUUGACUUUCCAUUUGUUAGAUCCUCUUUAGGGCUUAAAUCUUGGCAUUUUUGGGGCAUUUCCAAGUUACCUUCGGGUUUGGGUCAUUGUGUAGAGAAAUAACUUCAGAUCUGGAACCUAGGAGGGUUCUCAUGGCAUAAAGGUGCCAACAUUACUGCCAUGAGAGCCCCAUGCAUCUUGAAGACUCCAUUUUAGGGUCUUUUGAGCUAAAUGGCCCAUGUAUGAACGUAAAGUUUGUAAAUUUACGUGUAUUAUGGACCCUAGGAGGUCAGAUCUAUGGUUUAAGUGCUUUGAGACCCACUGAAAUCGACUGCAUGGUUUUGGACAAAGAGGGACCCGACGAGUUGUUCAUAGGACUCGGUGAGUCGGGUCCUAUUUCCCAUCAAAUUCUUAUGUUAAUGGACUAGAUGCUAAGAUAGAAGAACACUCAGUUUUCUAGGCUCACUGGGGACUUGGAAAUCAUGGAACUCACUGAGUGUAUGAGCGGACUCGACGAGUUCAAGGCAAUGUCCCAACCACAUGAAGAUGGACUCGACGAGUUCAAGGGGAACUCGGCAAGUCAUAGACUGAACUCCUUCAUAUGGAUGAAGAUGAACUCGACGAGUUCAAGGAUGAACUCAACGAGUCGUUUAAAGAAGGUAUGAUGUGUUGUUGAAGGCGAAUUCGUCGAGCUCUUGCUAAACUCGACGAGUAGGGAUGAAGUUGUAACUUUUCGUGGACGAGGGGACUCGACGAGUUGUUAAACCAACUCGGCGAGUCUAGUCAACCAGAUGUUGAAUUUGACCAGGGUUUUGACCUUGACUUUGACUUGGAAUUUAGUGACCCUUAUAAGGGUUAUGAGUAUGAAAUGGUAAUGGAGAAAAGAUGUUGUGUAGGGAUUGAGGAGUCGAGAAUAGUCGAUUUUCACACCGAGGACAGUGCAGACACUACACGAGAUCGAGGUGAGUUAUCUUCUAGUAGAGGUGGGUCUACGGCCAUAAUGUCGGCCCACCAGCAGGAGUUGUCUUUAGAUGAUUGUGUUUGUGAUAAUUGUCUAGGUUUGCUAUUACCUAAUGUGUCUUAUGUACCAGUAUGAUAUGUUAUAUGUGAUACUGGUAGUAGGAAGGGGAAUAGUCCCCCGAUUCAGUUAUUAGAACCGAAGGGUAGGUCGGACACCCCAUAUAUGUCUGAUAGCUUGAUUAUAAUAUGUUAUUAUGUGAUAGUGGUAGGAGGUGAAACAAUCCCCGUGGCCGGUUGAGAUAGACCGGUGAGUAGGCAAGCACCCUAGAAUGGUCUGACACGGGUAGGUCAGCACCCCAGAAUGGCUUGACAUGGGUAGGUCGGGCACCCCAAAAUUGCCCGACAGUAUGUAUGAUUGUAUGGUAUGUGGUAUGAUAGGGGAACUCACUAAGCUUUGUGCUUACGGUUUUCAGUUUUGGUUUCAGGUACCUCUUCGUCGAAGGGGAAGGAGUCGGCAGGGUAGCAGCGCAUCGCACACAUAUGAUUCCACAUUUGAGAUUUAUGGGAUUGUACUCUGACAUUAUUACUAUUUGAUGAUAUAGUUUUGGGACAUGUAACUAUGGUUUAUGAAUUCAUAUGAUAUCAGUAAUGUUUUCCUCAAACAAAUUUUAUAAGCAAUAUAAUUAAAACGGAAAUUUUUGGUCUCGAUUUUUGGGAUGUUACAAAACACAUUGCAUUAGAUUUCCAUUUUAUAAGAGAAAAAGUUGAUUCAAAAGAUCUUCAUGUAAGUGUUGUGUCUUCAAUUGUGACAACCCGAAACUUUUAUCUUGUACACUUAGCCAAUUCUAUCAAUGUUAAACUCGCUUCAACUAUCUUUUAGCAUUGUUUUGAGCCUAUUUGGAUGAUCUAAAGCCUUGUACAACCAAAGUUUGAAUUAGAGAUGGGUUGGUUUAGGAUUUAGGGUUGCAAAAAGGCCAAACACUCUAUCAAAAGGAGUGUGUGGCCACACACAUGAGUGUGAGGCCGCACACCUGAGUGUAUGGCCGCACACAUGAGUGUGUGGCUGCACCCCCGAGUGUGUGGCCGCACACCCGAGUGUAUGGCCGCACACCCAUUAUCUAUAUAUAGAUGAGGCUCAUUUUCACUUCCUUUCCCUUCUCCUCAACCGCACACACCUCUCUCUCUCAGGCUUCUUGUUUAUAGUGAACUAAGUAUACCGAACCUUACAUGGUAUAGAACUAUAAAAACUAAGGGGCCUAAGUGCUCUAAACUAAAAGUAUACCUUCAAAACAUAAGUAUUUUUAUAAAAAGUAUACAAGUAUACCUAAGUACCUGAAUCAGUGUCAUAAGUAGAACAAAACAAAAGUAUUUGGAUGUUGGACAUCGCGGUUAAACCUGGGUAGUUAUGUAAUCAUGUCUAGGAUCAAUAUAACCUGAUCAACUAUAUUCAUUCUAGACAUGAACAACAUGUGCUUGGGAGUGACUAUGGUGUUGCAGCAAGCCUAAAACUUACCUAGAUACCAGAAGAAUUCUAGAAUCAAAGAUAAGGGUCAAAAUACUAUAGGAGUAUUUUAGGAUGCUAUAACAAUCGAACCGGAAACUUACCCAAGAAUCCAUUCUUCAAGAAUCAAUCAUGUAGCUAUAAUACAUUGGAAGUAUUAUUAGAGUCGAUGCCUGUUAACUAUCCAUUUACCCCUUAUCUCGCGUAGAUAGCAUAGCCGGAUUCAACCUCCCUGGCGACCCGUAUUUUCCCAACCAAGGAGAUGAUGGAUGGCUCGAACCAACGCUAGAAGAGAACCAUGAGAUUCCUUUGGAUGAUGACUUCUCCGAACCAUUUCCUGAAGAGUCUGACUCAGAACCCGAAGUCAAGAACCUACCUCAAGUAGCCUCGAUUGAUAGCUUCAUUUUAUUUACUUCUUUUUAUAGUUUAUUUUAGUACAUUUCAUUCGCAUUUUAGUUAACUUCCAUGCAUAUUUUCCCUUUUGUUAUUUUUAUGACCAUUUCGGGGUACUUUCUAGUUUCUUGAGCAUUAUUGCAGAUUUUCUUGGAAACUAGCGGGGCGGCACUAUUGGGAGGCGAUUGGGGUUGAAAGGAAUCGGGGAUUUCGUGCUUGAUGGCUAUGAAGGUGACUCAUGGGGUGGACUUGUCAAUUGCUUGAAGUCUUGGAAGAAUUGAGCUUUAAAUUUGAAAGACGCGGGAGAAUUCUUGAGUGUGCAAGAUCAAUAUUUGGGAGUUUGCGGAAGUUUAGAGUGAUGUGGAUAAGCAAAUUGGGCUUUAAUUGAAGAUAUAUUGAAGAAAAAUGGGCUAGGAGUUGAUUGCAUUCGAACUGGGCCAAUGGAUUAGCUGUGGGGGCCCAAAACUUGAAGAAGCCCAAAAUUACCCGUCAGAGCCCGCGGCCCGCGUGGGUUCCUGACUAGGGCAAUUUCGGGAUUUUGCUAAGAGCUCUAUUUUGGGAAGUUUGGUGUGCCUCUUUAGCCUUAUCUUGAAGGUCCGAUUUUGAGACUUUCUCUCUGGAGUUUGGAGCAUUUUUGGAGGCCAAGAACACUUGAAGAAUAUCUUCUUUUCAUCUCUUGAAUCUUGUCAAAUGUUUGGUACAAUCUUAUCUAACUUUGUUCAUUUGAGUUUAGCCAUGCUUGGCUAAACAAAUCUUGGUUGACUUUUUGUUGAAUCUUUUGAACUUUUGUUGGAUGUUGAAGAAUCCAUGAACUUGUUCUUAAAUCUUUAUGCAAUUGUUUUGUGUUUUAUCAUAUUAUCACUACUAGUAUGUUUUUAUUCAUGAGUUUAAAUAUGUUUGUGGUGAUUAGUUGGCUAAUUUCUUGAUUAAGUAAAUGAUCCUCAAAUUAGCAAGCAACAAAUGAUUUUUGUGUUGUUUUUGCUUCACACAAUCAUAAAAACAUUUCCUCCAACAUGGUGGUGAAAGCAUUUGACCCCUCUUGGAUUUGGUGACUUUUUGGUUCUUAAUGCUAGUUGACUUUCACUAAUUACAUGCUAUUUGGAAUUAGUGACUUUGACUAAGGAAAUUGUUAUGAGCUUCUCUAGCCAUUUCAACAAUUAAGAAAAGUCUAGGUAAUCUCAAGCUCCUUGGAUUACUAUAGCCAAAUUAAGGAUUUAAAUCAAAGUAUUGCACCAUUGGAUUCUAAUGAUAUGUUCAUCAAAAGUCAAAGUGAGGAAACUUUAAGUCAACCAUCUCUCCCUUAUUGAUUUUACAUCAAACUCUUAUUUUUGUUGCAUUUGUCUAUUUAAAUCAUAGUUAAUUCUAGUUUGUUUCAAGUAUUUCAAAACACCAAAACCCCCCAUUUUAUUUUUAUUGUCAUUUUACAAGUAUUUUUACAAAGAGAUUUUUCAUAGAGUUAUAAAUUGAACCAAUCUCCGUGGAUUCGAUCCCUUUACCACUAUACACUAUUUUAGUGUGUAAUAUUUAGGGUUAUUAUUUGUGUUGGCCUCGACAACCACCAAAUUUUUGGCGCCGUUGCCGGGGAUUGGUUUUGAUUUAAUCAGUUUGUUUCUCUAUGCCUAGAUCUCAUUGUGCAGGUACUCUAAUUUAAAACCCAGAAAUUAAAAAAAAAAAGAGUAUGGUUCGGAAAUGAAUACUACUUGCACCGAAGACCAACUUUCUGAGCUAGCUCAGUUAGUUAUGAUGAUUGAAAGUGACCAAAGUGUGCAACCCACACCUCUUCUUUGCGAUUUUUGUGCCCAAAAUGGACAUCAUUCCGACACGUGUCCAUAUUUACAAGGAGAAUGGGAAGAAGUGCAAGAGAAGGGAAGCUACUACUGGUCAAACCAAUGGAGUUAUGAUCAACCUCAACAUGAUCAAUGGUGGGACAACAACCAAGCUUGGGGAUACAAUAAAUACCAAAGCUNUACCAAAGCCCAUACCAAGCUUGGAGAAAUGACCAAUACUAACCAACUCCACAAUUCCAACAUCCAUAUCCUCCACCUCCUCAACAACUUGAAACGCCAAGCAUGUCCUUAGAGGAGAUUGUGAAAAGCAUUGCCACAUCUACCCAAAAUUUCCAAGAAACAACCCAAGCUAGCCUCAAAAGCUUAGAGCAACAAAUAACACAACUUGCUCAAACAAUAAGUAUAAUGGAAGAUCAAGACAAACUACCAUCUAAAGAGAGCCCAUGUACCAUUCCUUUGAAUGAUGAGAAAAGUUUUGAUGGCCCAAGAGUGUUAUAUGGAAAAGAGGAAGUAGGCGUAGAAAUGGAAGAGGCUAUCAAGGAGGAAGAAGAAAUUGAGAAAGAUGUCAAUGAAACUAUAGAGGACAUGUUGGGGGUUAACAAAAGAGAGGUUGAGCCACCCACUACCAUUGAGAAACUAACUCCAGUGGUAGAUGAACCACAAGAGCCGGGAAUGAUAAAUAUGUCGGACCCUUUAAAGGAUACAUAUCCCGAGAAGGAAGAGACCCAACCGGUCACCAACUCGACCACCAUGUCAAAGAGAGAAGAGUUGGUCACCUUACUGAAAAGGUACAAGGACGAAUAUGGUUGGAUGAUUGCUAUUAUCAAAGGUCUAAGUCCGAUAUGGUUCCCCCGUAAAAAGAAAGUCAAAUACAAGAAAAGAGUCCCAAUGGAGGUUUGGAAAUUAAAAAAUGUUGACACGGGGCAAGUUUUCAAGGUUAAUGGACAUUGUUUGAAGUCAUUCUAUGAAGGUUUUGAUUCAAAUGUCCAAGAUAUCGUCCAUUUGGACACCCAAAAGUGUUAAAGUGAAGUUUGGAGGCGUCUCGCUAAAGACGUUAAAGAAGGGCAUUUUUGGGAAGCAUUGUGCUUUCGUCAUUUAUAAACCGAAUAAAAUGAUUUUGAAUUUUUUUUGUUUUGAAAAUUUUCAUUUUUGAAAAAUUUCAAGCUUUAUUCUCACCUUUGGUCCAAACCUUUUAUUGUGUUUUUGAAACCGGGACUUCGUGGGAAUCAUUUAGGCCAAAAAUCAAGUUUUUUGAAAUUUUUCAAAAUUUAAGGUGCAGGAAUUCACGCGGCCUGCGGGAAAAUCCACGUGGCCCACAUAAGGUCAUGUGCGGCUUAUGUGCGGCCCAUUCCUUGCCCGCGUAAAACAAUCACCUCUAGCUCUGUUCAGCUCACGCGGCUAGCAUGCGGGUUCCACGCGGCCCGCGGGGCUGGUUUCAACACUUAGUAUUUUUUUAGCUCUAGUUCACGCGGCCUUUACGCGGCCCGCGUGUUUUGACCCAAAAUUCUUCUGAACCUUCUGUGAACUCAAGAGGAAACCAAGAAUGUUACACGCGGCCUCUACGCGGCCCGCGCCCCGCCCGUGCUCCACACAAAAACUCAAUUUCCCGGAGAUCUACCGGUCGGAAUCUCGCGAGACCACCACCAUUAUUCACCAUUUUUCCUCCUCUACAAACCCUUAUGCUCUACCCAACCCUCCGAUUUAGGUCAUUUCUGCCCUUUCCUUAAGCAUUGAGGACAAUGCUUGUUCUUAAGCUUGGGGUGGGGCAUUUCCCUUUCUUUUUAAUUUUUCAUGCAUUUUUCUUUAGUUAGGUUGCAUAACAUUUUAGUAUUAAGCUAAUUUUCAUUCAUUUUUUUUAUUUAUUUAAAAUUCCAAAAAGAUUUUAUUUUCUUCUUUUUCACCUUUUAUAUUUUUGCAUAACAUUUAGCCUAAGGCAUUAACAUUCAUGCAUUUUUGUUGUCUGUUUAUUCUCACCUCUCUUGGAUACCAUGGAACGGGUUCAUAGUUAUUGUAUCAUUAUUGGUCCACGAUCUUGUUGCAAUCUCACCCAUCGAACCGGGACCAUUGGCUGCAGUUUGGGAUUUCAUACUUGGGAUCAGAUGCUGGUAGCUUAAAGGGGUAAGUGAUCAUGGCCAGGUAGUUUCAUGAAAAAUUAUGCAUACAAUACUAACAACUGUAGGAUAUACUAUAGCAAUGGAUGUUCUUAGCCUUGCGGUCACUACCGCUGAGAGGAUCACACUUGAUCAUGUUUGAACUGUUAGGAUGAAGCAUUGGUGCUUGUCCCCGAGUAGAAUCCAUAUCCGGUCUCUUUACAUCACCAUAUCUUUUUGCGAUUUUCUUAGAAUUUUAGAGAGUCUUUUAGUCCACAUUUGGACAUUUUCAUUAUCUUUGAAAAACCACAAGUUUGAAAAGGAGCUUACAUUACAUCUUUAUGCUCCACACAUGGUCAUUUUCACACUUAGGCCAUUCGGAUUAUAUCAUUACCCUUUCGGUUCCACUUACACACCUUUGGGAACCAAAUUUUGAGUCAAAGGGUUUCUUGUUAAAAAUUUCGAUAGUUAAUACAUUACCUUCAAGUAAAAAAAAAAAAAAAAAAAAAAAAACAAAAAGAAGCAUGCAAAUUUUCAGUUGCAACUAUCUUAGAUAGGUGGCCGGUUCAAUUAUUGAACAAAUUNAACAAAACAAAAAAAAAAACAAAAAAAAGGGGCAGGCAAAUUCCCAGCUGCAGAAAUCUGAGAAGGGUGACCGGUUCAAUUAUUGAACUAAAUCUUCCAACAUUUUGGUCACCCGGCGUUUGAUAUUCAUUUAUUUAGGUAUGUUUUAGUGUAUAUAGAUCAAGUUGUUUUUCGCAAAUUGGUGAUGUUAGAGAGACUGUCGAGUCGGAUACUACGGGAGGUUUGGGCCAACACUAAGUGAACCGAUUCCUACAACGGUGCCCGAGCGAUUAAACCAAGUUACACAUGAGAGAAACCGGCAGACGUGAGAUCAGAGUUUGCACUUAAAGAAGAGCUCCACCCGAGCCCAUCCAGUUGCCUUCUCCAUACUACAUAUGUUCUUCAUUAUCAGCAUGUUCCAUUAAGACUACGAUUGCCCAUCCCUCCUUACUCACCUAAAGGAGUUGUCCCGGCUGUGGUUUAUGGUCCCAUUGUCAUCGGAUGAAAAAGUUGUGAGACAACAGCGAGAUCAAUUCUAACCAUGUUGACUAACAUCAAAUAGGUUCCAUGGUUCUAUCCAUUCUUUUUAUUUCUAGGGUAGUUCGUCCCAAGUUCAUUUAGUCUUGUCUUACUCGAGGACAAGUAAGGUUUAAGCUUGGGGUGAUUUGAUAGCUUCAUUUUAUUUACUUCUUUUUAUAGUUUAUUUUAGUACAUUUCAUUCGCAUUUUAGUUAACUUCCAUGCAUAUUUUCCCUUUUGUUAUUUUUAUGACCAUUUCGGGGUACUUUCUAGUUUCUUGAGCAUUAUUGCAGAUUUUCUUGGAAACUAGCGGGGCGGCACUCUUGCGAGGCGAUUGGGCUUGAAGGGAAUUGGAGAUUUCAUGCUUGAUGGCUAUGAAGGUGAUUCAUGGGGUGGACUUGUCAAUUGCUUGAAGGCUUGGAAGAAUUGAGCUUUAAAUUUGAAAGAUGCGGGGGAACAUUCAAGCGUAUGAAAAUUAUUAAUCGGGCGAGUUCACGAGCUUUGGAGGAUUUAGAGAGGUCAAAUUGGGCUUUAAAUGAAGAAAAACUUGAAGAAAAUGGGCUAGGAGGUGAUUGGAUUCGAUCUGGGCUAGUGGGAUAUGCUUUAGAGGCCCAAAAUCUCAAAGGAGCCCAUGUCAGGUACCACCCGCGCAACCCACCCGCGCAGCAGCACGCGGGUCGCGCAAGGCCCUGCAGGGGCAAUUUCGGGAAUCCUUCUUUUGAGCUAUUUGAGGAAGGUUGGUGCCCAUCUUUUGCAUACUCUUGGACAUCCGAUUUUUGAAGAUUCUCUCUGGAGUUUUGGAGAUUUUUGAAGGCCAAGAACCCUUGAAGAACAUCAUAUUUUUACCUCUUGAUUCUUGCUUAAUGUUUGGUACAAAUUUCUCUAACUUUGUUUCUUUGUGUUUAGCCAUGCUUGGCUAAACUAAUCUUGGUUGACUUUUGGUUAAUCCUUUGAACUUUUGUUGAAUGUUGAAGAAUCCAUGAACAUGUUCUUAAAUCUUUAUGGGAAUGUUUUGUGUUUUAACAUCUUAUCACUACUUGUAUGUUUUAGUUCAUGAGUUUAAAUGUGUUUGUGGUGAUUAGUUGGCUAAUUUCUUGAUUAAGUAAAGGAUCCUCAAAUUAGCAAGCAACAAAUGAUUUUUGUGUUGUUUUUGCUUCACACAAUCAUAAAAACAUUUCCUCCAACAUGGUGGUGAAAGCAUUUGACCCCUCUUGGAUUUGGUGACUUUUUGGUUCUUAAUGCUAGUUGACUUUCACUAAUUACAUGCUAUUUGGAAUUAGUGACUUUGACUAAGGAAAUUGUUAUGAGCUUCUCUAGCCAUUUCAACAAUUAAGAAAAGUCUAGGUAAUCUCAAGCUCCUUGGAUUACUAUAGCCAAAUUAAGGAUUUAAAUCAAAGUAUUGCACCAUUGGAUUCUAAUGAUAUGUUCAUCAAAAGUCAAAGUGAGGAAACUUUAAGUCAACCAUCUCUCCUUUAUUGAUUUUACAUCAAAUUCUUAUUUUUGUUGCAUUUUUCUAUUUAAAUCAUGGAUAACUCUAGUUUGUUUCAAGUAUUUCAAAACACCAAAACCCCCCAUUUUAUUUUUAUUGUCAUUUUAUAAGUAUUUUUACAAAGAGAUUUUUCAUAGAGUUAUAAAUUGAACCAAUCUCCGUGGAUUCGAUCCCUUUACCACUAUACACUAUUUUAGUGUGUAAUAUUUAGGGUUAUUAUUUGUGUUGGCCUCGACAACCACCAUCGAUACCAAAUCCUAACCCCAAACCUGAGUUCGAAGGUCCAACGCCUAUGUGGGUCGGAAGCUUGGAUAGGUGGAGUCAUGAGCAAGGCCACCCCACCUGUACGAUGAGGAUCGCCGCUUCUACAAGGUGAACGAGGGAGGUUCCGCAGACAGAGCCCUUCCAAUCAUAGUCCGUCGAGUGGCCCGCAAUGUUGAACAAAACGUGGCAGCCAUUCAACGAACUAUGGAGCUUGAGGCAGACUUGGAUGCCAACACAAACCGCAUUCGCAAUCUCGAAGUUGCUCAUGGGAGAACUAUAAGAGACAAUGAAGCUCUGCAACGAGAGCUAGCUACCACUCGAGCUGAGGUCAUAGAGCUCCGAGCAUGCCAGUUAGUAUACGAGAGCCGCCUGUUUGACAUGGAGUGCCAACUGGCUAACAUAAGGAUCCGUUCGAGAAGUGCCCGUCGCCAUUAGGAAAUACUCCACUCAUCCUUCCUUUUUGGUCUAAGGAAUAACUUUCAUAUCUAUAUUCUUAGUAGUUCUUUUCUGUAAACAUCUCUGUCUUUCUUGUUGCCAAGAUGUCCUCUGUAUUAGUAUGAUUUAGACCUCUUUUAGGUCGAGGUUUCUAAAAUAUAUGUAAUCUCAGUUUCAGUAUUAGUGGCAACAAGCAGUUAUCAGUUGAAGACUAUCAUUGUCAAAAGUAUACCUUAGAUCGGUAGCAUGCAAAUUAAACAACUUUAUCAAAGUCCUAUCACUGUUUUGUCCUCGAAACAUGUAUCCUAGGGUGUACUUAGACCAUCAUUCCUUUUCCUCAUCGAUUUCAUACCAAUCUCCAUGAAAAGCUUCGAUGUCAUAAUCAGCAUGAGAUGAUUGACCCCCAAAUUGUGCUGAUGUCCUUUGCACUCGAAAGGGGUGACUCGUCUCAAUCUUUCCCUUUAACGAAGUCCUCACUAGUUAUAGUGAUAAAAUUUGUUCGAACCUUAGUGUCAUUUUCUGCGCCAAAGCCCAGACGUAUCUGCGAAAGGGAUGUCAUGCAUUCUUGGCUCAUGUCGUCGUUGAGAUGCAAAAAGUUAAAGGCCUCGAGAGCAUCUCCGAAGUCUGUCACUUUCCUGAUGUAUUCCCCAAGGACAUUCUAGAAAUUUCUUCCGAGUGUCAAGUUGAAUCCUGCAUCAACUUUAUCCCCAUAACUACCCUUAUAGCUAAAUCUCCAUAGCGUCUAGAGCUGACGAAAAUGUGAGAGUUAUCCAACCAACGCAAUAAGCUGAACAACAAGUUCAUAAGUUUAUUGCAUGUGAACUUUAUUGUGUUCAAAUCUUUUCUAUUGUUACUAGGACCACAUCAUGGGGAUGUGGGUCGAAUCUAUGAGAGUCAGAUAGCAAAACGGGAAAUCUUAAUGCAUAGAUAAACAUUUAGGAUACAUCCAGAGGCAACCAUCAUUACUCACAAGCUUCUUUUCUUGACAUGUGGUGUGGCAAAUCAUGUCUCCGAAGAAACAUAACCAACCCAACGGUAAGACGCCGAUCCUCCAGAUGGACUCAACUACGUUCCAAGUGACUGUCACAACAGCCGUAGCAGCCGCCCUAGCUGUUCUUAACGCUAACAACACAAAUGUGGGCGGAAGUGUUAAUGGCAAUCCAAAUCAUGGUGUUAACCAAUUUCAACAACAAGUUCCUACUAGAAAGGACACACCUGAUCUCCAACCUAUCAUCCUAAAACAAAAGUUCAAAGGAAGUUGUUCGACCCAAAGACCUACUGAGAGGAAACAAAUUGGGACAGUCAGUGCCCCAGUUGUCCUUGUUGUCCCAACACCAACCAUACCUUAUUGUGGAAAUCUCCCACACUACAGCAAAUGAAACUACCAUUAUCAUGGAGUCUGCAGAGUGCUGCAUUGCACUAGAUGCAACAGGAAGGGACACACCGCCCGUAGUUGUAGAACCCUAGUCAAGUUCAUCACUCCGACUACCAAUGUUGGGACAAGUCCAUCCUGUUACUUCUGUGGAAGUGUAGGACAUUUCAAAAUAGACUGCCCAACAGAGAAGAACAAUGAGGAAAUAGGAGGAGUCUGACCAAAGAAAAUGAGGGAGCGUCGAAGGACCCUGCCAUAUUUUGGUACGUUUUUGAAAACCCCGAUAAUUGUUUAUAAUUAUGAUUACUUUCUCGUGCGGAUUAAAUCACAAAAUCCUUAUAAGGUUUAAAGCCUUAAUGAGCAAAUUAUGAUAGUUUAGUGGAAACUCUAAGGUCAGGUGUAGUUAUACAUGACUUGUAUACACCAAGCGAUUAUAGGAAGAUCUAGUAAGAAUCAUUUCAUAAACGUUCAUGAUUUCGAAGUAUCAGAAGCCUCGUACUUGCGGUACCCUACAAUUUCGAAUCAGACACAGCAAACACCAAAGACAUUCAUCCAGAGGCACCAAUGUGCUAACAAAAGGAUCUUCUCGGACGAACUUAAACGCGCGAUUCUACGACGUCAUCCAGUUUAGUCCGACUGGGUCUAUGUUAUACCAAACCCUUUUGUCUUAAAUCGUUCGAUCGAAAAACUCCCGUCACUCGUAACGACAAUUAGAUGCGAACUUCGAAAAUUCAUCUCUCUUCAAAACCCGAAGGUAUUCGUGUGAAGAGUAUGAAUCAGAACCAACGGAUACGACAAUGAAGAUCCGCUGAAACAUCUAGCAAGAGCCUGAGUACAAAAAGGAGAGACUUACCUAUGUAUACCUUCGAGAAGUAAUCCGUUUUCAUGGGAUACCUGUACUUAUUGCCUCCGACCGGGUUAGCAAGUUUACCUCGAGAACUUAGCAACAUACAUCCCGUCUUUCAAGUGUCAAACCUAAAUAAGUGUUUGUCCGAUGAGACACUUGCGAUUCCCCUCGACAAUAUCGAGUUAAACGAGAGUCUACACUUCAUGUAGGAAUCAUUUGAACUCAUGGACCAGGAAGUCCAGUGCACGAGACGAACGUCGUAUCUGGAUAGUGAAGGUUCACUGGGAUACCAAACGAGAACUUGAAUUCACUUGGGAGCACGAGAAUCCAAGGAAAUAAAAGUACCCCAUCAUUUCUAAGUCCACAAGUUACAACUUUAUUCUUGAAUUUCAGGACAAAAUUCCCUCUAACGGAGGGAUGAUGUGACAACCCGAAACUUUUAUCUUGUACACUUAGCCAAUUCUAUCAAUGUUAAACUUGUUUCAGCUAUCUUUUAGCAUCGUUUUGAGCCUGUUUGGAUGAUCUAAAGCCUUGUACAACCAAAGUUCGAAUUAGGGAUGGGUUGGUUUAAGAUUUAGGGUUGCAAAAAGGCCAAACACUCCAUCAAAAGGAGUGUGUGGCCACACACAUGAGUGUGAGGCCGCACACCCGAGUGUAUGACCGCACACAUGAGUGUGUGGCCGCACACCCGAGUGUAUGGCCGCACGCAUGAUUAUGUGGCCGCACACCCAUUAUCUAUAUAUAGAUGAGGCUCAUUUUCACUUCAUUUCCCCUCUCCUCAACCGCACACACCUCUCUCUCUUUCUCUCUUAGGCUUCUUCAACCACAAACCAUCCCAAGACUUCAAAAACGUGAGUAAUCCAUCCCUUAGCUUGUUGUGCUUGAAGAACCACUUAAAAUAAGCCUAAAAUCAUUGAGUCUCGUCAUGUUCUUCAUCUCUUUGAAGGAGUGCAGUCGCACACCCACACAAGGUGGCCUCACACUCCUAAAAGACCCUCCAAAGUGAGAGUUGGACUUCCCUCUUCGAGUUAGACAUGACCAUAGCCUUGCAACACCUUAGAAUUUGCUUUUUGGACAUCAUCAUGUAGCGUGUACGACCGCACACACCCUUGUGCGGCAGCACACUCCCAUGUGUGACCACACACACACCCUAGGACCACAAACCCACUUCUAGGACCCUUAACUUGCACUAUAAUCGCGUAUAGACCUAGAACACUUCAUGGAUGCAAGUAUGGACCUUGAAAACACCUCAAAAGCACCUUAUGUCAUGAGUGUACGGCCGCACACCCAUAGGGUCGUACACACCUUUAGGGUGGCUAUACACCUCCUUCAUGCAAUCCUUUAAGGUUCUAGCACUUAGUGCAAGUAGUCCCAAGUUCUUAGAGUGGUUCUCCAUCACAGUUAGUAGAUAAAUACCUUCAUUUGACUCCUUUAUGUGUCAUUAUAUGUUAUUUAGGAUCAAAUCGUGUUCAAGGCUUUACUUGAACAUCCUGCAUUCCGUAUCGAUCUUUCAUUCAAAUCGCUCGAGGUGAGUUCAUACCCCUACGCUUUUCCGAGUUUUUCAUGUUUUCAGGGGGGAAUACAAGCAAAAAUACAAGGAAACUUGUGCUCAAAGUAUAUUAUUUUGUUUAAAGAUAACUAUAUUUUCAGAAUGCUUUUAACAUGGAAAACAAUUUUACCAAACGAUUAACAAAUCAACUUGUAGAAACAGUUUUCAAAACUAGAGCAACGAACUUAUGAAUCAUGUAGCAAAAUGUAUCGUUUUAUAAAGGAUUCAUGUUAAUCAAAAAAAGGAUUUUCUAUAUUAUUACUUGUAAAUUUGUUAGUCUAAGUUGGAGACACGUCUCUUGUAGGGAGAGCGUGACUGUUGUGUAUAGAUCUAUACGGGACUGACAAUCCCGCACCUUGCUGCUAGCUACAGUCGGACCGACAGGUCUACGGGUGACAAAGUCAUAAAGGAUACCAGCCGUUGCGGGCCAUAUCCAGUCAGUUAUGGUCAUGACACUCACAACCUAGAUAGCAGAGAUUUAUUUUUGUAAUAUUGAAUCAAGUAAACUAACCUCAAGGUAAUAACCGAUUUGAUUAUUGGAGGGUAUUAAUAGUACCUUCAGGAUUUAGUUCAACACGUUUUUCUUUUAUUAGUUUUAUUUAUAAAAUAGGGCUAAUAUACCUCACUGGGAGUAACUAGGGUUUUUAAAAGAAAACUACGUUUACCGAUAUAAGUAUGGUAGAUACUUGUACACCUCAUUUUAGAACGGAUAACCAACCAUCAACUUUUAAGGAAAAUAUAGGAUUUUCCCAGGAUAACUCAGUUAUUCAUAAACGGAUUAUUUUUACAUGUAACUAACGGAUAUUCAUAUUCAUUCCACGGCUCCUUGGAUUGUACAUACCUUGUAUGAAUCUGGAAGGAAUGGUUUUUCAAACACGCCUUUCAUAAGAAAAUAUAGGAUUUUCUUGAGGAACACUUUUCAAAAAGAUUCAAGGAAACAUUUUCCAUCAAAACUAAAUGCUUAUGAACUCACUAGCUUUAUGCUGAUAUUCUUUCAAAACUGCUUGUACUCUUAGGGAUUUAGUAGACAGGUACUUCCAGGAUUUUGGAGAAGUCGGCGCGUUAGAGUCACGUCUUUCGAUCUUACUUUCUUCAUGAACAAAACUAUGUACUAAGACAAUGUAAACCUUAUUCAUAUAUGUAUUUAAUGUUUGGCUGUGUUUACUAUGCUUGCUAUGAUACAACUAUUGUGAUACUACGUAUGACGUCCUCCACCCCAGAACGAUUCUGCCGUUCCGGUUUCGGGGUGUGACAUCAAUCGACCAAUUAGCAGACAUCUUCAUUAAACCCCUCACUAAAGGAUCGUUUUAUGUUCGUCAAUCGUCCCGCCUUUGAGCUUGUCGGGGGUAACAAUGGUAACUUCUCUUGCAAAAAUAGUCAGUACGUGCUCAAGACCUGUUCUCAUCUCUCUUAUGCAACGUGUCCAAGACCUGUUCAUAGUCAAACAUGUGUACCAGAUAAUUAGGACUUCAGUUGUAUUUUGUUGUUUUUAUACCUUUGUUAUAAUCAAUGUUCAAUCAAGGAAUUCAGAUUCAGUUUACUUCUAUAAUACUUCAACUCUUCGGAAUUCUAUUGUCUGGUGUAUUAAGAUUAAGCUUUUACGAUUAACUUAGAGUUGUAUUUGUAACAAGAAUGUGAUAAUUCUUUCUAUGUAUUAUAUCUAACAUAUCUUAGAACUUAGAACCACUCAUUCAUGGGUAAAUUGUUUUUAUAUUUACUAGAUUGGUGAACAUUGGUUUGGUGGAGAUAAACUACAAAACAAACAUGUUUUAACCAUUAGUAACAGUAUCGAUUUUAUCUCAUUUCAAAUAUUAUGUACGUAGUAUGAUGCUACCUAGGUUUUUGAAAGUCCGGAUUUUCGUUGAGCGAGUGUUUAAUGCUAUUGUAUAAACAUGGUAUGUAGCACCUGGUUCCUGGUACGUAAAAUUUAUCUUAGUAAUUGUCAUUUUAGCCUUGGACUCGGUGAGUUGUAGGUCCGACUCGCCGAGUUAGGACGCGGUCCGGGGGCACGUUUAAGUUGGCGACUCGGCGAGUCCAUAUUCUGGACUCGGCGAGUCACCGUUGUCUGUUGAAACCCUAAAUUUCAAGGGUUUGCACCCUAUUUAAACACUCAUUUCCGCCCCAACCUCGCCCCCAUUCACCCUCAGAGCUCCCAACAUCGUCUUUGCCCUUUUCCUUGUGAGAUUGAAGUGUUUUGGGUGUGUUCUUGAAGUUUUUGAGGAGAAAGACGAGUAGAUCAAGAAGAGGAGAAGGAGGCCAAGCAAUUUUGUGACAUCUCAACGUUUUCCUUGAGGUAUAGCUCGUUUCCCCUUUGUUUUCAAGCUUGUAGUCCCUAAUAGCUUCAUGAAAGUCCUUUUUGAGCCAUUCUUCAAGCUUGUUUGUGCUUGGUGGGUGGUAAUAAGUUGUUAGUGUAACAGCCUGGAUUCCCAGGUAUUAUUUAUUUAUUUAUUUUGGUAAUUUGUGAGGAGACUCGACGAGUUGGAGCCUAGACUCGCCGAGUAUGAUCGCGGAUUUGGACGCGGGUUCGCGUCCGGACUCGGCGAGUCCACGCUGUUUAAUGAAACCCUAAUUUCUCGGGUUUGAGGCGUAUUUAAAGGGCUUUAUGGCCGUCAUUUUCACUUAUCAGUCCCCAGAGUGAAACCCUAGAGCUUUUGAGUGAUUCAAGUGAGAGAAGGAGCCAUUAUUGAUCUUGGAGUUGUUGUCUAGCAAGGAAAGAGGAGAUCUAGCCAAGAGGAAGCAAGAGAGGGGUGGAUUCUUGAAGAUUUAAGGUCCAGAACAUCACAACUGAGGUACAAUCUCAAAUCAUUCUCUGUUAUUGUGAUGUUCAUCUAGAUUUAGGGCUUUUGAACCCAUUUGUGGCUAGAUCUAGUGUCCUCAUGGUCCCUUAGCGAGUUAAGGUCCUGGAUCUGGACCCAUAGAGGUCCAGAGCACCUCAUUGCCAAAGCUUUAUAUGCAUCCAUGGAGGUUUUGGCUUGGGAUCAAUGUAUUUGAGGCUAAAACACCAUUCAUGAGCUAUUCAAUGCUUGAUGAGCAUCAAGACUUGGACUUUACGUGGUCAAUAAGCUUAAGGAGACUGGAUCUAUGAGUUAGUGAAGCGGAUCUGACCUCAGAAGGUCGUUUGGGGUUGUGCAUGGAAUGCACUCUCCGAGUCCAUUUCCAGACUCGACGAGUUGGUGUGGGUUGUUCAGUGAUUUCGAACCAGGGGUUGAGUAACUGAGUCGNNNNNNNNNNNNNNNNNNNNNNNNNNNNNNNNNNNNNNNNNNNCCAGACUCGGCGAGUCGGGUUGACCGUUGACCGUUGACCAGUGUUGACUGGUUUGACUUCGUGGUAUUAGUCAGCCAGAGUCAGGUAGUAUUAAGUAGAAAUACACUUGUGUUGUAGGAGGACGAUAGCUCGGGAGAUCGAGAACUAGUGGUUAAGAGAUUUACGAGUUACCGAGACACGCAAGGUGAGUCUUCUCACAGUGGUAUUAUGAGUUGACCAGAGGGUCUUAUGUGUUAUUUAUGAGAUUAUUUACUAUGUAUGAGAUUAUGUGCUAUGUGUUAUAUGUAUGGUGUAUGAUUGUGUAGACCGGACCAGAGGGUCCAAUGAUUCUGACCGGGCCGGAGGGCCCAACGAGCUGUGACUGGACCGGAGGGUCCGACGAGCUGCGGGACUGGAGGGUCCCGCUGAGACAUUUAGACCGGAGGGUCGGAUUUAGCCUUGAGUGGCGUAUUUGUGGUAUGUGGUAUUUUGGGAACUCACUAAGCAUUUAUGCUUACAGUUGUUGUGUUUGAUGUCUCAGGUACCAGCGAGGACCGUGGGAAGGCGACGGCUUGACACGUACACACACCGAUGGAGUUUAUUAUGUGUAGAGAUCUUGGGAUUUGUUUUUGAAACAGUAUUGAUUAUGGAUUUUGAUUUGUGAUGUGAUACAUUAUGUGAUUUUGAAAAAGAAAAAAAUUAUUCUGAAAAUCUACGGUGUUACAGUUAGCCUUUAGAUCUAGGCAUGAUUUAGUCCCUAGAGCUUGGAUCUACUGCCUUUAUGGAGUCAUAUUGCAUGAAAGUCCUAGAUAUACCCUUUUGGUGCACUUUGAGCCCUAAAACCUUCAUUGGUGAUUAUCUACACGUAAAGUUGGAAACUUUACGUGUAAACCAGGCCCUAGGAACCCAGAUCUACGAAUGGCAUGGGCUGGAUUCAAGCAAAAUCGCGUGUAUAGUUUUUGCAUGAGGCAGACUCGGCGAGUCGUUCAUCUAACUCGACGAGUCGGGUCGCGAGUCCCCGGGUUGUUCCCCUUUUUGUGUUGCGAGUUGGAGUGGUGAGUCAUUGGGUAUGACUCAGUGGGUUGGAAGCCAGACUCACUCAUGAAGUCACUCGGUGAGUCAUUGCAAUGACUCGACGAGUUCACAGCAAUCUCCUUGUCUCAAGAACAACUCGACGAGUUGUUCAUACAACUCGGCGAGUCACAGCUUAGAGUGUUCUUUGGAUGAAGAUGAACUCGGCGAGUAGGAUGAAGGACUAUUGGCCUUGGGUAUAGAAGGAAGACUUGUCGAGUCUAUGCUUAACUCGACGAGUAGAGACGGACUUAUGGUCAGACUAAAGGAAAGGGACUCGGCGAGUCUGGUCAACUGGCAGUUGACUGUGACUUGACUCAUGACUUAUUAAGGGUAAAUGGAAAAUUUACCCUGAGGACGGUUAGCAGUAAUUGAUUAAGUGUUUGGUGGGAAUUACAGUCAGAGGAUUUCCGAAGCAGCAGCAGACAGACCUUUCCCACACAGAUCAACAGCUACUUCGAGGUGAGUUACCUUCCAGUAGCGGUGGGUCUAAGGCCACAAUGCCGGCCCACCAGUAGGAAAUGUAUGAUAGAUGAUUGUCUUUGUGAUAUCAUCUAGGUUUGCUACUACCUGAUAUGUUAUAUGCUAGCAUGAUAUGUUACAUGUGAUAGUAAUAGAGUUCGGUUGUUAGGACUGAAGGGUAGUCAGACACCCCAGAUACGUCUGACAAUAUAUGAUGAUAUGUUUGCAUGUUGGCUUUUUACGUUAUAUGCGAUAGAGGUAGUAGGAGGGGACUAGUCCCCGAGUUCGGUUGUUAGGACCGAAGGGUAGUUCAGGCACCCCAUAUAUGUCUGAUAAUAUGUUAUGUUAUGAUAUAUGUGAUAGUAGCAGUAGGGGGUGAAAUAGUCCCCGAGGUUCGGUCGUCAGGACCGAAGGGUAGUCAGCACCCCAGAACGGCGUGACAUGGGUAGUCAGCACCCCAGAAUGGCUUGACACGGGUAGGUCGGCACCCCAGAAUGGUCGUACCGGGUAGGUCGGGCACCCCAGAAAUGCCCGGCAAUAUGUAUGAUAUGUGAUUGUAUGAUAUGCGGUACGUUGGGGGAACUCACUAAGCUUCGUGCUUACAGUUUUCAGUUUUGGUUUCAGGUACCUCUUCUUCGAAGGGGAAGGAGCUGGCGCGAUAGCAGCCCACCACACACAUGUUUCGUAUUCCGCAUCACGAGACCUUCCUGGGGAUUUGUACUCUGACAUUUUUAUGUUAUUGAAAUGUUUUUCCAGACAUGCGAUAUCUUUAUAAAAUGUUAUGAUUAGUAAACGUUUUAUUCGAAUGUUUUGCUAAAUAUAUGUUUUCAAAAAUGAAAUUUUUGGCUCGUAUUUUGGGGCGUUACAUGGUAACGACACUAAGGAGAAACCGUUACAGGAACCAGGAGCAUUGAUCAAGAAGAAUGCUUUGACAGUCACAAAGAGAAAGAGAAAGAGAGGGAGAGAGAGAGAGUGUGUGUGUGUGUGUGUGUAUGUGUGUGUGUGUUAAUGUGAUGUGUUAUAUAUCCUAAGACUAACUAUUUGUACAUGGCCUCGUUUGGGGAGUGGUGUCGACUGUCAAGGUAUCAUGUUUACAGGGGAAUCUUUGUUUGGUCUUCGAUAUUGGUCCCAAGGCUUACCUCGAACGACAUUGACAAUAUAAAUGUUUAAUUGGGCGGAGGUAUAGGGAAUUCAGUAUAUAUCGACAUUCAUUUUGUCUUAGGCUUGAUUUCUCGUAUUAUCCGUAAUAAGUACAUCUCCCAUCAUUAAUGUUCCUUUAUGAAGUGUAUCUAUUGAACCGGUGUGAUUGUAGUUUUGAACAACCUUAUCAUACUCGAUCGGAAUCCAUAUCGAUUGCGGAGGACUGAUCUAGCUUUUGGUGAUUAUGGUUAACUAGGUCCAAUAAUAUGGCGACUAUUUUUUUAUAUAUAUUGAAUACUAGUUGGAUUAUUAUAUGUCAUUAAGUCACCCGCUGAAUAUUGGAGGUACAACAGUCCAGAGUCCUAGUUUGUACUUUAAUUGUCUUUUUUCGAUGAUAUGGUCAUCAGUUAUAUAUAGAAAAGACUUCAAAGCCUAAACAUUAGUCUCUUGAAUCUCUACUUAGGAAACGCACAUGUCAUCAUUGCAUUGAGGAUCACGAUCCAUGAUUGUAGAUAUAUUUACUAUUUUACUAUUUGUAGUAAACUAUUUCUAGGUUUUUACCAUUAACUUCUUCAUUUCUUCCGGUGUCUUCAUUUUUCUCACUAAAAAAUAUAGCUUUUGCUAUUUCUGAAACAUAUGUUCCUAUGGCCAAAGAAAAAAAUGAUAUGGAUUAUGCAUUAUGGGGGUGUUUGGGAUUCCUUUUUAAGCACAUAAGUUUUUUUUUUAAGUUCUUUUUGACUUUAGCUUUUGAGGAGACAAAAGAAAAAAGUUGUUUUUAGAAAGUGUUUGGGUUGCAUUUCUUGACUUUUAAGUCUAAUUUAGCUUUUAAAAGGUUAAAAGUUACAAAAAAAAUCAUACUUUCCCGACUUCUGAAAACCUAUCUUUUUCUUCUUUACAAAAAAUUACUUUUACAUUUCUCAAACAUCUUUUGUCAUUUUUUGACUUUUUGAAAAAGUUAAAAAUCAAAAAGUCAUUUAAAAAGUAAUCACAACUUAAUAAAAAAAACCUUAGAUUCUAUCAUCAAACUUUAUGAAAUUAAGCAUGUUUUUUUUAGGGAAAAUUGCAAUAAAAUUCUUACAUAUUUGUCUCAUAAUCGAUUUAAUCCUUAUAUCUUUUUUUAUUCAAUUAAGUCUCAAAACAGAUAAUCAUAUUCAAUUUGAGCAAUUUACCCGGUCAACAGAUCAUCUAACUUUCAAAAAUUAUAUUUUUGGCAUAGAUUUCAAAUUUUAUUAUAAAUUUGGUCCAAAAUUUACACUUCUGGCCCAUAUUUUAAAUUUUAUUACAAAUUUGAUCUAAAAUUUACCUUUUUGGCCCGGAUUUUAGAAUUUUGUUAGGAAUUCAUCCUAAAUUUAGUCUUUUUACAACUCUUUUUUUUUUUUCAAAAUGUUGUUUUGAAUAUGUUUUUUCUUUAUAAAAUCAUAUUUAUACAAAAAAAAUAACACACAUAAAAUCAUAUUUUCUAUAUAAAAUCAUAUUUAUACAAAAUUUUGUUUUGAAAGUUGGAUGACCUGUUGACCAGGUAAAAUGGUCAAAUUGAAUACGAUUACCGGUUUUUAGGACUUAAUUGAAUAUAUAUAUNNNNNNNNNNNNNNNNNNNNNNNNNNNNNNNNNNNNNNNNNNNNNNNNNNNNNNNNNNNNNNNNNNNNNNNNNNNNNNNNNNNNNNNNNNNNNNNNNNNNNNNNNNNNNNNNUAUAUAUAUAUAUAUAUAUAUAAGGACUGAAUCGAUUAUGAGGCCUAUAUAUAAGGACUUUAUUGCAGUUUUCCCUUUUUUUAUAUUGAAGAAGUUAUAUUGUCACUACACGAUUAAUCACAAUGAUCGUGCUCAAGUGGAUCUAUAUCAUUAGUUAUGGUUGGUUGGGUUUUCCUUCAUUUGAUUUGUAGAGAUAUUUUAUUGGUACCCAAAUCACUUAUUUUAUACAUUUCCAAUGGAUUCCAUAAAAUCCUUGAUAUUGUGAUGUUAUGUAAUGUUUUGGGUAUUGUUCCUAAAAUUGAUAUAUUUUGGUAUUUUACUGCAUUGCAUUUGGCAGUGAUUGUGAAGAGUUUUGGACACAAGAAUUUAAGAAAAAACAACAAAACAAAUCAACACAAGAAGUAAAUAAUCCAGUUUAACUCAUUGGUUAGAAGGUAUAUGAUUACAAUAUUUGAUAGCUCCAAUGAUAGUGUUAUGAGCAUGUAUGUAAAGAUUCAUAACCCUAAUACAAAGACUAACACACAUAAACUAUAUAUAUAUANNNNNNNNNNNNNNNNNNNNNNNNNNNNNNNNNNNNNNNNNNNNNNNNNNNNNNNNNNNNNNNNNNNNNNNNNNNNNNNNNNNNNNNNNNNNNNNNNNNNNNNNNNNNNNNNNNNNNNNNNNNNNNNNNNNNNNNNNNNNNNNNNNNNNNNNNNNNNNNNNNNNNNNNNNNNNNNNNNNNNNNNNNNNNNNNNNNNNNNNNNNNNNNNNNNNNNNNNNNNNNNNNNNNNNNNNNNNNNNNNNNNNNNNNNNNNNNNNNNNNNNNNNNNNNNNNNNNNNNNNNNNNNNNNNNNNNNNNNNNNNNNNNNNNNNNNNNNNNNNNNNNNNNNNNNNNNNNNNNNNNNNNNNNNNNNNNNNNNNNNNNNNNNNNNNNNNNNNNNNNNNNNNNNNNNNNNNNNNNNNNNNNNNNNNNNNNNNNNNNNNNNNNNNNNNNNNNNNNNNNNNNNNNNNNNNNNNNNNNNNNNNNNNNNNNNNNNNNNNNNNNNNNNNNNNNNNNNNNNNNNNNNNNNNNNNNNNNNNNNNNNNNNNNNNNNNNNNNNNNNNNNNNNNNNNNNNNNNNNNNNNNNNNNNNNNNNNAGUAUCUAUUGUGUUAUUGUAUGCAUAAAUGUGAGUCAAUCAAAUUUACAUAUUUUAAGAAAGUGAUUAAUAUAUAUUAUUGAAUUCAAUAUAAUUGAAAAAUAUCAUCUUAAUUAAUUAUAAGGGUAAUUCAGUCAAUUAAUAUAGACUUAAUAAAGGAAAAUUGUAUUUUUAAGGGAUCAUAGAUUCUAUUAAUUUUAAAAAUCCGAUUUUAAGAAUUAUAAUUAUUUUAAUUCGGACAUUCUGAGAGAAUAUGUUUAUGAGUAUAUUCAAAAUUAAAAAUAUUCUUGAACCAUAAAUAAUAAAAAUAUUCUUGAACCUAUUUCUUGAUCAUGAAUUUAAAAACUUCUUGUAGAAUAACAAAUUCUUGAACAAUCACUUGAAGAAUAAAAACAAAAUUACAUUAUUUCUUAUAGAAUUCGGGUAAAAAUUGUUAAUAAUUACAUUUAUUGUUAAAGAAUAAAACUAAAAAACAAUCAAAACCGGAAAGAAUACAUCAAAAUCUAACAACGACAAAUACAUUCUAAAAGAAUAAUGUGGUCCGUUUCAAUUUUGGUUCGUUCUUCAAGCAUUAACUUCUGUGAUUCUAACAGAAUUGAAAUUCUUCAUUCCAUUCCAACAGAAUUGAAACUGUAAAAAAAAUACACAAACCACUAAGGAAUUACUUAAAAUCAGGUAUAAAUAAGUUGAACCGAAAUCAUCUGAUUCAUGUAUGUCCAAAUUAUUGUUUAGUAAUUAAGAACAAAAGGGUAAUUUGAUACUUACCUAUUAGAAGUGUAGAAUAUGCUUAUCACGAGGUAAGUAUUCCAAUGAGUUUGUAAACUUUUAAAAAUCUUUGCAUAAUAUUUCAUUAUACAUUAAAAGAUUAUGAAAUUUGGAUUUAGAGUCAAGAAUGCAACAAUAAGUUUGGGCCUUUUUUUAAUCAAACAUCAAUAAGGAACGAUUUUAACUAAAUGUGCUGGCAAAUUUUGGAAAACAAAAUUUAUUCUUUUUCUAGUACACGGUUUUAAUGGACUCAAAAACAAAAUUUCAUUCUUUAACAUGAGAUAAUCUCAUUCUUAAAGGAACUUCAUAUCACAGUAACCAUAAAAUGAAAAUUAAAUGUUGAAAUAAAAUACGACAAGAAUAUAGAAGAAGAUUUGGUACCUUCUUGGAAUCAUGGAUUUAUGCAACCAAUUGAAUACUAAAUUAUUAUGGAUUUUGUGCAGCGGUGUACUGGUUGCGGACACAUUUGGAAGGCGGCUGUUUAGGGUUAAAGAGAAUGGAAAGCUAUUAUUUCCGAAUUGAAUGAGGAAUCGAUGAAGCCACCCCUGUAUAUAUAUCAAUCCACAUACAUUCAUACAUAUCGAUUCGCACUUAUGUCUGGAAACGAGAUAACAUUAAAAUCCAUUGAAUGUAGGUAUGGAUAUGUAAACGAGAUGAAAAGAAAAUAACGAAAUAAAAGUUGGAAGAACAGAUGUAUUAAAUUGGUGGUGUUGGAGAUAUGUUGAAGAACCGAUAAAACUCAAAUAAAAUUUAAUUUCACCUGAUGGGAUCGGUCGGAGGUGUGCAUCGAUUCAAUUGCUAAGGUUUAUGUCCUUGCCGCUUGUUCUAGCACUUUAAGUAAGAGCAUUACAGAGAGUGUCCAUGGGGUCGUUGUCAAAAAGGGUUGAUUAGGGUUACGGUUUUAAAAUACAAUGGGUGGAGAAAACUAAGUCAGUUGUUACCUUAAUUAUAGGAUAUUAUCUAUGUAAAGUAAUUAUCAAAUUACCUAUUUACCCUUAUUUAUUUAUUUAAUUAUUAAUUUUUAUUUUAAGUUUUGAUUGGCCCACAUUUAUGCAUACAAUAACACAAUAUUUAGUUUAAACAAAUGAACCUCUCUCUCUCUCUCUCUAUAUAUAUAUAUAUAUAUAUAUANNNNNNNNNNNNNNNNNNNNNNNNNNNNNNNNNNNNNNNNNNNNNNNNNNNNNNNNNNNNNNNNNNNNNNNNNNNNNNNNNNNNNNNNNNNNNNNNNNNNNNNNNNNNNNNNNNNNNNNNNNNNNNNNNNNNNNNNNNNNNNNNNNNNNNNNNNNNNNNNNNNNNNNNNNNNNNNNNNNNNNNNNNNNNNNNNNNNNNNNNNNNNNNNNNNNNNNNNNNNNNNNNNNNNNNNNNNNNNNNNNNNNNNNNNNNNNNNNNNNNNNNNNNNNNNNNNNNNNNNNNNNNNNNNNNNNNNNNNNNNNNNNNNNNNNNNNNNNNNNNNNNNNNNNNNNNNNNNNNNNNNNNNNNNNNNNNNNNNNNNNNNNNNNNNNNNNNNNNNNNNNNNNNNNNNNNNNNNNNNNNNNNNNNNNNNNNNNNNNNNNNNNNNNNNNNNNNNNNNNNNNNNNNNNNNNNNNNNNNNNNNNNNNNNNNNNNNNNNNNNNNNNNNNNNNNNNNNNNNNNNNNNNNNNNNNNNNNNNNNNNNNNNNNNNNCACGUCACUGUCUUAGUCCAUGUAUUUUUAUGAUCAAAUGUCAUUGGCACAUAGAUGCAAGACAUUUGUAUUUUCGAUAUGCUUUGACUCCUUUAGCUUUCGAUAUUAAUGAGUUCGAUAUCUUCACAACACUUUCGAUACCUAACAUUCUCCCAUUUGUGAAGAUACAAUAUUUUUCGAAAUCAUUUACAAAAUUACACAACGCUAAGAAGAGCCUUCCUAACUUCCAAAUACCAUGUAAGAAAUUCAUGCAUUUCCUUCUUGCACAUGGCUCCAAAACAACAUCUUAUUUGCAUCGAUUAAGGGUAAGGAGGUUGCCAAACACUAUCACAUCAUGUUUUCAUUUGAAUUAAGCAAUAUAAGAAAGGAGCUUAUAAGAGAUUUUAAGUUUGUAAAGCAUGUGAUGUGAUAAUGACUGAUGUUGUUGAAUAUUAGAACAUAGCUGAUGAAGUCUUCCUCUAAAUAUUGUAUUUCUUUUGUAUAUUUUUACUUAGAUACUCUGUAGAAUAUAAUGAGUUUGGAGUUAGUAUUGACAUUAUCAAAUAGGGGAAGAUUGUUAGACCCCUUGUGAUUUGAUAAGUCAAAAGUUGUGUAUCAUUAGAUAGUGUCGUACCACCCAUCACUCAUUAGGGGUUGCAUCCCCUAAUAACAUUAGGAAGCUUCAUGAAGAUGCGUAGCAGAUCAAACCCUAAUUAAUGAAGAUAACUUCCUUCUAUGUUAGGGAUUGUUUUAAAGAUCGGUUUGCCAAAACAAAAGACUCGUACUUGGUUUCGGAUUGUGUUUCUAUACAUAUCUAUCUUGUAUGUUAAGAUAGAAUUCCAGGUCUUUUAUUAUUAUUAUUAUUAUACACACACACACACGUGAAGAUGCGUAGCAGAUCAAGCCCUAAUGAAUGAAGAUAACUUCCUUCUCUGUUAAGGAUUGUUUUGAAGAUUGAUUUGCCAAAACAGAAGACUCGUACUUUUUUUCCGGAUUGUGUUUANGUUAAUAGUCAGAGUUUGUUCUUUGAUUAUCUUAUUGAAACUUUCCAAUCGAAAAAGUUUGGUUUCAUUAUUUUUGUUUGUUAUUGUUCUUAAUCGUGUUAAUUAUUUGUUGAAUCUGUUGGUUUAGGACCAACAUAGUACCAUACCCACCACAUUUUUUUAAAUGUAAUUUAAUAAUUAUAUAAAUAUUUAAAAACAAUAAUUAAAUAAAAACACUUCAAAAUAAGUCUAAUGUCCUCUAAAGCCCUCAAAAGUCAAAACCAUCUCGAGCUCGUAUUUUAUGUGAUAGAAUGUAUUGUAGUUAUGUGAAAUGCUUGAUAUGGGUGGUGGAUACCCACUCCAUCACUGCACACCUGGGCGGUGUCGUGUUCACCGCACCACCGCGAUGACAUGCCACCCACCCAGUGUGCGGUUGUCUUCCAUACCGAUCAGUCUAAUUAGUAAUUUUACAUGGAACUUGGACAACAAACAUCAUAAGAACCUCAAAUAAGAAACAAAAUUAAAACAAAAUUUUCUAGAACCAAAAUUGUAAAAAAAAUCAACUAAACUAAAAGAGUAAAGAGGUAAUUUAUUUGGGAAAAAAUUACAAAUCGUUCAAAUUUAGGUCCAAUUAACACCAAUCAUAGUACAUGAAUUGAGCAAAUUUGCAAAUAGAAAAGAAAAAGAUGAAUUUUGCAAGUAGAUAUUGUUGUGAUGUAGAGUCAUGUCGUGUGUUAGAACCCUACAUUCACUUAAUUCCCAAAAUCUUUAUAAAAGAUAUACCUUUUACAAAUUUUCUGAUAUUGUAUAGGAUUCUUGAUACUUCAUUGGAAAACUAAUUGGAAACUUAUGUUUUAAGUAAAACACAUUUUCAAGCCAUAACAUUUCAUUAUUUAGUAAGAAAACUACUAUAUGAAGCAAAUUUGCAAAUAAUAAGACGAAUUCUGAUGAUAUUAUAAGGCUAAAGUUCCAAGAAACAGUUGUAAAUAGAUAUCGAUUCCAUAGAACAAUCCAACUUCAUAUAAUUUUUAAAAUUUUUACAUAUAUGAAGCAGAAAAAGUUAAAGAUGGAAACUUUGAGUAUUCAUAACAUUAAGAAAGGUAGAAAACUACUUACCUCAUAUCACUAAGAUCUAAGAAGCCUUGUCCUUUUCUUCAUUCACAACAGAAAGUAUUGGCAAACUGCUUAAAAACUCAUCAAGCCCUUCAAAAAAUCCAUUACCUUCAAUGUUAUCUUCUUCACCCUGCCCUUGACCUCGAUUCCCACCAAUCAUCUUUGAACCAGAUUCUUCCCCUUCAUUGUUAUUAAACUCAACAUUCAAAUCCAACUUCCCCAUUUCUUUUGCAACCCGACCCGAUUGUCUUCUUGGGUUACUAUUACUAACCACUUCCUUUUUGCUACUCUCUACACUGUUUUGAAGAAUCUUUUUCCUCCUUUUUCUAGUCUUCUUAACAUGUACACCUUUUGCUUUCCUUUUACGACCUCUCUUCUUCAUCUUUUUCACCUUUUUGUUAUCGGUGCCCUUCCAAUCAAGAUCAGAAUCGUCGCUAGGUUCUGAGAUACCUGUAAAGAUAUCAUCUGUAACAUCAUCUAUGUAGAUACGUGGUUCCGAAUUUCUUCUUUUCUUUGGCGAACUAUCGUUUAGAUUGUGAUGAACUUGAGGUGAGACAUCGUAGAGAGGUGAAAUGGAUGUCCAAUAUUUGUUUGUGCCUUUGCCAUUGUUGUUCUCGAGGUUUGAUAUCGAAAUCCCUAAUGGGAAGGACCCCCAACAACAGAAAUAGGCUUCUUGGCCUUCGAUUAUGGGUGGAGGAGAGGGGACUGGAACUGCUUGAAACGCUCUUUCGCAGUUGCGACAACGGAGGGUGCACUCUGCGUAAACCCUAGGGUAUUCGUACAUGUAUAGACAGUAAGGACACGCAGUCCAAAAUGUAGGAGAUGAUGAAUCGAUGUUCUCAGAAUCUGACUCGGUUACUGUUUCUUUUUCUUCCUCGCUGACACUAUUGUUCGUAUCAGAAUGAGUAGGAGGCUGGACAGGGGUAGCAUUCUGUUCCAGCGAAUCUUGUUGCUGAUGAUGUUGUUCCUGCUGCGGUUGUGAUUGUGGCUGUGUUUGUAAAGGCGUCUGUGAAUGGGGUGGCGGUUGUGGCCAAGACACUGGGGGUUGCAGCGGUGCUUCAGGAGGAGGAGGCGGCGGAGACCUCGAUCGAAUAUGUGGCUGCGGUUGUGAAUGUGGUACCGGUUGUGGCCAAGGCAUUGGGGGCUGUGGCGAUUCUGCAGGAGGAGGAGGCGGAGGCGGAGACGGAGUCGUCGACUGCAUAGGUGGUUGCGGUUGUGAAUGCGGUGGCGGUUGUGGCCAAGACACUGGAGGUUGUGGCGAUGCUGCAGGAGGCGGAGGCGGAGACGGAGUCGUCGACUGCAUAGGUGGAUGCGGUUGUGAAUGCUGUGGCGGUUGUGGCCAAGACACCGGAGGUUGUGUCGAUGCUGCAGGAGGAGGAGGCGGCGUCGACGCUCGCGUAGGUAGCUGCGGCUGAGGAGGUUGUGACGGUGGUCGUAAUUGUUGCUGCGGCGUU